UGUAGUUGUAGAGUUGAAUACCGAGCCCUUCAUUAGUUGUUUCAUCCCUAGUUUCAUCCUUUGUUGGCUACGAGAGAGGAGUGGAGUUGGGGUCGAUAACACCGGAGCGGAGGUUGGUCACGUCAUUGAAUUGCCUGGCCUUCUACACAAAGGUACGAGACGAGAUUGAAUCACUUACCGUUGAAGAAGCACAGAGGCAUAAUAGGUCUAUAUACAAGAAAGAAUAUGGAACAGGUGAGGAAGCUGUGGAAGUGAAAGUGAAGUCUAGUAUAGUGUUACUUGUGUUAAGCAAUGAGUCAAUUAAGCAAAAUGAGCAAAACCUAAUUGGAUCUUUCGAGUCCAGUCCUUGCACUGCUACCACCUUCUGAUCCCUCUGUGGGCAUUCUCUUAGGCUUCUUCCCCUGCUGAUGCUUGAGACUAAGAUUCCCUAAAUGCUUCUAUACUAAACAAAACUUGCAUGAAAUAAGUGUAUGGCGCCCGAGAGACUUUAUCUUAUCUUAGGAGAUGAUAUCUUCUUAAUACGACUUUCCUAGCACCGACACAAUCACCUCUAUCUAUGACAACACUUGCACCCUCCACUCAAUUACUCGGUUUGUUUAAAGCAAAGGUCUCCGUUAAGGGCCAUUCGAGCAAGGAUCUCUGUGUUGGAUAGUUCAAGUUCUGAAUAAACAUCUUCCAGCGAGUAGGAGCGGGAUGACAUAAACGCUCAAACAAGCAACUCUGGGGAUGUAGUUCAUUCUUUCCUCGUAUUUCACUAAGCUAUUUACCGCUGAACACAUCUAUUGAGCAAGUCCUGUGUUCGGCUUCUCAUACUUUAGAUCAUACCCAGGAAGCCAGCGACUACCUAUAAGUAGUAAUCCGGGAACUAAGCCCAUAUCCCUUGACUCUAUCCUUGCUCUACUAUAUCCCAUGCCGAAACUCCUUAACUAACAAUACUUCAACCAUUAGUCUGUCCCGCCCCCUUCCAUUAGGCGCUUACUUUACUGACUUUGAUUCUGUAACUUGCUACUAUUAGAAUUGGACUAGUGGCCUGGAUACUGUCUUGCGCCAUUGGUUGCCGAGUUUUCUUGUUCAAUUACUUAUUAAUAAGACCAGAUCGAUGAUUAGAGACUAAAAGCCGGUAGUGAUAGGUUUAGACAAGAGAAUGUAAAUACAGCUAAUGAAAGGCGGACUAAUAGACAGGAAUAGAAGGCCAUUACUACUGACGGUAAAUACAGAUUUGAUAUCAGUAGCCUAAGAGCUACGUAGGGGACUCCAGUCUAUAAGCAAGGAUACACAGAGCAGUACCGGAGAAUGAUAGCAAAGGAUAUAUACUUAAAGAAGGCAGGCAAGGGAAAGCUUGGAAGCACUAGUUCCAUUCGUAGUUUAGAGUUCGAUUCCCUAUUUAUAUAUUGAUUCUUUUAUUGACUAGUUGAGUUCUUAUCACCAAUAAGUAAAGUUCUGUCCUAUCCCAGCAAGGGGCCCUAAAGAGGAAAUACCCUGAUAACACUCGAUCGAAACUAAGUAGUACGAGAAUGAGAUAAAGCAUAGUCAGACCAAUAGAAAGGAAAGUCACAUUAUAAGAAGGUGCGUUGCCUACAUAAUUCAAUAGGUAAGCGGAUAAUUCAGUAAGUAAGUGGAAGCCCUAGUUGUUAAUUCCAUUCUAUAAGAGGCCCGUUCCAAGGUUAAGAAGAGGUAUUGUUGGGCACUAGGUUGAUUCUUUCCAGUAGAGAUAUAUAAGCCUUGUAAGUAUAACAGCGAUAACCUUGUUAGCCCCGAGUGCAAUUAUCUCUUUUGAGUGGAAUUACUAGUUUUCUUUUUCACUCUUGUUGGUCUGAGUUCGAGCCUUGUUUUUACUUGUUCCAUUCUUUUACUGAUUGGCUCAAUUCCUUAUCUCACUUACUCAGUUGCUCGGCCCUUCCUAUAAGUUUGUGCCCCUUUUAGUCACAUUUAUCCUACCAGCAAACUGCCUAUCAUGCCUUUCGUUCUUUAAUUAAUACAUUGGGAUCCUUGUUUUGAUUCUGAUAGUACUUAGUUUGGUUCUUUUUCCUAAAGCGGAUUUUUGUUGCUAGUGUUAUUAUUGUGGCUAGGGCUAUUAGACCUAUCCCUAUUAGACCUAUUCCUAUUAGUAGAUUUACUACAUCGUACGUGCUUUGGUCUAGAACAAGUAGUAAAUGAGUACGGUUAAGCAGUUAAGUGGGACAAUGGAAUUCUAUCUCUCUUGCAUCGCAUAUAUAUAUGAUAGAGGAAUGUAACAAAUCAUCUACUUAUUAAGUGCUAAGAGUCAACAAAACCCUAGCGACCUACAUUCUUGACCAUUGAGAGGGGGCGUAGUUCUUUACCGCUACGUGGGCUACGUUGAACAGAGGUAUGCUAAAAUCAAGAUGAAGUGAAAGCCAACAAUGAGAAAGAUUAGUUGACAGCCCGCUAACUCCUGACUGCAUUGCUUCCUUCAAUAUAUUGGAGAGGUUAUUAGGUGGAGGUUUAUAGGUGAUUUAGGUAUAGGUUAUGUAGGCAGUUCUCUUUCAUGUAAGGUAAGCUCCAUUAUGAAACAUUCGCUUUCUUAUAGCUGUUGCUUCUUGCUUCUGGAACUAUACUACUCGUUGCUUUUGUUCUCUACCACAUGCUUGUUCUGUUACUUGUAUUGUCGGUAGAAUAUCGUCGUAGGCGCUCUGACUCUAAAGACUGGAAUUGGGAGCUGCUAGUGCACCCAUCUAUUAUAGAACAUAGGAGGAUGACAAAUACAAAGAAAAUAGUCAAAGAGUUUCUUUCGCCGUUGAGAUACCUUCAUCGAGCUAUCCUUGCUUUCGAUCUACCACUUGUGUUCUUGCGUCAGUGUUUGUAUCUGAGACGGAUAACUUGCCUGUUCUUGCAUCAUUACUAGUUCUUGAACCAAUGCUUGUAUCUGAGAAGGGUUGUUACUUACUAGUUCUUGCAUCAUUACUAGUUCUUGCACUAUUACUAGUUCUUGCACUAUUACUAGUUCUUGCACCGACAUCCCAAUAGACUAGAAUUUGUCUAGCAUAAUCAAAGGUCAUUUACCUAACAUAAUAAAAGGUAUAGAAUUCACCUAGCACAAUAUAGAACUGAAGAAACCGCAUUGCUUCCUAAAAAACUCUCUAGCAUUAGCACUUUUCAACAAGCCGUUAAUCCUGUUGCGCAAGAAGCAACUAAAGAAAUCAGUCCACCAGCACAGUCCAUUCUCGUCGACAACACUGGAACGGAACCUUGAAACUGCUUAUUCUGGGCUUAAACUUCAAGUAAAGCACCGAACAUGAAACUAGCACCGAACCUAGUCCACUUGAACAUCCGAACUAAACUACAGCCGAAAUCCUUACAUGCGGGCGCAUAGUUAACAAGGAAUUCCAGCAGUAUAGUGAAAUCAAAGAGAAAGAUGAAUUGAACUGAUGCUGACGCACAACUAACUAACGGAGCUACGACGCAGAGCUACUAUCUACCUACUUGCUUAUGAACUACAGUCAAUCACCUCUCUAUACCGACGUUAAGCCAAUAACAGAACUAUACGACCCGCGCUGAUGCAGGGUCUUUUUUGACUUACCUAUAGAAUAGUCACACUAGAUUCUAUUCAUGGUUUACUUCACACUGGCCUAUCAUUCUUGUUGAGUAUGGAGCGGGUUCGGGUUCCAAUCAAUAUUCUUUUCCUUAAGCAAGGGAACAAGCAAGGGAAAUAAUUCUUUCACUUUAUGGAAAGGUGCUAUAAUAGGUGACUUUAACGGGUGGGCGUGAGCUUCGUUUUCGUCAGCAUAAGAGGCAGCUGAAUCGAAUCCAAAUGAUUGAGCCCGAAAGAAGCACAGUUAUAGAAUCAAAUGAUUUAGCCGCAAUAGAAUAGGCAAAGUGGAGAAUCAUUUAUAUCCCUUCACCCGAUAUAGGCACAGUUAUAGAAUCAAAUGAUGGAGUUGCUAUAGGCACAGGUUGAGAAUCUUUCAUAUCCCUUCACCAUUCAUUGCAUCUUUCUAGCAUAUUCAAUAAGACACUAACUCCUAACUCAUAACUCACGUAAACACCAAAAACUGUAAGCUUAGCGAGCGACUUUAGCGUUAGUACUUAGAGUGGCUUGUUCAGUGCUUUACUCUAAGUCCAGCUGACUCUUUCAGAACUUAAGGUACAGUGCUAUGUGAAUCAAUUAUAUAUUAGUUGCGCCUUAAGCGUUAGAUUACUUUCCAGUAUUAGUGGCGACUAAAGCUAACGGUGACUUUCCUGGGUUCCUCAAUUCGUUCUUAAAGCUAGGAUAGAAAGUAUUGUUUUGAAACCACCAGUGUGAAGAAAUCCACUAAUAACCUUAUGGGGCAAGUAGUAUCAUUGGCGAAACAAAGAGAGCAGGCUGAAACUAAAAACUAGGCAUUGAGCACUGCCCAACAAGAACCAAACCCGGAACUAGUACUUGGACUAGCGCUGGCAAGGCUUUAACCCAACACUAAGGCUUUCAUUCGGAACUGGGGAUUGAACGAACCACUGAUGACAAAGCGCGCACUGCUGCUUUUAAGGCUUUCAUCAAGGUAGCAAACUACUCGUGGAAUUACUAUAAUCAAACUAACUACUAUUAUUUCUCAUAUGAAAACACACGUAUAAAUGUAAGUGAAAAGAAUAAUGAAUUGGAAUCUUAAUCGGGAGUAGCAGGACUAACUAACACAACUGAAAGGGAAUUCGAGGUACAACGUUGCUUGGUGAGGACGAGUUGAGCUCCUAUGCUUACUGCUUAUACCAAUGAGUUGAGCUCCUAUGCUUACUGCUCUUAGUCUAUUGCUGGGUAUAUUACUACAUGUGGUAGUCCCGUAUUACUAAUGCCCUUACCUUAGCCUUAUAGUUCACCAUCCAAGAAUGGAAGAAGCAAACGUCAGACUUGAAGUCGGGAAUACAAAUAAGGAAUAAUAAUAGUAUUUCCAGAAUACUGAUAUACUUUGACUUAUGUAUUGAGAAUAUCUACGUAGUGGUCCCUACCCUAGUAUGAGUCGCUAGCCUAGUAUGAGUCGCUAGUAGGGAUCGAUCCCUCAUUAAAUACUAACGAGUAAGGGUCGGGUGCUUUUUACCUUUCUUCUAUUUGCAAGUAUUCAUUAUCAUAUCCAAUAUUCUCAAGUAUUUUCUUAGGUGCUUUUCCCCUAGUGUUUUCCUCUAGUCUAUUGAUUGAAAAAGUACAAUUGUUUUUAUGUUUUCAAUAUGUUUGUUUGUUUUUCGAUUUCCAUAUGUCUGUACCGGUUCUUUUGUUUAGAUAAUGGGCUUUGAUGCAAGUUGCCCGAUGGAAUUGAGCUUCUGCUGUCCCUACUAGUUCUAAUUGCUUUCUUGACUUCCUACCUAUUAAUAAAGUGUUGACUUCCUACCUAUUAAUAAAGUGAGUAUAUGGUGCGUUAGCUUAUUAGAGUUUAGGGCGCGCCAGGCAAUAAGUGUGGUAGCAGCGUCUUUUCUUCACGUGGAAUCGGCACCUUAAUUCAAAAACUCUAGGUAAUUCAAUAACACCUGACUCAUGUUAUAAAACAAAGGACAACUUUCUUUCCAUGGUCGAAAUGUGUGAGCGGCAAUUGGCUCAGACAUAGGAGUGGAUUCCAAGUUUCCCUCGACCUGUUCACCACAGAAAGCAAGAUUACGGAAAGGCAGGCAGGCUUUUCAUAGAAGGUUUGAGUCGGAGUUGGGCCUGUGUUCAUGUCGUUUGUGAGUUAAGCGAGUGAAGAGGAGCAUCUUACUCUUAGGAAACUUCUUCUGAUCUCGUUGACUCAACUCAAACAGUCAAACAAUCAUUUCUUACUGAUAUGCAUAUAAAUGAAGUAAUCUGAUUCCUGCUGACUCUAAUGCUCUAUAAACGGACUCUGCUGGCUCUGACCUUACAAGCGUUACUGUUCCUUUCCACUUAACCGACGGAUCUUAUCUUCACGAUGAAACUAUGAUUCACGGCAAACUAAGCAUUCGUUCGGAGUUGACAAGGGAUAUGGCUCACUUUCUUAUAUUAUGUGAGUAUGGAUAUGGAUAGGCCGGCAGCACUCCCUUUUAGGUCAGAAGAGUUCCUUUGCAAGAAAACAACCUCUGAUACGACCAAACAUUUCUAAGGAUUCCUACAAAAUGAAAUGAAAUAAUAUCAUGUUAGAAUAUCUGACAGAAGCAGCACUCUUUCAGUUGGAUGCCCUCUUCUUCCUGGCAAGAUAAGAUCCAGAAUGGCCUUUGGUUUGGCUAGGAAAGUACAGCUAGUGCAACGAAGACUGCUAAAGCAGCAGCAAAGAGAGAGGACCGGGAGAGACAAGACACCUCUUAUGCCGGAAAAGGAAGAAAGUGAAGUAGAAAGUGCUAACGCUCCCAUUCCGAAUCCAAGAGAAACCUAAGAGAAUACCAUGCUACCAGCACCGAAUCUAAGGGAAAGCAUUUGAGCAAGAGGAAUGAAAGAAAAGUGGAAAUUUCCUAUUAGCUACCAGCACCGAAUCUAAGGGAAAGCAUUUGAACAAGAGACAGAAUCCAAAUAUUCAAUGCUAGCCGACCCAUCCUCCCAGAUCCGCAUCAGCGAGUGGUGUGACGACGACCAACUUGACAUUGAAAAUCACGAUUGGAAUGUCAUCUUACUCGGUAAAAGAUAGAAGAAGCGGAACGGAUUUCUCUUUUAUAUGAUAGGACUGCUUGCUGCCACUUCCUUAUGACAUUACCUUAUGACAUUACCUUUUAGACAAUCUCCGAUCUACGAAUACCUUGCUUGGGUCAGGAUCUUAUUAUUAGUGGAAAAACAUAGCCCUAGCUAGAUUCACUUAGUGGAAAAACAUAGCCCUAGCUAGAUUCACUUAGUGGAAAAACAUAGCUCUAGCUAGAUUAACUAAGCCGAAUCUCUCUUUUGACUUUCCUUAAAGGAAUUGAUAAGACAUAAGGAAGAGAUGAAACGAGUUAAGAAAGAAGAAGGGUAGAGAAAUGGGAUAACAUAGAGAGUAUGCCUCAUACUGACCUAAUCCGCUUCAAGCUUCGGUGGAGGCCCUCGCCCUCGCUUCGUAGACGUAGACAACAUUCCUUCCCGUGAAAAGAGUUUGUCUCUUUCCUCAGUUUGUUAUAUCUCUUUCCUCAGUUUGUUAUAUAUGAAUGCAUUUGAAACCCCCCCUCCACUUGAAUCUGUUUGGUUCUACAUAUGUUUGGUUCUACCAUGAUACUUUGGUUCCUUGGCAUAAGUCUGCUAUACUGUUACAAUAAAUUGUCACGGGUUCUGAGGCAUGAGUUAGAAUACCUAGACGCUGCAAUAACCUCCUAAACCAAACUGCUUCCUUGCUUUAACCUAAUCUGAAAACUGCUUCCUUGCUUUAACCUAAUCAAUAUCGGGCCGUGUACACAUCAUAGCAUACAUCAGGCUUCUUACAGCGCAGGAAUAGGUGACUCUUUCUUCUCUCUUACGAUCUUGACACCAAGCACAUAGCUAGCAUCACAGUUCUUUUUUUCUCUGGUGUUCUGUAUUUCUCUUUAGUUAUCUAUAAAUUAGUACUAUGAUAUGAUAUCUUUGCUCAAACUCCCUUUGCUUACUCUUUCUCUUCAGCUUCAAUUACAGAGCGCUUCCUGAGACAACGAGGGCGGGGAUCGGUAAGCCCCUUUUUUCUUUAUAGGAUCUCUCUUCAAUGCUUUCCUCUUUUAAAGACAAAUCUUCUAGUAGUGCUAAUUACGCUUUGCAAUUCUACAAAAGGAUUCCUAUUUGCAAUUCGAUAUUGGAAAUGGAAAUAACACAGCAACCACCUAUUUGGGGAUAUUUUAGACGGGAAUAAUGUUGGACUUUUGAGCGCCAGAGAUCCUCCUCCUCUAUAGCAUAAGUAAAAGCAGAAAAGGUAGCGGGCGAAAAGAUACGCGGCAAGGAAAGCUAAGGGAAAAGAAUAGUCAAUUCCUUUUCUUCCUUAAGCAUCUACUGAUCAAUAACGGAAUCUAAGUCACUAAGGGAUUCACUUUUGAAAAAGUCAGAUCGGAUUGAAGCCUACCGGUGGCUUACUCAUAUAAUAGAGAUCUUCAUUUACCAGGUCCUUGAAUCCAAAAGUCAAAGGGUGAAAGAAAGCAAAAGUAUUGAUAUUGACUUUCAAAGAAUAACCACUUCAUUUACUAAAUAUCAUAUCAGAGGGCUAGAAACGGAUUGAUACUGUCUUCUCUUUUCUCGUUUACAUAAAAGCUAGGGCCUUUCUUCAUUCAUGACCGAGUAAUAUGCUUUAAAUAGACUUCGCCGAAUCCCUUUUCAUUACAUACAACCUGACUUUGCUACUUCUGCUACCGUAGCCACAUACAACCUGACUUUGCUACUUCUGCUACCGUAGCCCUUGCUGAUUUACAGGAUUGGCCCCCUUCCGCUUCCCCCAUUGUAAACUCGCUUGCCCCGGCUCAAAGAACUCUCUUUAGGAAUGGACUUCGCUCACUUCAGCCCAAGCAGCCAUUCUGGAUUAAAGGACACAAGCCUGCUAUUCACUCGCUUUCCAGUUGAAAGCCUUAUUAUCUAGUCUUGCCGGUUACACCCUUUCUUGCCAUUUACCAUUCUCCGGGUAUUUCUUCUUUUAGGCUGACGGCUUGGUCAGAUUAGGAUGUUGCUUCUUUAUCCCCUCCGAUCAGGAUCUGCCAACGCCCGAAGUCACUUCACUCUAUAUCUCUGGAACCGAAAGAGGGUAAACCGUGAGCAAACUUUCGAGCUGGGAGAACUAAGGCAUUUCCUUACUAUUAAAGAACUAAGGUGCUGAAAGCCUACUAUUCAUCGUUAUCUCGAACCAAAGAAAGCGGAGUGAUCAUCGUUAUCUCGAACCAAAGAAAGCGGAGUGACAAGAACAUCAAACUGCUGACCAAGUAAAGUCACUUAUGGGCUACUGAUGCCAUCCCUCUGUCUAAUUGUAUUGGCCUCUCGGUGAUAGAUACUAUUCCUGGCUCUUAGCACCUUCCUUCCAUCCUCUUCUCCGACUUCAGCAGAAACAAACCUAAUUAUCUCAUGUCAACAGCGCAUUCGUUCACUCAAGCAUUUGUUAGCUCCAAGUCCAAGAGCCUAUCCGGUACCAGAAGUGUUGGGUUCAUUUGUAUUUCUCUUCUUUAGCUACAGUAGAAUAGCCUAAACAACUCCGUCGAACUACUUCGUUCCAAACAGAAUUCCGAAUUCUUAGACGGAUGAGACUGAUCACACCUCAUCGUUGAAAGAAGGCUUAGACCCUGAAUGGAAAAGGGCACAGUGUUAGAUGGAAAGGAAAGAGCCAGAAAUCAGAGACCCCUCGCUUCCUUCUAACGCCCAUUAUAGGAUAUAGGUCCAAAAAAGGAGUUCGAUGAUCUUUCCUAGAGCUUCCGCUGCUCUUAUUACUGCUUCCCUUCAGCACGGCGUUACAGAAAGCGCUGACUCAAUGGGCCUCAUGCCUGCCUAUAUGUCUUUAUUCCCCCUUAGAUUGGAUAAGGUCUAUAUUCCUGAACUCUCUUUCUAGAUUGGAUAAGGUCUAUAUUCCUGAACUCCCUUUCCAGAGGGUUUAGAUCCGGGAUUUCCUACUAAGGGCUUCCUUCCCGAGUUCGAUGCCUGCAGAGCCUAUGAACAAACACUCUAACUAAGACUAAAGAUGACACUUGGACAUGUGCUUGUGGAAAGGUCUAAGAAAAGGCUGGGUCAAUAGAGGCAAUAGAAACCAUACUUACUCAUCAUGUAAAUAAAGGGCAAAAGUGGACAAUUGACAAACGAGCGGAGCUAUUUACGGUCGAAACGCAUACGGGGAGGUGGGACUCGUUUAAAUGCAAGGACGCUGGGAGGAAACCCUCUUGGAUUCUCGGGCAAAAAAAACACAGAAUGGGGCUUAGUGAAAACGGGCUUCGAGAAGUCGUUCUUAGCAAGAAAAGAAUAGAGAGGGUCGCAGCUCUUAGCCAGGCUUCUAUUCCAUCGGUUUUACGUGGGUCAGAUUCCUACUAUUCAUUGAUUGAGUCCAAAAGAACGGGGUUGGAUGCGAGAUUGGGUGAUUUAGAAUGGAAGUUCAAUCAAAACAGGAUCCUUAUAGUUCAAUCAAAACGGGAUCCUUAUAUGGGCAAGUUGCUUAAAGGUUUCUAUUGUAUUGGUUUUGUUCUUUGUAUGGGAACUCCUAAUUGUUACUCCGGAAAGGACAGACGAAUCUUAAAGAAUGCGUACACGUGAAAAGGCUUACCUUAAGGCACACGUGAAAAAGGCUUACCCCUGAGGCCCUUCCGUUCUUUCUUUCUCCUCUGGUUUUGAGGUCUAGGUGGGUUGGUUUGGCGUAUGAGUCCGGUUCACUUCUUUUUGCUUGCUGGUGGAGAGCUUUCCCUUGUGAAAUCCAACUCAAACUAUACUCAAAGGAAAUCCAUUGACAAUACUUGAUAGGAUCUAGAAUAGUUGCUUCUCUUUCUAGCAAAGAAGGAUCCAGUCUCGCUAACCGCGUAUCCAAAUAAGCCUUCCUUUUGCAUUGACAGCAGUUAUCUAGUUUUCGCGGGUGCGCAAAAUGUCCUUUUGAGAAUUGAGAAUUGCAGGAAAAAGGGUCAACUAAGAAAAUCCAGAAUGGAUGCGAAAUAGGAAGACCACCAAGUCCAAUCCUAAUAGUUAUUUCUUACUCUCCUACAGCAUAAUAGACUUGCGAAUGGAUCCUAUUUGUUCGAGUGGAAAUCCUCUCCCCAUCCAUACUGAUCAAGGUGGGGAACCAAACCACUUAAAGGAAGUAUGUUCUUAGAUGGUGUUUGCAUGUCAAAGGAAUGGUAGUAGUGGGCUGGAUGUUCGGUAAGCGUGUGAGAUGAGACCCGAUCCUUCCACAAAGGACUCCCGUUUCAACAGUGCAUUUUUCCUUUGAUUCUCCGUCACCCGUUCUUCCCGACCACCGCCCGAUGCAGUCUAAACUCAGGUUAUCUCAAUAGACUUCCCAGCUAUUCUAUUCUAGAUAUCUUAUCUAAGAUGAAAACUGACUGUUUGUUUAUCCGAAAGUAUCUGAUGGUCAGGUCAUAGAAAGACAAAAACGUAUCGCCCACUUAAGAAAAUGAGGUCUGAACGGUAGGCUCCGCUGGAGAAACGACCAUAGCUGCACGGAGUUAGUUGACUGAUUUAGGUAUCAUGAUAGCUUGUUAGCGAUUACACUAUCCCCGGAAUAGCUUUCACUUCAUUGUUAAAGCUAUUGAACAUAGGUGGAGUUCAUACAGAAAAUGCUGUGUACUAUGAAAGAAAAACCACCAAUUCCUUUGAGGCUACUAACACUACCGAAGCAGGCUUGUUGGUUACUGGUUUUGGUAUUGAAAACAUAUAAAGGCUUUCAGCACCUUGCUUCUAGUUUCGCCGGUACCCUCGAGACAGCUUUCCCUAAAAGGACCGGAUUCAAGACAUUCGAUCUCAUACCCACUACAAUAAAUGAAAGUAUACUCGUAGCAAGGAACUCUUUCUUUAUUACUUUAGGUGGAAACUCUCUGAAGUUGGUUCUUUCUUCUCUUUAUUUAUAGUUUCAACUCAUUCCUGGUUGGUUCUUUCUUCUCUUUAUAGUUUCACUCAUUCCUGCCGCUCCGUUUAAGAAGUUUCGGCUCUAUGGCACUUGUUCUCCUUCUAUAGAUCGAGAUGCUUUUGUGGAUUGGAUGCUUUUCUUUUCCGUUGAAUAACAAAACAAAUGGUCGAUGUGGCUUUAUUAUCUUAGGUAGAAAGAAAGGGCUAUCUUUUGCCUAACUGUGAUAGGAGGCUCUGGAAAGACAACAAUACAAGCUGCUUUACUUAUCGGAUAGCUACUGACUUGCGUAUAGAGAAAUGGAACCGUAUUUAACUUAAUCCAAAGGUGGACUCAUACAUACUAUGGCUUUAUGAACUUAAUAAAUGAAUAUGUUACGAUUGAAGAAUACCGUAAUGGGAAGAAUACCUUAAUUGAGAAUAUAAUAGCGGCACCGAGAAACUGUGACUUGAACUGCAAAAAGGAAAAGACCCCAAUCUUCGAGAAAGCGAAACUCAAAUGACAUCCAACCCUAGAAAAAGCCGAGUAACCGCUUACCACCUAUACCUUGAAGCCUGCUACUGAGAAAGUGGCUGUCCUAAGGGUUAAUUAGCUCCUACCGCUCGAACACCAAACUAAGGACUCGGUUAUAGUUGCAGUGCCUACUUUUAGGAAUACAGUGCCCUUAAGUAAUUGAACCCGCCUUGUCAUUAUUCCAUAAUGCCUUCCUUCUUCUUUAGACGUGUGAAAGAAAGCGCCUUUUUGAACUCCGAACCGUGAUACCGAAAAAUCCACUCAUUCGGACAAUGUCCCAAGACAUCUUCGAUCUAUCGAGCUACUAGUCGAUCAACGAUAACAACACUUUCCCACUUGUUUGUUCUGGUGGCAUAUUACAUUGCUUUCUAUUUCCCAGAAAUCUAUUACUUCGUUGUUCGGUGGUCAUUCUUGUCGAGUUUGUCCAGUUGUACGUAAGGAUCUUAUUUGAGCCCAUACUUGUUUCGUUACCCGGAGUCUUGCUUUCACCCUUCGAAGAUUCGAUUUGGCCAUUUCUCAAUUGACCGAGUUGCUGCUACUACUUUUACUAUGACCGUUUGGAUUGUUGCUUUCUUGGUGUUUUACGGAAAUAAUUGUUAUAAUAUAAGGAGUUAUUGAAGUGAGUUAGUUUGGAGAAGAACGGUUUCAUUGUGUUCGUGAAGAUAAGAUAGUAGAGAUCACUAGACCUAGAGCAAGAAUGGGAUGUUACGCCAAUGAGCCGAGCCCUCUAGGAGUAGGACGCCCUUUGCUGGUGCCCGGGUCCCCUAUAGUCUCAGGAGAGAUUAUACAAAGGCCACUAACCCAGGUCCCCUAUAGUCUCAGGAGAGAUGAGAAAAGGCAAACUCGCAAGUCACCUUGUCUCGUAUCCAUCAGAAAACCGGGUUCCCUGUAAGCAAAGAACAAAGGUAGAUGAUAAGUUUACUUGAAAGAACAAAGGUAGAUGAUAAGUUUACUUGAAAAGCCAUAGAGUAAGUAAGGUGACUUUCCAAUUGACUUGAAAAGCCAUAGAGUAAGUAAGGUGACUUUCCAAGAAUAUGUCUCCUUGACUUGCUCAUAACUGUUACUAUUAACUCUGACUAUAUAGUUAGUUGAGCUCCCUUAAACAUAGGACUAUUUCCAGUUUCUCUCUGUGUUUGUUGGUGACAAGAGAGAAAGAUCAUCGGCAAAAGAACGAUCUGAAGCUGUUACUAGUCAAUUCCAUUCUUCACUUUCAGAGGUCAAUUCCAUUCUUCACUUUCCGCUCUUGACGUCGAGUUCGGGGAAGCAUAUUCCUAUUUAGAAGGAACAGGAACAGACAGAAAUAUAAGUCCGCGAGGGUAUAUAUAACAACCUAGUAAUCCAUAAGAGAGGUCCGGUGGGCAAUAGAAGUAGUAGAAUAAGGAGCAGGUAGGCAGAAGAUACGGCAUCAGGUGAGCGAGCUAUAUCCUGAGUGGGUAAAGAAUAAGUAUUUGGAGCCCCCUUUCUUGCAAUUGAGUCCGGGUCGGAAAGCUUCAAGUAAGGGCAGAGGAAAGGCUAGGCUGCCUAGCAGAGUUAUUAAGGUAAGGAGUCAGCAAUAAAAGGAGUCAGCAAUAAGUGAGUAAGUAGUUGAUUGACUAUUCUCUAUUAGUGGUAGAUAACUCUCUUCACAAUCAGCUAGCUAUAUAGAAGGAGUUAUAGGUCAAACAAAUAAUUCAUGGAAUCUUUCUUGCGCUACUCAUGAAUGGAAAUUGGAAACUCCAACUCGUUACACCUAUUCCUCUAAUGUGAAAGACUGAUAUUGUAGGGCGAUGAGAGAGGUUCUGAUUGUGUUGUGGUCGGUGCUUGUCUACGAGAAUUGCCUUAUUGACAGCUUUUGACUGGAAAACGAAGUUAUUGAAUUGAACGGAGUGCACCUAGGAAGAGCGCUACCAUAAAGGAUUCCAGUAUCAAAUCAUUUAAAGAACAGAUGGGGGCCCGUGCGUGUCAUUUGCCCCAUAAGAUUUGUUGACGAGAGUUAGCAAAAGUAGUAUACUAUUUCUUGGCUUUGCCCUUAACCGAGCGCAUUUAUUGAGUUGGGGGGGCUAGUUCCAGUCUUAACCUGGAAUUUCAUCCACUUUCUAGCGCUGAAGCAUAAGAGGGAUUCGAAGAUGGAUCUGAUUCAAAAGAUAGGGAAGCUAUGUCUCCACUUCUUUAUAUGCUAUGAUAGAAGGAAUAGGGUCCAACUUCGUGCUUUUAGAUGAAAGUCAGAGAAAAGUGUCCCGCCCCCCGAGUGCUCUAAACGCCAAAUACUGAAUGGAACUUGCAAAUACAAGAUAAAGGAAUGGAAGAAGAAAUACGAUACGGAACAACAAACUCUUACAGUAGCGCCGAGAAAGCCAUAUCCGGAGUUGGAGAAUAAUAGGGAAAAGAGACUAUUUCCAGAGGAGAAGAUACUAUAUCAGGUGAGUUGGUAAAGAAUAUAUAUAGAGUUGGCGUAGGAACAAGAACUCGAUAAGAAUCAUACUUAGUUGUCAAGAAAUGCAGCAGUAUUAGAAGCUGGUAAAGAGGAGGCAAAAGUGAGCUUAGAAGUAGCGAACAGGAACUAAACUCUACUACUUUGAGCGGGCCGGGCCGGGCAUUGACUUAUCGCUUGCUGCUGAGGAAACUAAUACGGAUUUGCUUUUCUCUCUCCAUAACUACACUUUUCUCGCACAGCUAAAGCUUAUUAUACCGCUGAUGAUACUUAUUCAUAAGAUCUGGAUCCUGCAGAAUCGACAACAACACUUGUUUCUGGUGCCGAGUCUCUUGAAACCGGUGUUUGAGGGUUUGUCUUGUUAGUUCAGAAUCAUAAAUACGAGUAGGGGUUUCAUCCCGUAGUUAAUCCGUAUAAUAUCUGUGCUUGUUGGCUCAAGUGCCCUGCAAUACGAGUAUAAUCUCUGUGCUUGUUGGCUCAAGUGCCCUGCAAUACGAGGUAAGGUCGGCAGUAGUAAAAGAAUGGUUUGCUCGAUGAACAAAAAGGGCGGCUCCCGGGUUGGUUUUUCCCAUCAACUAAAGAGCAAGGCUAUCAGGCCUAUUACGAAAAUGUCUUUCUCAAGAGCAAGAGCUAACACAACUCUUUUCUUUUUUUGUACUUCCCACGGUAAAGCGAAACGAUUACCCGAGACACUACACUAGCUCUUAAAAUGUUUUAGUCGUUUAUGAUCGAAGCGGAUUCUCUCUUCUGGAACCAUACAAUCUGGCUUGACUUGGAUAGCGUCAUGAACCGAGCAAAGGAUAUAGCAAAGGAAACACUUGCAUCUGGCUGAGGACUAAAUAUAGGAGCUCGCCUUGCAUACAAGGGGAAAAGAUGGAAUCUGGUAAAAAGAAAGUUCCGUGCCUAUAGUCAUUCCUUUAUCCAGUUCCGUGCCUAUAGUCAUUCCUUUCUAUGGUAGCAAUCUGGUCUCCAGUCGGUGGAGGAAGUAAGGCUUAGCAGUCCUAUCAGUGCCCUUAUGCACAGAAACAGUUGGAGUCAAGGCAGUCUGUGGUUUCUAAGGCCUAUAGGCCGGUCCUGUCAUUUCGUAUAGAUUUAUAGAAAGGGAGCGCCUUUAAGGCUUUCAGCACCUUCUCUCCUCCCCAACGCCGCUAUCUGUCAUCAAUUCCUUCUCUCCUCCCCAACGCCACUAUCUGUCCAAGGGGAAAAGCAAACUCAAGGGUACCAACGCAAGCUUCCGUUUUCAAGUUAGUUAUGAAUCCGAUGUGAGAUGCCUCGCCUAGCUUGAUUAAUAGCCGCCCGGGCCCAUGUUCUCAGUGCAAUGCAACGUGUGAAAUGACUUAGUCAAGAGAUCGUAGGAUACCGGCAAAGGCAGAAGGUGGAUACUCGUUGUUUUGAUUUCGCAGGUGGAUACUCGUUGUUUUGAUUUCGCAAUUCUAUUAUAUCAUAAGGGGUUGAAACACGAAAAUGAAGGUGCGAAGUUUCGAACAUGGUUGUUAUAAAGUUCCCUAUCUCUGCUAUUAUAGAAUAAGAAAGGAAAGAUAAAGAUAAUAAGAAAGGAAAGAGAAAGGCAGCACAUAUGAAUCUGACUCAAGUGGUCAUCGAGAAGAAGUCGAUUCGCUGAAGCAUAAACAGAGAAGGUAGUUUAGUUAACCCGGGCCAGGCCAGCCCUUAGCAUCUAAAGAAUGCGCUCUUCUCAAGCUUUUCAAAAAGGGGUGUGUGUUGGUUUGGGCAAUGGAAGGCACGAAUCAAACUAUCUAUCUUUAGCAUACGGGAAUCGAGCAGACAUGAUCAAUAAUGAUUCAGAGGACAAGGGCAGCUUGUUCUACCUUCGGGAUAAACGCUCUUUUCAUGGGUUUUUUCUUUGACAGUCUUACUGGAUUUUUAGUUGAUGGGGCAAGGCUUAGCAAAUAAAUAAGCUUGUGUCGGAAGAGAAGUAAGUAGAAAACAAAGCUGUUCGCGGAACCUGAUUGCCCUAAGUCGGAGUCAGAAUAAGGUUUAGGCUGGAAGACAAGCAACAGAUAUCUCGGAUGUUGCCAUUGCCAGGAGCAUGGAUGCCAAGAAUGCCCUCAGUCUAUGUCUUUCUAUAUAGGCUUUAAGGAAGCAAGUAAGCAUUAAAGAGGGGCUUUGUUGGACCUUCCGACCGACUGAAGGAUCUUUUCCGUCUUUCGAGAUGCGAAUAGAUUGACUAUUGGGAUAACGAAGAUAUGACCAUAUUAAAGAUCUCAUUUAUUCAUUUCAUAGAGAAAAGGAUUAGCUGCUUUCUGAAAAUGAUAGAGAGAGAACAGCGCUACCGCCAUGAAUACUUGACUCGCUCAUAACAGAAUUAGAACAUAUUAUUUGGAGUCUUGCAUUUGUAGGAGUUGCUUGGCCCUUUGUAGUAGUUGCUUGGUGGCUUUCAGCACCUUUAUUUUCAUGGAGCUCUUUAGAUAGGUAGAGGAAAGACGUAACUAGACGACCGCGCAGAAAGAGACGUAACUAGACGACCGCGCAGAAAGAAGAAUCUCUUUUAUAGCUUCCGAUUGCUAUGGAGAUUCCUAUGGUUUCUCUAGUUUCUCAGACUAUUAUGGAUAUUCCCCCAGAUGCGAGUUACAGCCUUGUAACCAAGGGUCCCUUACUUCACUUCAUGGAUCUUUAAGAAGUUCAAGAAGAAAGCUACGGGCAUAUACCCCAGCCGCGGGGGAACAAGUGCCACCUAAACAGCUAGAUUAUCUAUCUAUAAGCCUCGCAAACCCUUCCUUUGUAAAGGACCUUUCCCGCUUUCCUUACUUUCCUUCCUUGGCUAGUUCAAAAAACGCUUUUUCCAUUGUUCUGAUAAUAAGAUUAAUCAGAAUUGUCGCUUGGAAUAAUAGGCUUUGAAACAGAAAGGAGGUAGAGAAGCUCUGAGAUGGAAAGGAGGGAAGCUCUAAGUUAGGUAGUUAGGAGCGAAGGUAGUACGAGGCAGAGCCAAGACUCAUCUCAUGUGGAAUCAUCAAUACUUAAAGGAUAGAGUCAAACUCUUGGCAGGUCGGGGGGCAAGCUUGACUUUCACUUCGGGAAUAAUCAAUCUAGCUUUUUGAAUGGGGCGAGCGGUUCUCGGGCGAAUUCCUUCUAUUGGUCUUAUACUAUGGGUGGAUACAGACUCAGAGUGAGGACCCGUGCCAGCAACUCCUGUAAGCGCAAAUCAUUUAGGAGAAGUCAAAGCAUAACCCUGACAAGACAAGUGGUUAGGGCUUUCUUCAACUUACAGAGCGGAUCUAUACUCUUUACCUCGAAACUAGGAAUUUCACUUACUGAAACCAAAAGUGUUUUUUUCUCAAUGGAUAAUAUGGAUCUCGCACCAGCAAUAGAAUAAUUGAAGUACCCCGCUGCGCUGCCCCCUACUGAGGAUACAGCUACAUCACUUGGCUGCGCUGCCCCCUACUGAGGAUACAGCUACAUCACUUGCAACUUCAAUAAGUCCAGUGGAGAAUGUGCUUUCUUGUCUUCUCUCUUAGGGCGCAAUUCCAGAAGGAUAGACAGACCGACCGACCAUCUUCAAACCGACCAUCUUCAAUUUGAUCUAGAAUAAUAAAGAUCUGCAUAAUCAGGAUCAGAAAAAGAGGUCUUAUAGCUUCGAAAGAACACCGACUGCUGUAUAAACAAGGGAAUAAUACGCAAGGAGAGAAAGAUGUAAUGUUGCAAUGCGAGUUGACUCUAAACCAGAAAAAAGGGGAGUUCUGGGCUUGACGUCUACAGGUUAGAGUGUCGGUGCGAGUUGAGUACUUAAUUGAGGCGCUAAUGGAGUUUCCGCUUGAUCACAUUCCUUUUCUUUAUAGGCGAUAGGCGUGUGAGGGUGAUUCAAUUCGUAUGUUCGCUGUCGCGGCAGGAGCUACUGUUACGUGUUCUUUAAAUUCCAGUUUUCGUUCCUUUGUUCGUCCUCCCGUUCUCUCAUAUUAUUUAGUAGGUCCCUUGGUCAACAAUGCUAGACAAGCAGCAUAUAGGUUAUUUAUUCAUUGCAGCAUAUAGGUUAUUUUAUUCAUUGUUCAUUAUGAAACAAACUUUCUUGUUAAUUAUGGGGCGGUCUUUUACCUUACCAGAUUCAUUUGAGCGCCCAUAGCUAUUCAAUUUGGCCUCUUUCCUUUAUUCAGAUCUCUCCCUCCUAAUGUAACUAUCAAGAAUUUGUGUGGAUAGCUCGCAUAAAGAAAAAGGGGAAGGACACUGCUCUUACAGAAAAAGGGGAAGGACACUGCUCAUAAAGAAAGGGAAGGUACUGGCACUCAUAAAGAAAGGGAAGGUACUGGCACAGCUCUUAAAUAACUAACCGCUUUUAUAUAACUUACAGCUCUUAUCUCACUUAAAGCUCUUACAUAACUUACAGCUCUUCCAAAUUCUUCUUUGUGUAAAGGGUCAUAAAAAGAGUCUAGCCCACCCACCCCAGCAGUCAAGUACUAGUGCUAUCAAUUCCUACAGCUCAGGGUCAAUUGUGUAUCGAACCUGCAUACAGAUGUUUAUCAUAACAGCGUUAAGGAAAGAUGCGGGCUUAUUCUCUAUUCUAUGCUCUCCUCUCUUUUUCCAAUAAAGAAGGAGGGGACCCCUUUUCAAAGCCAUUUCUCAUGAAUGGUGGGUAUGAUUCUAUAACCGGUUUUUCCUUUCAUUCAAGGCUCGACAACGAUUGGAAUAGUGUUUCUUCUUUAUUGAUCUGUCUGAUGGAGACCAUUUAGAAUCCUAUUAGUAAACAGGAGCAUAUCCAACCUUUUGAAGCGGCGGGUCCUUCUUGAUUUGAUUUAUACUUGUGUUAUUUAUACUUGAUUGGAUUGAUAUUUGCUAGCUCUUGAGCUUUCCUAACCCCAUCUAUCUUUCUUCUUCUCUGGAUAAGGUUUAGUGUAAGGCCCCUUUUGACAUUCAAGAUAUACUGACGCAAACCUCUCGGGAUUUUAUGCAUAUCCUGAUUACCCUCCCACAACCGAAAAGGUAGAAAACCAUGUCUACUUUGCCUUUAUAGCAAUUCCUUUCUAGCUAUGCCUUUCUGGGGUUAUUGUCCAAGCGACUCUAUAUUUGAUAUGUUUUGGCCGCUCCAAGAUCAAAGGAAUUAGCAUGUUCUGGACUGCUUACUUCCAGAGAUUACACGAGUGUGUUCUCGCUUCUUCGAUAGCGCCCCCAUUCGAAGUAUUUCCACGAUCUUUUGUAGUCUUCAAUCCUUAUUUGUUGGUGUUUAGGAAGGGUUAAUGGCUUAUUAAUCUAUGAAGUCUAUAGGGUUAAUGGCUUAUUAAUCUAUGAAGUCUAUAUUCUCCCGAUCAUAGGUGAUAGAGACCCAUAAGAUAGGCAAAUGAUAGAAACCUAUAAGAUAUAAGGAAGAAAGAACGUAAAAGAUAUGACUUUAGAAAGCUCUGGAGGCAGAUUCUAUUGGCCUUUCAUUAAGCCUCCUUUAAUUAAGCGCUUUCCUACUCUUAUUUGUAUUUGAUAUUAGGCCACUUCCUGCAUAUUGAUUAUUCUAGGAUGAACGAACUCCUUACAUUCGAGUAUUUACCUCCUAUUGCAAUUGCUCUUGAAAACCUCUGCCUUGAGUCCUCGAAUACCUGCACCUAUUAUCAUGUACCGGUCGUUAAACCACACUGUAGAUAAUGCUUUUGCCAUAAAGAAAUCUCUAUUAAUAUUAGCAUCACUCGAAACUCACUAACGGAAGAAACAAGCAAACAACGAACUCCUAUCCGACACAAGAGCACAUGAUAGGCAAUAGGGACCGGGCACCCACACCUAUUAUACCUCCUCAGGCGAGGCACCCACAGUCGACCCCGUAACUACAAACAUGAUAAACAAUAGGCACCCCUGCCCCAGUUUGGAGCACAUUUGUAGCACACUGGCUUUGGCAUGAAAGUGUAUGUAUUCGUUGUGAUGCGGCUCCUCGACACUAUGCAAGCUACGGCAACUUUCAAGCUUUGUUUGCUCAGAGAAUUAAUACCUGAGUGACUUGGCCGUUGUUUCACCUCUUUUAAACGGAGCCCGCAAUGUAGCAGUAAAGAAUUGGAACUCUAUGACAACACUCGCACCCUCAGAUAUGAGUAAUCAGUACCAAGCAACACCCUAUACUUUCGAUCCCUUGUUUCGUUCCCUUGUUUGUUCUCCUUACUUUUAGAGUUGAUAUCCGCACAGCUGCGUUAAUUUGCUUGUUUGCUUGCUUCCCUUGCCUGUUAAGCUACCCACCCGGGGUAAGAGAGUAGUUGAUGCUUUUGUUGAAUAAAGAGAAUCUUGAUAGACUAAUAUAGAAUAGAGUACUUGCAUUAUAGACUAAUAUAGAAUAGAGUAAAGGCAUUGAAGCGUGGUGUGGGUUUACUUUCAAUGGGGAGAGGUUCUAUGAUAGGCUUUCCCUUGACUUUAUGAGUAGUGGUCCAAAGAAUGGCGCUCGCCUUAGGAGUUGAGUUAGAAGCAUUAUAUAGCUCGGCAAGAAAGAUUGAAUGAUUUGUUGAGUUCUGGUUUUCGGCUAACGUGCGUGUGGGUUAUUUGGAGUUUCAAACAAGGAAGGUCUAUAUGAACUCAAUUAAGUACUUAGCGCACCCAUAAUCUACCUCAAUCCUCUGAAAGUCAACUACUGAAGUCUUGUAUAAAGGUUCAAGCUAAAAGUCCGGGUAUCCUGAAUCAGCUGUUUCUGUUUUCACAUCAGAAUACGUUUUUUAAAGAAGCAACGUUAAGGGUAGGAAUAUUCAGGUAAUUAGAUAAGGGAAGGUAUCAUAUAAAUAUGGAUCUAAAGAAUAAGCAAGAUCGUCGGCAUAAGCAAGAUCAGAGGAUCAUCAGAAAGAGCAGAAGCUGAAUCAAAAGAGAAAUCAUAAGCCAAAGAAUCCGCUGUGGUGUCAAAGCGGUCAGCUGCCAGUGAAUAAGUCAAAGCCAGUGGUAAGCGGGACCAGACGGAAAGUUGUUGAAUUCGUCUUUGUUAUCCACGAGAGAGGCAAUCAACCAACAUAGAGUUUUCAAGAGAACGAGCAAGCAAGGCCAAAUAGUAAUAAAACAACCCCUUUUUGCGUCGUUUAACCAUAUGCCGCCGUUCAACGGAGCUCAUAUGAUAUGGCUAAUCUCACUUAUGGAAAAACUCCCCACUACGCUCCUAACGCGCACUACACUACGUUGCUUGUUCUGUCCUUUUCAUGCAUUUUUCCAUAGAGAUUAAUUAAGAUAGACCUCUUCCUAGAUAUUAAGAUGGACCUCCAUCUUCCUAGGUGCCAAUCAAUUGAAUUCUACUAUGGGGGUGCUAACGCGAGUUGUUGUUGCAGGAUGUUUUGUUACUAUCUUCGAGUUGUUGUUGCAGGAUGUUUUGUUACUCUCUUAUAAAAUAUGUCAGUUAUUAGCUUUUCUUCAGUUGAGCAUGAUAGGUGCACUCAAUUCCAUGAUUUUCUUCAGUGUUGUGAGUUUGUAGAGUAAUGGAGUCUUAAGUUAGGUUAAUCCCUUACAUGAGUUGUGCACUCACAUUCAAGAAGCCCUGAAACAUACAAAUGUAAGCUAAGGUUCCCCGAUAAGUCAUUUCUGUUUUAAAGCAAAGUGAUUAUAUUCAUUUAUUAUAGAGAUUAUCUUAUAUUCAUUUAUUAUAGAGAUUAUGAGUUAGAUUCUUGGAAAUGGAAUUCCACAAAACAAGUCAGAAGUGAGUUUCCGGGGAACAAGUAAGAACAAGAGAAGAACUGACAUCGGCCCACCCGAAGAAGAGUUAGGUAGUGAGUAAGCUGUUAGGUACCACAAACAAGGCAACAUAGAAUAGAGGAAGUAGUGAGUAAGCAGAACAAGCAACAAAGUCAGGGCAGUGAACUAGAAGCGCGAGGCCAGAAAAGAGUACGACACAGUAACGAGUUAGUCAGGAUGCCAAUAAAUCCGAUUUGCUUAAAGCAACGGAAAAAGAAGUAAGCUGUUUUGUGAAAACUCAGAAUUCAGUAAGCAGUGUUGUUACAACUAUGACAUUAUAGGGGGAGAAUAAGCAACGGAGCAAGCAGUAAGUAAUGUUCAAGCUUAGAGCCAGCAGUACAGUAAUAGGUGAGCUUUUUAGUUUCGUUAGUUUCUCAGAGGAACCAAACUACUAAUAAUGCACAAGUAGGGAUAGCAGUGCCUCUCUCUGCCUAUGUCCUUUACAGUGCCUCUUACCUAUGUCCUUUACUUUGUAUGGGGUUCGGCUGCCUCAAGUAGAUUCAAUUAGGCUUCAAUUCCCCGGGGCUCCUUAGCUUUGAACUCGCUGACGCUAGAACUCAGGCUCCCGAAAGCUGGAAUUGUCAUAACUCUGCGCUACUAACUACUAAGCUUGGCGGUUAUAACAAGAGGAACUCUAGCAGCCCUGCCGCUACACUGACUACGUUACUUGGCGGACUUGGUCAUAACUCUAGGAUACAGGACUUUCUAAUUCUCCGGAUCUGAAAUCCACUGCUGGCUCAACAAAACUUCAUUGAAUCUUGUUUGCGCAGAGAGAAUAGGGGAGGAAUAAUACCCGAAUCUAUACCUUAUCCCUUUUCUAUACCCUUAGAGUCACAUACUUUCCCUUAGAGUCACUGACUUUUGUACCGAUCCUGCUCUAGCUGAUCCAGAUGUAUCUUCUGCUAUUGUUUAGUUGACUUUACGGGGUGCACGAAAAGGGACAAGCAUAUACUACUGAAGAAUGGAAAACAAACAUAUUAAUUGAUGGGGUCUUACCAUCCGAGGAUAGAAGAAGAUUACCCAUUCCCAGUGUUUUACCCAGUCCGUCCCAGUUAAAGUUCUCAUGGAAAGCAAGAGAAAGAUGAGGAAGAAAGAGCAGUUCAUCGAUUAUUCUUAGACAGCUAAUCAACUGGCUUUCCCUACUUCCGCUUCCACCUCCGACGCUGGCAACCUUACUUGAAAGUAGGAUCUAUUUGAAUCCAGCGCUUAAUAAACCUCUGUUCCCCGAGACUGCCUGGCUUUCUCCGACCUCUAUUCCCCCUGGCUUCACCGAGACAGCCUUAUGGUUAUGGAUGGAACCGGCCUUGCUAGCAAUAAAAAGGCUUUCAGCACCCGAACACAUAGUCAGUAGGCAAACAACCAACUACUAGACCUCUUGCUCUUUGAACUCAGGCUCAUCUAACUCUGGCUACAAUUCAUUGAACCCUGAAAGUUGUAGUUACUCGUCUGCUUGUCCCUUCGUCGGAGUUCCCUGUUAAGUAGGUGAGUCCUGUAAGUGGGAGCUCAACUCCUAUAAGUAGUGCUUUUCUCCAGUUAAUGCCUAGCUCCAUUAUGGAUUCUUGUAUCAUUACUUGUUAUCACUAGUUCGAUUCGAUUCCGGUAGACGCUAUAUCUAGGCUAUGCCCCCAUGGAUAAAGAAUCAAAGCAAGGGUCGUUGGAGGUUUGCUGUUCUAUUCUUAUAGUUUGUAAUUGAAGAAUACACAUAUAGUAGAGCAGGAUCCGAAUCAGUGUUUAAAGAAAGCAACGACUACAAGUUAACAGUAUAAGAAUCAUAGGUGUAAAUAAGGAAUUUCGUUAUGACCUGUUUUUUCAUUAUCAACAGGAGUUUUCGAGUGAAAGAAGGAAGUGUCGAACUGAGAUAAAGGAUAGUACAAGUGAAAGCAAGGAGCGUAGGGCUGCCCUAUUGGGGGAAGUGAACAAGGCUAAAAGGCACAAGAUCGGAAGGCUCAAACUAAUACUAGUAAGAGGGCCUAAGACCGAAAGAGGGGAUUGUUAGAGUUGGAUUACCAGUUGAGAGUUUGAUCAACCCCCGCCGCUGAGGCAUUCUUAUACUUGCUUGCUCCAUUCCUGUUAGUAGUGUUUGGAUCCUUACUUUGAUGUUUGGCUCCUUGUUUUGUUUUUGUACUUGCUAGCUGUAUUCCGAAGCUUUCAAUACACGCCCACCCGAACUAAAAGAAAGACCGAUAAGAAGACUGGCAAUAGGACCAGUAAAUAAAGAAGAGUUGUUCCAGGUAUAAGGAUGCGCCUAAGGAAUACAAGAUACUGGUCUCGAGCUACAAGACAAUUUAUAUCAGGCGACGAGACCGCUUUGAACGAUACAAAGAAUAGAAUCCGGGCUUAACAGGACAGGACUGAAAUAAGAAAAAGGGAAUUGAGCUCUAGAGUCAGAAAUGAGCUACUUAUUUGGAUUAUUUAGAUACCGAUUCGGAUCCUGCUAGGUUUAGUCUUUCUCUCCUUCCCUUAAGUCUGCUAGGUUUAGUCUUUCUCUCCUUCCCUUAAGUCUGCUUUUCGCCCGGCUUCUCCUUUAUAUAAUUAUGACUUUACUUACUAUAGGGCUUAGACUCCCUACUUCUGUUAUGUAUUUCACCUUUGGAUUCUUAUACUGUUAACUCGAAAACUGACAACCUUCUACUCAUGCGUUACUCCUGUCAGUUAGUAACAAAGAACUCACUAGCUAUAAGUAAGUCUGUUACUACUAUCUUAGAGUCUUCCAUUACUUUAUCUAAUCCUUCAAUUGCUUAGGUUAUUUCUGUAUGACACCUUUCAGUAUGAAACUAAUGCCCUCAAUACCGAGUGAGAGGUAGCCCUACCUUAGCCAUAGAGUCUGUCUUUAAGCUAUUCUUCUUACGAAAAUGGUUUUCGCUCUUGUAGUUGUCCCUGCAAUGCCUAUAGCUGUCCCUGCAAUGCCUAUGUUGUUCCAGUUAGAAGCUACCCGUAUGAGAAGUAUAAGCACGGGUUCCAUUAUUGAUAGCUGCGGUUCGAGCCUUGUUAUCAUUAUAGGAGGAAUAAUAGGAAGCAAAGGGCCAAAAAAAGAAAGGUGCUGAAAGCCUAAAGUAUUAUAAGGCACCCAAACUGUUCUUUUAUAAUAGCUGGUAGCUGGAUGCGCUGGACACCACACCACUGGAGUUGUAGAAUGAAAGCAAGGUGAGGCAGGCCGGUAUAGGAGCAGACUCCACAGGGCAUUGAGGUAAGUUUGGUAAGGUCAGUUUUCAGAGUGAAAAGGGAAAGUAGGAGGCUAGAUGAUACUCCUCCAGGGAAUAAGAAGAUCAGUCUGGUUACUAUACUAAGAUCCGGGAGUAGGAGACCAAAGGCUAAUAGGUUAUUGAGUAAUGGAGUUUGAGUUUCAUCUGAUAGUGAGACAAUUGAAUUAGAAUCAAAGAGUUGUUGUAGUAGCUGUCUCUCAGGGUAGUAGUCGCUGUCUAUCCAGGUAGUAGUGAAGUCAUAGUUCCGAGCUCAAUUCUGCAAUGGUUCCCACACCUCUAAGGUAUUUCCUCUUUGUUGAAAUUAUUAUAGGUAUGAGUUGGAUUCCCAAAACACAUAAGAAGUUAUAUAUCCUUAGAACUACCCCCCUUCUUUCGCUUACCCUUAUAUGGCAAAAGUCAGGAUUGAAUUCCAUCCACUUAUUCCUUGAGCAAGUAAACUCGAACAGGCAAUUAUGCGUCAUCAGAUCCAGCAUCUUCUGAUGUAUACUUUUCUCUUGCUCCAUAUUAUCCUUAUUUCUUCGUCUGCGCUAAAUGGAAGGAGCUCCUCAAUUCCUAUAUUAGAUGAAAAGGAUAGAGAUGAUUUUCUUUGAACAACAGAGCCAUCAAAGGAACCAGCAAGCAAAGCGGGAACAAGAGAAGUUGAGUAAGCUGUAUCCGGAAUGGGAGUAGUUAAAGAAUAUAGAGUUGGUCGCAGGAAAAGAAUCCGGAUUAGAAGCUGUCCUAAAGGAAGCUGAAACCAAUGUAUAUAAUUCUGUAACAGGGAGAAUCAGAGGCUAAAGAAGCAGAAGACUCAUAAGCUGUGCUAGGAAAGUGUGUUUCUGUUCGAAAGGGAAGUGAGGGUGUUGAAGUUAAGCUUCCGUUUCAGUGUAAUAAUGAUUUGUUGACUUCAGAUCAACUGGCGCCUAGUAGGGGAAUUCGAAAAGUGUAGUUCCAGUUUCCAGAUCAGUAUCAGGAUCAGCCGAAAUGAAAGUACUCGUUUUGGGUUCUGCAAGCGGUGAUGUUGGCGAGACCUGAGAGAAAGAAAGAAUCUCUUGGGGUGCGAAAGCAGUCUACGAGUUCUGUUGCUGCCCGCUCGCUAACGGGAGUUUUUAAGUCAGAAUUCAUGAAUGGGAGUUUCUUCAAGUAGAGUUCCAGAAGCCAAGGUGUGCUAAUGUUGAGACAGUUGAGUGCACAAGCUAGUCUAUACGAUAAGAAAUGCAAGCUUAAUCAAGUCUAUACGAUAAGAAAUGCAAGCUUCAUAUUAGUACUUUGAAGCGGGGCCAAGCAACUGGGCAAGGCCCUUCCCUUAACUACUCCAGAAAGAGAUCUACCGCGGGAAAGGAAGCAGCAUUAGAGUCGGCAUCAGAGCCAGUAGGGAAAGGCAUAAGAUGGAUGGGUAAGAGAGACGGGCAUGAUGAUUACCCCUAUGGAUGACUAGCUUUUCCUUCUCGACGGGUGCUUACUCCAUUAUAUGGGACGACUACCACCGAAGGAGGCCUUGCCUACAAUGAGACGAGACGACUACUUGUAACAUGCUUCAGGGUUACGUAAAAAUCAGUCAUUCCUGUUUGAUUCUUUCCUCUCCCUUUCCUCUCCUCUUGAGCUCACUCCUACAGCACCUAGUAACAGACUGAGGGGGCCAAGCAAUAGUCUAGGCGCCAUCCCUUGUGUCAUCAGUUUUCCUAUAUGAGGAGAGUGCAAAUGAUACUAUGUUUUUUGCUACUGUGUGUCUACUGAAUAGAUAGGCAGGAAAGAUGAGUUGUUUUUCAGUGAGCUAUAGUGAUUAUGCCAAUAUGAAGUCAACUCUCUUCUUAUUGUCUAACUUACAAUAAGGGCCUCUCCACUUCCACUAAUCAGAAUUCCACUAAAGCAGAAUCAUUACCUGUUCAGCAAAGACACUACUAAUCCAGUUCCGGGUCCAGUGAGAGUUUCAUCCCCAGUGUCAUUCUUUAAUGCCUUAUUCCUAGUUGUUAGUUCAGGUCUAUAGUACACUGUUUCUUUCUGUUAUUAGUAGCUAUAGUAUUAGUAUUGGAUUUACUGGUUCAAUUAAGAAGCACCUAUCUCAUAUGAAGUGGACCUAGCCUUAAAGACAGUACCCGCUCACGCUUAUUCUUACUUCCUUGACUUUGAGUGUAAUAAGUACUCCCCUUUGUUUCUCCUACUAGGUUUCGAGGAAGGCAGGAUAGAUAAGCUAGGAUUAGAUGUGUCAUUUAGUCGAAGAGGGUAAGAUAUUGCCUUUAUGCCUGCGCUUUCAGCAAUACAGGUGCUUCCUUGCCUCCCUUUCCGUUUCCUAAGGACUGCCAGCUUUCUUGUUUGUGAUUUCCUUUUCUUAAGUAGUAGACUGAGUCAGAGGAGGAAGUCGUUGGGUGGAGAGGUCCGGUCUCUAGCGUCCUAUCUUAUGUCCGAAUUCUUUCUCUCUGUUAAUUGUCCUCUCGUCCAGUUGCUCAAGAUAGAUAAGCAAGGAGAACUUUGAUUCAGGUAACUCUAUGUUGCUCCGGUUAGUUCUGUUCUGUAAUCAACUACCUGGGUAAAGUAGCUCCUGUCGGUUUAGAGCAAGCAAAGAAAGCUCAGAAUAGAUUAGAUCGAUCAAGACUAGUAGUUAGUUGUUCCUACUUACCUGACUUGCUAGUAGGAAGCGAUGCUAUGGAACCAACCUAAUCCACUCUCGUGACCAUGAUCGAAGAUCAAUCCGGGGAAAGAGAUGAGCUUAUAUAUGAAAAGCUACCCGUAUUUACACAUACGAGGAAUCACUCACUAACGGACAAGAGAGCGACAAAUGAGCUUUCAAAAGUGCAAAACGAAAGGGUUGGUAGCUUUCGGCCUUAUUGAUCCAAUCACUCUUUGAGACUACUGCUUGUGCUUGGCUCAGCAUAGCCUUCUUUUUGAAAAGCUGACUGCUCAAGUAAAGUGAGGAAAGCGAAAAGCUGACUGCUCAAGUAAAGUGAGGAAAGCCUGAUCUGAUUUGGAAUCCUUUUUCAACGCCUUCUUUCCUGAUCGAUUCUUAGGGGAAUCGUAGGCCAAAAAUGGAUUCGUCAACGGAGGAUGCCUUUCAAGGAAAAAGUAACGACACCGCAUUCCCACACUUUCUCAUCUGUUUCAUAGAGGAGUGAGGCUGGCUAAAGCACCAAAACCAAUAGUUAGUAAGAGAGCGCCAUCAGGAUAAAGAUCAAAAGGGGGGGCUCUAGAAAAGAUGCCUUGAAGAGUGAAAAUACCGUAAGCGCCCAACUUCCACACAUCGAAAUAGACAGGUGAUCCUGCACGCCUAACCUAACUUUCAUGCACGGAAUCAACUGUGAUCGAAUAAGCUUUUUUAGGUAAUGAAGCCAGGUACUGAUUUGGGAAGUAACUGAACUUACUUAAUCUCCCUUAGGGAUUCGAGGAGCAGAAGGCUUACUAAGGAAAGCUAAUGACAUUGUUAAAGAGUAGGCAGAGAAUGUGCUGUUGUCGCAUGAAUAGGAAUAGGUUGUUCAAGAAUAAUUGUAAGACUCGCAAUUGAAUCAACUUCUCUUUCAUUCCUAAACGCUGCAAAAGAAAGACGUAACCGGUGUUCCACUUAUAAGGUUAACUGCUCUCGGAGUCCUAGCCGCUCUUGGCACUGAUUCCUUUCAAGUUAUGCCCUUAUGCCCGAUCCAAAUAUGCAGGGAGGUUUUCCUCGAAGAGAAGCUCUAAUAGUAGUAUGCGGACUCAUACUCAUCCCAGUGAGAGUGCAGGAAUAUAAUAAGAUGCUCUUUCAUCUCUUUGCAAUAGAUUGUGUUCAAAUAGCCUGGGCUCAGCUCCUGCCGUGCAACGACUGACGCACAAUAGAAAUCAAUUAUGUUGUUUUGAUUAUUUAUGUUGUGCUUUAGUGUCUUCUUGUCGUCUUGUCUGCUUGCCCCCGUCUUUGCAAUAGAAUGACUAACUGCUCUUGCUGCUAUUUCAUCAUCUGUGGCACUGACUUUAGGAAUCCCAGGGGCGGUGCCUAGCCUUUGCACAUGAAGGCCUUCUUCUCUAGCCUGAUGCGGGCGAUUCGAGUCAUCGAGAUAAUAGAAGUGAAUACCAUACAAUUGACUUGACUUGAAAUAUACUAUAUUGUGUUUUUAUAUACAAAUAGGUUUCUUUAACAGGAAGUGAGAGUGAGUGUCACGCGGAGUUACGCUUUGGUUAGGCUUGACUUGAUGAUGGGUUACAUAUAGAAGGGCUUAGUUAGCUAUGGAAUCAGAAGCAACUCCGGGCAGAUGGGAUGCCCCAAAAUAAGGCUUAUGCAACUCGAGCCCAGGCUUACUUGGCUUACUUGGCGCUCCAGAGACCAAAUCCUUUGUUUACCACUAGAAUUAGUAAGUUCAUUCUUUGACCGCAAUCCGAUCCUAUAGACUCAAUGAUUUUCAGGACUUGGUCAAACAACUAAGCUUGGUCUUACUACGUAGCUUGGCUCCUCAUCCUAUCUUCUCUAUCUAGCUCCCCUGAUCAUUCGUAUAAGUCUGGAGUAAAGAUGAUUCUUCUCUCUCUUUAAUAACCUAAUAAUAGAAUGGAUUAUUCCCUCCUUGGCUCUCAUUGAUUGUUUUUGCAAUACCCGACCCGACCGAAACAAAUACUUCUUUUAUAUCUCUAGCUCAUAUACUUAUCCGUAGUCAACUAAAUCCAUUCCCACUUUCACUACUUAGUUCAAUAGAAUUCAACUCACUCACCAAAACUUGAUAGCAAAGAUCUUAUUGCCCCAAUUCCCCUUAGUACUGAGUCUAGCUCCUGUACUUCUGGCUACAACUACUUAUGAAACUACGAAACUACGAGUUUGGGCUGUAACCCAGGGCUACUACUACUGUACUGGCACCCGAAACUAUACUUGAAACUAUACUUUCUACUGGCUCUUCUCUAACUGCUGACCUUGCAGACCUCGACUCAAGUCCUUUCUUUGUAGUUGUCGACUUCACUACUUCCCGCCUCAAAGCCUUAUACUUACUAGUGAGAUUCUCAAAUUCCAUUACUAGAUGCGCUUACUGCCGCUACGCAUUAGUGGUUACUUGUCUGGGCAUAACCAGUGUAUUUACUCGGUUCUCUACCAAAAGUGGAAACAGAUUCUUCACCGGAACCUCUCUCGUCGACAACACAAUCAUAAACUUCAACUCAAGCUAGAGGAUACCAGGGCAAAGGGCUGUAAACCCAGAUUGUAUGAAUUGCCUUCCCCUCUUUGCCUUUAGAACGGGAACUGGUGAUUCGAUUCUCUUUCUUACUUAACAGCUUCCCUGGCCUACCUCUGCUCUGUCAACAAUACCUUCAUUCUGACUUUCACUUAUGGGCAUGCGAAACAAUAAAGUUCGAAUUUAGCUCCUUCUCGCCAACCCCAGUGCAACUCAUAAGUAAGAAGGAUACAACUACUAAUAAGAGUAAGAAGGAAACAAGCAUGACUUGAAACCCACAUAUUGUGCAGAAGACUUAGAAUUCCACUCAGUAGUAUAAGAAUGAAACCGAUACUAAUAAGAAGAAGACCGGUCCCUUUGUUUUAGUGACUGGACUCAGAGCCAAGCAACGACAUAAGACGUUGUGCGGCAGCCAUAGCCAUGAAAUAGUGAAGUUAUAUUUAGUUAGAACCGCCAAGACACUGGGCAAGUAACUACGUCAGUUACGCGGGCAGCUAUGAAUACUAUUGAUAUAGGAUUUGGAGGAUGAAACUCUACUGUCAUUGCAGCCCUUAACCGCACUGCUUCUUUCUGCUCGAGUCGACAACUAAGGUAAACAAUGACCUAUCCCCCUAUACAAGGAGCUAGAGCCAAGACUAUAAGUCCUUUCUCCACGACCGACGUAAACAACAGAGGAAACUACUGCUCUGAAAACGAAAACAGCUGACUAGGAAUAUGGCCCCGUAUCUAUACCCAGGCUAACGUAAGCUUACUUUUCUUCAGAUCAAGACUUGGAGCCAAGAACUGAUCUCACUGCUUAUGAUCCUGAUCUUUCAACUUGAACUACACUUCCUGUUAGCAUAGCACACUCUGUAAACUCCCAAUCUAUCUUCUCUGGCAACUGACACUUCUCCUCUUGCAACUAGCUACUAGCAACUACACUGGAAACUUUACCACUACACUACUAUAAGGGAUGGGCAUUUCUACUAGUUUGGGCUGGAAACCUUAACUACUCUACUGGUAUUCAACUAGCACCAGAACAGGACAACUACUUUACUUAAAGGAAGGGGCAAUAACCAUACUUUCACAGCUUACCAAGCCGACACCUCUCAUAACCAUACUUUCGAACUGGAACAAGUCAUUCCACAAGAAAUACAGAAUACAGCGGGCUCUGGCUCUUACUAGCUCAACUCUUUAACUCUAGCUUAGCUCUACUCUCUACAACUACUGGCUAAGAAUUCCACCACUAGUAAGUAAACUACCCGACCCUCCGCCAAGUAAGUAAACCACCCGACCCUAGUACGAACUCUUUGGGAGCCCUCAUUUCGCCUAGAAGUAACUACAACUACAGGUAUUCACCAACAACAAGAAAAGUACUGGCAACCGAAACUCCCCUUUCUUGACUUCCCCAUAAGACUUCUGGCUACCCUUUCUUUACUUCCCCGACUAGACCUCUGUUAUUGAUUACUUGACUAGCUGCCCUUUAGCGCUACUUACUAUGUUACUUGGCCCGAGCUCUAAGUGCUGUUUUUAUUCUGAUUACUCUUCCCCAGUAGCUGGGAAUCGGUGGUACUGGUUCCAUUCUGUCGAGUAGUGGUUGCAUUCUGGUUAGCACUAGCAUCAAGUCCGAUUAGCUCAGGUUGAAGUCUGACUGAACUGCUUAGCUGCUACGUGGGCAUGAGCACUCUGCUUGGCUCCUACUUAAGAGUAUCAUUCUGACCUAGCCCACAACUAUUGAAGAGUAUUCUCCUUUCCUUGGCACUGACUCAGAUCCAGCUACUGAUCUUAUAGAUUCAAUAAGAACAGGAUAUUCUCCACUGUAAACUGGAACAGGCCGACAAGGAGCUACUACAGCAUCAACACUGGAACCGACUCACUACAAGCAGACAGCUUUCAAGUAUGGGCAAGUACCGUAUUUUGAGUUUCAAUAUAAAUAGAAGAUGGAUUAGUUUACUCGGCGCGGAAGGGAAGAGAUAGAUCCAAUUCUGAACUUGAAGUAUGGGUUGGGUCGGGAAGCUAAGGGAUGCAACAAGAACAGAAAUCUACUUUUUACCAAAACCCGUGUUUUUUAAUAGCCAAGGGGAGCUCCUGCCGCGGUUUUAACUCGCUGACGCGACACAUUAGUAGUGUCUUGUCUAGUAGUUCCUUGGCCCGCUAAUAGAUCACCAGAUUUCAAUGAGCUUUUUCCGUUUUCCCGUGUUUUUUCAUAGCCAAGGUAAUUUCCCUCCUGGACCGAUCUAUUUCCAUGAUCUUUUCACGUUUUACCGUGAAACAACACUGCCGCGUAACAUUCUGUUCCUUGGCGGGUAGCAAUCAGAUUUCCCCUGCUAAAGGGUUCCAUUUCUCCUCUUUUUUUCAUAAACCCCGUGUUUUUUCAUAGCAAAGCUUACUUCCUCUAGCUCUUUGAACUCCAACAAAACAGGAUUUCUUUCCCACUCUUGACCUUCCCUUCCUUAACUUGGCUUUCGAACCUAGACAAUUAAGUACUACUUUCCUAGAGAAUUAGUAGAGCUAGAGCAACAACUAGAGCUAGAGCACCAACCUCUUCUCUUAGCGCCUAAGCUUGUUCUUCACUUUCUAUUAUUAAGUAAGGCAACUCCCUUUCCAUACUUUAGAACCAGAACAGGACCACUACCCGCGCCCAGUAUAAGUAAGUAAACAAGCCUAGCCUAACAAGUCAGUAAACUAAGUAAGUAAACUAAGUAAGUCAACAACACUACCCGAGUAAGUAAACAAGCCGAUCCCUAUUAACUUCUUUCAACAAGCCCAGCAGCUGGCAACCGGAAUAGCAAACAGUCAAUAUAUUCUAACUAGUUGUUCCGAGUCCUAAUUCCAAGGCGUCAGGGCCUCUAGUGUUUCCUGGCAACUACUAAAAGCACCAAUUACCCUAAGCAGAAUCGAGACCUCACCACCCGCUAUAGAACUCAAAAGGGCUGUUUUUGUCUACGUUGCUUGUAUAGUAGUUACUUGCACUUAUUAACGCAGCUUGCCUAUGAAACAUCCUGUCCCAGAGAGUGGCUUUGAACCUGUAUUGAUGUUAGGAAAAAUGCCAUAGAACAGCUGAGAAAGGCGGAGAUAGUUGAUUCACAAAGUUAUUAGUCAAUUCCAUUCAAGUUGACCAGAGAGAGAGGAUCGGUGCUUAAUCCUUUAGGGGAGAGUUCGGUGCUCUAGCUCCUUUCCUUGUAUAGGGCAGAGGUGAUUGUGUUGGUGACGCUGGCAGAAGAGGAUUGAGCUGGGCAUAAUAGAGUCAGACUUGCUUUAGUUGCUAGCCCUUACUAUUAAAGGUUAACUCCUUCUCUUACCCUGCCUUAGUAGCUUGUCGACUUGGCCCUUAGUGACUUGGCCAGCAUAUAGGGCAACUCAGUAGUGAGAGUCGGAAUUGACUAAGGAGUUACAGGCUUAAACAAGUACAACUCAGAAUAGACUAGUGAACAGAAAGACUCAAACAAACACCGAUCAGACUCAAGUCAGCUACUAAGACACCUAACAACGCGACUGAAACCAGUAACAACUAGAAUGCAACUGGCAACUAGCAGGCUGAAACAAGUGCUAACCGGAAUCGAACUACUAACAACAGGACUACAACCAGUGCCACUAAGCCUUAAAAGCACUAACUCCAAGAUUGAAACCUGUGGGAGCUAUACUGGAACCACUAACAACCCGACCCGAGUCAAAGAAUUCCACCAGCCUGGUAUAUAGAAGAUAAGAUCAAAUGCAUUCUUUGUUUUCAUAGGUGCCUUCCCGCUCUAACAGAUUGCUUUGGGUAGCCUUCUUCUCGAAUUGAAAGAGCUGGAUCGGGAUCAUAACCCCUAUUUCUAGAAGUUGAACCACCAAGCCCCUACUCAAAUGAGGCUCUCUUCUCUUUAUAUUGGUUUCGGAGCUGCUCCUGCUGAUUCUACCUUUGAUGCCAAAGGAUCAGGUACUGGCUUUGAUGCCAUAAGUUCAUGAGUUGGCGAAAGGGGUGUCGCGGGAAGGGGAAUCCUCAAGAAUUAUUGUUACCCCCCGCUCCCUAUAAUAGUGGAAAAACUGUCGUCAACUGAUUGGUCCAACAAGAAAAGAAUUAAGAGCUAGUGAGGAAGCGGGAAUCGAAGUUGUAUCAGAAGCUGGAAGUAAAGGCUUUUUAGCGAGGUGUACUAAUGAGGGUGUAGUUAGCAGAGAUGAGCCAGUACUUUCGCAGUUUCACCCUGACUUUCUUUCUUUCUUUGUCUUUGAAGACCUGAUUGAGAGGAUAGGCGGGCAACCAAGGAAAAGAGGCUAAAUCUAAAGAAUCCCAGUUUGUUAGCCAAAGGCGAGCAGUAACGCAGUGUUCGAACAAGCAAGGAAGGGGGAGGGAAUAUAUAAUCAAUCCAAAAGUGAACAAGCCGACUCUACGGAAGGAAUAUGCUUAGCGCGCAGAACUCGCUAACUCCACUGAGCUUCCAAUCAUAAAUGAGUAUUGGUGGGGUAAGGGAAGAUUAUCUCAAUGCGCGCGUCGUGGUCCAAGCAUUCAAGGCUGGUCUUGUCUUCAAGGGGAGUUUUGGUCGGGGAAUAAUAAUAAAGUGACAUUUUCGUUUUCAGAUCAAGAUCGGAGGCCUGAAUAGAAGAUGGAUCUGGAGAUAAAGCUUUAGCUGUAGAAAGGUUAAGGGCAGAAGCGUUUCGUAGAGUUCUUGUUUCAUCCUAGUCCACUUCUGAAUCCGCAGUAAGAGAAUCCGCAGUGCCCGGAAAGUAGUAUAGAAUGAGGCCGUGAUAGCCUUAAACGAUAAAGAAGCCCAACUCUAUAUCCGCGUCAACAGAUUGUGCGGGCCUACUAGACCUGGCGCUCGCUCCAAUUAGGACUUGCUACGGAAACUCAAUUAAGAAAUGACCUUUAACACCGAGAUACAGAAUGGAACUUGAAAACACCUCUAAUUACUGUAUCCGUAGUAGGAGAAGUAUCAAUAGAUGUAUAAGGAGUAGGAACAGACUCAGUGGCUAAAGUUCAAUGGAAAAGGGAAGCAGUGUAUUUCUCUUUACUUAUACCAGAAGCUCGAGAGUGAAAUUGAUAUUCAUGAGUAGCGCCCGUGGAGGGAGUCCCUUGUUUAAAGUCACGUUCGAAAGGAAUCUUCAAGUUCCGUUGAGUGGGGGUAUCUUAUCGAAUAAGUAAGUAUAGAAUCAGAGGCGAAACCAGUAGUAAGAGAAUCCGCAGUGAACUAGGGAAGUCUCCAAAAGAGGAAUCCGUUGUCGUUUUGUCAACAAGAUCAGGAUCCGUUCUCAAGUCAGCAACAGCAAAAGACUCCGCUGUAUCAGUUUCAAGAUCCGAAGCAAGCAGGAUAAGAUCUUUCUUAUGCCCCUUUGACUUUAUUCUUCCCCGAUAACUACACUUUAAACAAAUCAUUCCACUUGCUGCUGCCCUUACUUAUAUUAGGCUUGAUCAAGCAUCUAUCUAAUCUAGCUUACUUACCUAAUUCUAUAUGAUACCUAUAUCUUUCAACAAUAACUCAAAGGUAAUAACCGCUUGCUCCUUAACUCUUACUUGUCUAGCCUGUUUCCUUGUCCUUUUUUAGAGUAAUGUUUCCGGGUUCCAGAAGCAACAGCUAAAGUCAAACAAUCAUUUCUUACUGAAUUCAUUCAUAGAAUCUCAAACAAUCAUUUCUUAUCUUACUACUUCAUAUAAUAAUCUAGGAAAGUAACAGAGCAUUGCCAACUUGAUCUUAUCCUAACGCCGAAGACAGGAAUUGACCUAGAAACUCCCGAAAAUCGGAAUCUUUCUUUUGAGCGGUCAACGUAAACAAAUAAGAAAACCCACUCUCCCUGGCGCCACAGCUUAUGCUUCCGCGGAUGCUUAUGACUAAUAGCCAGUACUCUUUGGAUUCAAGUCGAACAGAACUACUUGUUGCUGACUUUGGCAGAGCUUCCUCUCUCUCUUACAAAGGGAAAAAGUCAAGUCAAACAAAGAAUUCCAAUAAGGCGUAUGAAGCACCACUUACUUAAUCUAUAAGAAAGUCACUGGUCACCUCAACUUCACUUUAAGAACAUUGUCUUUCGUCGACAACACAAGCAUCGAACCUAGCCUGCGCAGGAGCAAGAAGUCAUCAAGUGAAAGGACUGGGCGAUUAAGAACCAACCCCUACCCCUAUGUCUUGUUAAUACAAAUGCGCCCUUAACUACAAGGAAGCCUUAAAUAAGGCCUUUAUGAGUCGUUGAACAGAGGUUUCAUGGAGCUAAUGGCAAAUUACCUAUCUUGUACACUUACAGUAGUUCUAAUGCAUUCAUUAUUUGAUUAUAACCGCGGUAGGAGAGUGAUAUUUCUCUUAGCCCUAUCCUUGCUCAUACUUUCUUUUUACCUUGAGCACUACGUUACGUGGACAUUUUCUUCUCGAGUCUAUUAUUCUUCUGUAUAGUGUAGGGGGCAACAGAUUGUCCUGGUUACCGCUUUGACACCGCUGAUUCCAUGUAGGAUGACAGUCUCACUUCUACACUCGCUUCAGCAGUUUCUCAUUCCAUUCCACAAUUCUAUUCUUCCUUUUGAUAGGCCAUAUAGGGAAAAACAACACUCUUUUGCGUCGCCUAUCCUUUUGAUUCAUAAGCUUCUGUAACGGAACUCGUACUCGUACAUUUGCUUCAAUCAAAUAAUCUUUAUCGGCAGCCCGCCCUUCCUUUGCUUUUUGAAUGAAACUCGAUUGUAGUAGACCGCGCAGUUCUUAGUGUUCUAGAAAGAAUAGGUUUUGUUUAACAAUCCGUUCUCGCACCGGUAAGAUACGAGUGAGAAACCCCUAAAUGAACACUGCUGAUUCUGUUGAAACUGCUUAUGCAUAUGCUGAUGACUUAUAAACUCCUUAACGCAUUUGUUUCUUGCUUAGUUACCUUGUGUUCGAAGCAAGCCCUAGUUAUAGUUCUUUUGCCGACCUCGACUGCUUACUUUAGUCUUACAAGUCCUUUCUUCAGCCGUUUGAUGCUUACUUGCCUUGAAACCUCACAGCUUACUUGCGCCUUUACUUAAUAGCUAUUUCGGAUUAUUCUUAUGUAGAGUUGCAGACUAGGAUGACUUUCUAGUUUAGAGAAGAAGCUUUUUGAGUAUAAAGGAAAGGAAUAGUCUCAAGGUUCGGUUCAGUUCCAGGAAAGUAUCAAGAUGUUGGCGACGAGCCGAGUAGUUCAUCAAAGAAAAGAGAGUGAGAGUUUCCGUUUCGUUCGGAACUUCCAGUGCUUUUCCAGAUUCAAGUCGAGUUCAAGAAGCCCUUCCACUUGUUUGAAUUGAAAUAAAUAAGUAACAUAUGAGAUAAUAAAGUAUUCAAAAGAAAGCUUGACUCAACAAGCAACGUAGAAAGUAUAGCUUGUUCCCCAAAACUCACCUAUUACUGCUUGCUCUGCUCGGACCCUUUCAUAGAGAGAGCAUUGAUGUCGUCCACCCUUGAUUUUCUAUACGAGACUAAGAGCUGUAGUCGGGCCAUUGUGAGGGUAAACUAAUACGGACGUUGCUUGUUCGAACUCAUAACUCUGUUCGUAUACUAGGUGAGCACUUAGGCUUUCGAAACUCCACCUCCACUCAACAACGUACUCAGGCGAAAUCCAAUCUCAAAUAAAUCAAAUGUUCCAUAAUUGAGUAAAACCACUGCAUACAUAAAAUCACUACCGCUAUAGAGUAGUCGAACUCCAAGAAUAUUACUUACAUAAAGAUAAUCUCUCUAGUAUCAUGUACUCUAGUAGAAUGUAUAGAAAUUGGAACCGAACUAGCUACUCCAAUAAGCUGCUUAUGCGCCCUAUCUUCUUAUUCUUUCUGUUCUGCUACCCCCCAUUUGAAUAAAACGAAAUCUCACUGACAACAUCUAUAAGCGCUAUACCAUACUGCGAAACUUCCAUCACCUAUUACAGCUGGCUCUAAAUCAGAGGCACAUCCCCAAUAAUAGAAUGGAGUCAAAACCCUGUUGACAUCUUACAUAGCAAAACCUCACUGCAUGUUUCUGGCGCCGUUCAUCUGUUUAGUGAGUAAAGCAUUAAACAUAAACCAAUGUAGGGGUGGGUAGGGAGAGUGUGAAGUCCCCAAAGUAUUGAGAAUGAAAUCCUUUAUAUAGUAUAGAAAUAAGUCCCCAAGGUAUUGAUAAUGAAAUCCAGAAAGAGAAUGAAAUCCUUUAUAUAGUAUAGAAUAUUCAAGUAAACAAACAGAACAAGAAGAGGAAGAGAAUUGAGGCCUUGUUGGUCCCGAUUAGGAUUGUGAAUUGAGUGAGGCCUUGCUCCAGCGAAUUACUAACAACUAGUGGCUUGUUCCCUGCAACUCUAUGAGAUCUAUGAUCCUCCAAAGGUAUAAGGCCCCUUCCAAUAAUCAGCGGUAGCAAGAUUGGACUGAGGACGGACCGCGUGUCCAACAUUUCUCAAUGGCCAGCUUGAAUAUUGGCAAAAUGUUCCAUAUCUCCAUUCUACCUUGACUUUUGUCUGUCGAGUUACUUCGUUCCUCCUCUGACUUUAUUGAAAUAUAGUGAGUCAAAUAUAAUGUACCCUUGCAUCCAAAUCUGGCACUACAUAACAAGUCAAUAAAAGCAGAAAAUACCGUAUGCAUAUUAAGGUGUGAAAGGAGUCUCUAAAAAGCUUCGUAGCCAUCAUAGCUUAGCGAGACUAAUCGCGCUUGCGAGAGAGCAUCGAGUGGGUUUACUUUAAGCUGCGAGUGCACAAGUGGGUUACUUUAAGCAGCGAGUGGGCUGGUAUUCUUGUAGAUGGGGGAGCCGUACCUUAUAAUCAAAAAGAAGGAUGUUGUGGCGUCAGAUGAUUGAGAAAGCAUCCGAGUAGAGCUUAGUUGUGACACCGGACGAGUUGAUAAAUACACACUGGUUAUGAAGGAACUAGCCGUGAAGGUGGGUGGGUUCCCGAGCAAUCAUCAUACGAAAACGAAAACCGCGUUUGGUGCUUGCGCGCGUGAGAUGAGAUCCAGUAAGCUAUCUAUAUAUAGAGAGAGCCAGCUGGGUAGUUUUGCCUCAUUAGGGAGGAAAGAUGCGCAUGAAGAAGCAAGCGGGAUUAAGCAGAUGCGCUAAGAAUAGAUGAAGCAAAGAUGGAUCCGCGCUUAGGGCUAGGGCUGUUAUUGGUCGAACUCGUCUUCAACGUGUUGAGGCCAUACUAGAAAGAACCACGCCCACACCGCUGUAGCUCUAUGGCUAUAUAGACGCAAUAGGGCACUAAGAAUCCACUUGGAAUUAGUAGUUUCGGUUCAUAUCGGCAGGAAUGAGCCAUUCUGUAGUACGUAGUGGCGAGCUUUCAUUUCCGUUCAGUAAGUAGGGGAACGGCCGUAGUAGCUAGCGAAUCCACGUAGUAGUUGUGUUUUGUGUUCUAUCCAUUCUUUGGGUGUGAAAGAAACCAGAAAUGGAAUUGUAAGUAGCUUCAUAUAUAAUAAGAAAGUAAACAAACUAACAAGCAACGGAACUCGCUAACGUGAGGGGUGCUUAUUUCUAUUUUGCUGUUCUUUCAGAGUUUAGGUCCUAUUACUCUGGAGACUCUUAAGCCAUUGAUGUCUGGAAACCUUAUUGUUGGCUUCUGGUCUUUCUAAAGAAGGCAAGCCUCGUGGUAGUCCCGAGAUUAAGUACUCCCGCAGGCCGAGCCCCCUUCUUCUAUACCGGAAAGCCUCUAACCCUUACCACUGCUUCUUGCUUUUCCAAUCCCUAUUUCUAUUAUAUCUCUAUAUAUAUAUUAUUUCAGAUAGAUUUCUACUUCCUGCCUUUUCCAAUCCCUAUUUUGUCCAUUCUAUUUCUGUAUUAUGAGAGAGGUGAUUGAUAGAUUCUUUCUUUGACCACUGAUAUGCGAAUGAUGCAUAAUUCUUUUCGUUCGCAUCGGAGGAGUUGCAAGCCGAUCUACCUUAUGCUUAUGUCUGGAUAGAGAAUUGGAUUAUGGCUCCGCUUUUCUUGACUAUCCCGCUUUUCAUUACUUUAGCAGGAUAAGAAGCAUUUCGGGAGUCAAUACCUCUCCUCUUCCUAUUCCCGAAGCUAGUAAGAGUAAUAAGGUCCCAACUCAGAGUGUUGUUCUUUUUUAUGAUAUCGAAGCAAUGUCGUAUCCAGCUCCGUUCUAGUAGCGGAAAGAGAGAUCGAGAUGUGAGAUUCCGGGAUGAGUGAAGAACACUAGCAGCUCAGCCGCCCUAACGGAAAAAGGACUUGGAAAAAGUUGCAGCGCCUGACGCUCUUAAUAGCCUAAAGUGAGCUAAAAGCGCUAAAGGAGUUUGGGCUUGCCCUAUGUUUCCAGUUGAUUUCUUAAUUCAAUGCGCUAGCAAGUUCUGUAUUCUGGCCCUAUGAAUAUCUUCUCUUAUUAGAAUGCGCUAGAUCGUACCCAAAGAGCCAAGUAACUACUAAUGACCAACCCACCACUACUAGGCAAAACGGGACCUAAUCAACUUGCCUUAUAAUGCAUUUAUGACUAGAAGAUUUAUGGUCGAAGAAAGGACUUGUACAGGGUUUGAUGCGGGGAAGUGGAGAAUUGCCUGUUCGAGGUAAAGUUUCAAGGAAAGGUGUUGUCGACUCUCAAUCGGGAAUAAGAUAAUAGUACUCGGGCUUGCUUUGAAGGGCAGAAGAAAGUAUAGGCUUAGUUUCUAGGUGUGAGUGAGCGAGAUACUUUUCGUUCCUAUGGUCUACUGCUUUAAGGGGCGAGGGAAAUCGUGAGAGAACAGUCUUCCUUCAUCUGCUGCAAUGAUUCUUUCCUAUGGAUAGAUACCAUCGGUGAACAAAUGAAAUGAUGGAUUUAGCUUAUUGAUUGAGAAUUACCUCUUACAGAUGCACAUAUAAAGGAAGAUAGAUCGCUUAUGUCUAGGUCGCCCCGCUCUCGCUUUGCUCUCCCCUUGACUUCUGUCGUUGGACUACGCGCACAGGAUCGGUUUCAAUAAUGGCUGGAUCAUUCUGCCGCUGAAAGAUCACUUAAUCACACACAAGCAAGAUGAAGUGCUAUUCCACCGGUGAGAAGAGAAGAACUGGUACUUUAUGCGAAUAUUGAAGAAGCGAGAACACACUCGUGAUAAGGGCGGAAUAAGGGUAGCGGUAAGUCUAGACUACUACUUUCAGGGGCCAAAAGCAGGUUCACUCAGGACUACUAUACUACCUUUUGUUUGGGAUUCCACAACUAAUGAAGGGGAGUUCGGUGUCGGAUCGGAGUGGGAAUGGGAAGUAGCUCCCAAGUCCUGUGUUUGGGAGUUAGGUUAGUUGGUAAAGAGAAAAGAUGCUGUUCUAGACUCAACUCGCCCCCCUUCCGGCUUGGCACAGCUGAAAUUCCUUUACUAUAUGAUUUCUUUUCUUUUGCCCACCUCGACUCUUGCAACUAAUACCUCCUCGCCUCUUGCAACUAGCUAAUCUAACCCCUUAACUUUAAGCUCUUGAUGAAGAUACCUCGCAAGUUAAGAUAGUAUGACCUGUGCUCUGAACCAACCCAGUACACUUUCUUUACCACCUCUCCUCUGUAAACUAAUGCCAAACAGGUCACCAACGUAGGUAAGGGCUAAGUAUUUGAUAUAACACUAGCAAACUGACUAUACGGGCCCGAACAGGAUUGAUUGUCUCUCUCGAAGCCAACUACUAGAGCAGCUCUCUCCUCUGUAAACUAUUCAAAGAAUGAGGCUCUGUUACUUGGCCCCUACUAAAUGAUAGAUUCUCUUUAUAUAUGAGAUCUUUAUAUAUGAGAACUUCUUCUAGGAAAAUGGAUAAGUAAGAUCAACUACUAGGUGGGUAAGGCUCGUAAGCUAUGAAAGUCUAGUUAUUGCCCCUGAAAGGAGUAGUCCAAAGAGUAGAGGAAAGUUUACUUCCAGCCUAACUAUUGAACUCAGUAGUCAAAGAACCAAGACACCAAUAUUGGAAGAAAAAACAAUCAAUGAUCAAAACCAGAAAUCAAGAAUAUCAGAAUAAAGAAUUCCACCACAGUAUACACAUAGUAGGGGAAAAUAUAUAUCACUUUAUUAAGGAAACUAGAUUCCACUCAGCGGUGGGUAAGAAUUCUACUCUUAAGUAGGAGCCAAGCAGAUGCAAGCGGUAAGGGAGUUCAUUCAGCAAGUAAGAAGGGCGAGCUACUAUAGAGGAUCCAAUGAAGCAAGUCAGAGUUGCACUCAGUAGUCAAAGCACCCGAAACAAGACUGGAAGUGAAGAAGUUCAGAGCAGAUAUAAUAAGUGGCACAGGAACUAGUUAGAGGCUUUGAAGCGGGAAGAAAAGAAAAGACCCAUACUUAAGGGGGAGCAGCCCUGCCGCGCAACUUACUAUGUUGCUUGGUGGACUUGUUCAUAAGGAGAGGGAACCAUGUUUAUAGCACCGGGUCAACUAGGAGGUCAGUCUUAUUGUUAGGUAUCUUAGUUUAGUUGUUAGUGGUUUCAGUCGAGGUGGGCAAGGUCAGAAACAGAAUCAGGGUAAGGGGAGUCGGAACAAGAUCUGAAGCCGGGUGCUCGAUUUCGUAUGCAAGGAAAGAAAGUCAAUAAUGAGUUCAAAGAGACAGCUCUAAAGUGAAUGGUUAUAGUCUUCAGACCGGGAGUACUGUGGCGUAGUAGUACUGUUGCAUCAGUAGUAGGUAGUAGCCAUAGGAUAGGUAGGCAAGCUAGAACAUCUAUUUCCUCCCCUGGUAAGUACUGUUAGAGUGUUAGUGUAAUCCCGGUAGUCCAGGUAGUACGAGUUGACAGAGGAGACCCCCCUAGCUCCUGUUCGAAAGUGUAGUAGGCCUAUUCGCCAGUGAGAAAGAGAGAAGCAACAGAGAGAAUAGUUAGAAGUUGCCAUAGCUCGUGGAGUCAUAGGUAAUAGUCAGCAUCCCGUAUUGGUUCAACCAGUAAGCAUCUAGUAUUGGUAUGAACUCUAAGGUCUCGAUUCCCCACAUCUAGGUACUCAGUUCAUUCUUUGCCAGUAGUUUAGAGUUGCUAGUUUGAUUCUGAUUAUAUGUAAACUAACCACUCCAGAAAUGAAGUAUGUAGGGUUCAACCUGAAUUCUUCUCCUAGUGAAGUCAACUCUAUUCUCUACCUUUCUUACCUUGAGCAAGUCUAUAAGUAACAAGUACUAUCGGUAUUCAACUCAAACUAACUAACUUGUAAUACUCAUCUAACUCAGGCAAUAGGGUGCUUAAUACUAAGAUAGUAAAUGAAGAGGGGCACUGGUAUCAGGCUUAGAUGCCCUGGGGUUAAGGCUGUUACUGACCGGUUUCAGGCUUAGCCCCUACCUUACACAACUCUAAACUCCCCUCUCUGACAAGGAUAAGAACAAGUAGGAAAUUCCAUAAGCAAUAAGUGGUAUGGUCUGCCCUGUAUUAUAGGAGAAAACGGAAUUAGAAGCUCUCUUAGGUGGACUUCUCCAGCUUCUGUAUCAAAGUAGGAAUUACUGAAUUUCACUAACAACUAGUAAUAAGUCAUUUAAGAAUUCCACAAAUAAGUCACAGAAUUGACCUCCUUCUCGCCAAACUCCCUUUGACAUAGAUGCUUGCCCGGCCUGGCCUCUACUUAGUCAACUCCAUUCUUAUUGUCUGCCUACCUCAACUCAAGCUUUCAUUAUAUAUUAGGCCCGCUCUUGCUUCUGUUGUAACUACUGAUUCUCGGGUUACUCCUGACUCCGCCUUCUCUUGGGAGUCCUGUCUUCAUGGCGGUACAACAGGGCACAGGAAUAGUUGAAAAGACUCUCACUUUAUAUACCGAUCUUUGCUUCACUGGCUUGGGCUUAUACUCCUUACUUCCGUCCUUACUUAUGCGUAUGCGCUUUAGGCUGCUACUGCUUCAUCUAGGUCUACCGCUCCCUGCUGAUAAAGUCAGUCUGUCGUUCCCUUAGCUUGGUCUACCUCUCUUUGUUUUGAGUAUUACUUUCCUUACUAGAAUUCUUUACUUGCAUAUUCAAUCUUUCGGGCAGGAAUCCGACUACUCACCAAUAAGACUUACCCCACUCACCGGGGGAAUACGAAUACUACUAUGGAAUACAGUAACCUAUGGAAAUACUAAUACCACCAAUAAGAGUUGAGCUUGGAACUAAGACUUGCACUAUUGAUCCGGGGAUCCUUACUUAUGAGGUUUAAGACCUUACCCUGUCUUUUAUUCUUUCACUGCAGGAACCAAGGCAGCCCCGUUGUCCACUUCAUUAUUGUAUUGAUAGCGUGAGUAUGCCACUAUAGGAACAUGAUCCGGAUGCCCACUACUGAAAUUGAUAUGUGUUUUUUCAUAUGAUAUUCAAUAGUCGUUUUCGUAUAGUAACUAGGUCGAAAAGGGUGACUUUUUCUUCUCUUUUUGGAGCCAAACAACUUCUCUUUUUCUAUUGGACUGGACGAUAGAGCUCUAGUUCCGGCUUCACUGAAGGAUAGGCGGGCCAGCAAUAUGGGCAAGUAGUUUACCAAGGAUACAAGAUGCCGGGAACCAGUAAUAGAAUAAAAGUAAGUGAAGCAAGAUCCGAGGGUAAUAGGCGAAGGCCGGGAAGGCGAGACAUACAUUCACAUUAUGAGGGCAGCUUUAGCUGCCAGCGAAUCCAAGUAAUUAGUAAAAGACUUUAGUGUGCUAGGGAGGGAAUUCCACUCUUAAGUAAGAUACAUUGGACUGGGAAUUAAUAAUGGAACUAGGACUUCUCAGAACCAGCACCCCAGAAUACAGAAUAUACUUACGCCACUGAUUGAUGAGAAUCGAAACACCCGCCUAGCCUAGCAAGACCAAGAAAGUAGGGUCUAAUUAAGAGUAAGCCUGUUUGACUGCAGCUAUAUUAUAAAAAGCAGUAGAUCAAUUCUCUGUUUCGAGUUAAGGUCUCGCCAGAACCUAGAACUAAAACUACCUGGCAAAGACAACUGCAAUAAAAAACAACAUAUAGUAUAUUUAUGUAGAGUUCUCACUUUAGAUGUGUUCGGCCAGUCAGUAAGUCGCCGUAGAGUAUAAAGGGCCCUUUACUGACUCCAAGGCUACCUUGCCUAUCUAUUACUCUUGGACUUAUUACUUCGAUUCUUCUAACACCAACUAUAGGCCUUCUCCCCUUCCAGUACUUGCAUUAUUUAUUGAUAGCUCUAGUCUGCUACUCCUCUGUCCCAGGCUUGCCUUACUUUAUCUAAGACUUACUUGUUUGACUCUAUUACUUCACUCAAUAAUCAUUGUUAGUCGAGUGGUUGUUUGGCGUUUAGUAGUGACUUUACCUGUCCUCGAUUCGUUAUUUUGUUUCCAAGGCUCUAACCAAUACAACUCGGCCUUAUACCCCAAACGGAGAAGCCAACUACAGCUCAUAGGGCUUUCAACCUCAACUAGGAGCCCUACUACUAAUAUCAGACCGGAGCUACUGGUUCUAAUACAAUAUCUGGGAAUAAAUCAACUUUCAGCAAUACUACUCGGACCUUCCCUAAAAUCUGACUUGCAAACUUCGACUCCGCUCUUGCAUUCUAUGAUUGUAGCUUCAAUCUCCUUUGCGCGGAUUGCUAGGAACUACUGGCCCGGGUAUGACAUGACUUUCUCUUUAUAGAAUAUAUAGGAUUGAACUGGCGCUAACAGGACAAUAACUAGAACCUGGGACCUCCUAGUAAGCAGGAACCAAACAACUAUACCGGAGAAUUUCGCUAAUAAGUAUAGGAUCUAAGUGGAAACAAAGGUGCUACUUAUACUUAAAUGAACAACUGGGGAUCGAACACUGCCUAGCAAGACUCUCACUAUUGCUUUUAGAGUACAACCACUAGCGAUAAGAGUUGCCCCCACUAAUUAGACUCCUUUAUCCUGUUAUGUUGCUAGUACCCUUCAUUCUAUAUUCGUAGCUUCAAACUUCUACUAGUAGCUCUUGACCUGGCAUUCCUUGGUUCUUAUGCUCCUCGGUGAAACCAUUGCUUCCGUGUUUUAGUAUGUAUUACUUCCCUUUCUUUCGUUCUGAAACUCAAUACUUGCAUCCUAUCUCCUAUGUUCGAUUGUCGGCCUACUACCAACUUACUCCUAUCGGAAUCAAACUAGGAAAUCCACUCGGUGAGCUCAACCCGGGCCAAGCAAAUAAUACUAAAUGAACUAAACUCAAAAAGGGGCCAGAAUAUUAAUGACACUACAAACAAGACUCUCGCAGCUGGCUUCCACGAAGAAAUAAAAGAAUACAGAAUUGGCUACUUAUUCCACAUGGCAUAUUUCCUAGAUACAAUACAGAGUAGCGGUAUUUACUUAAGCCUUCCUUUCAGUCCCUUGUGCCCGAGUUGGUGUCUAGCACCUUUCCUAAUAAUAAUGAAUUGGAUCACUGCUCCCUUGUCUAUGUGCCUCACGCUACUUACGGAAAUUAUGUAUUAUCACUUUUGCUCUUCUACUACUAGCUACCAGAUUGAACCGUGCCUAACAGACACCAGUGUGCUCUCUAAGACGACUUUCGCCCCGGCUAAUCAGAACAACGUCAAUUGUCAUAGGGAAUAGGAACAGUUACAACGAGACUUUACUGGCGGAUACAGAAUUCUACUUGUAACUAUAGGGCUGAUACUGCCGAUAGAAAGAUGGAAAAAGGAAAACAGGAAUCCAAUUGACUACUCCGCCAACUCACUCUUACUUUAAUGCCUAUAAGCCUGGCGCGCUACUGACUUCGAAGCUGACCUUAACGAACCAUACCCAUAAACUCCAUUCUGUAUUUCAAGAUUCAGUAUUACAGGACCCCUGGCACACCCUUUGACUAAUGAAUUGGAUUUUUGCUUUCCAACUGCCAACUAAUGGUUUCUCGUUCUUGAGCUACCGGCUUGGAUUCUGUAACUGGAAUACUGGGUAUUGUAUUUCACUAUUACAAAGUAGAACUGAGCUACUACUGAUUAGACUGCUCCACCACUAUAUCAAUGUUUAAACACAUUAUUAUUAAGUCAAUGAAAUAAGGCAUUGAAGAAAUCCAAUAUAGAUUCAAGUAAGUAAGGGAAGGCUAACUGGCAGAAGGGGCAGACGCAGACUCGGAUAAUAUGCAAUAAGUAUGGCAUGUCGGGGGGAGACAUUAAUAAGGCUUGGGCUACUCAGCGCCAUUCUUAGAUUGGUGAAUUGACUUCUGUAAGUCAGGUUUUGUUCCAUAGUAAGUUGAAUCUCUUAGAGCGCUGUUCUACUCUUUGACUACUCGGUUUCAUUAGAACUUUACUACUUGAAAGAGAUAUUCUAUGGUGGAUUUACAACUUUACAGAAAUAGGCAUAGGUGGGCGAGAAAGAGUUCCUACUCUAGUUCUGGUUCGAGUUAUCUUCUUAUAGUGGGUAGUGGAAUUUCUAUUGGGUAGUUUCAUAGUAUUCUUUGCUUGUAUAGUAGUUACUCGUCGUCUUGGUGGUCUUAUUUUGACUAGUUGAAAUACCGGGUUAGAGUUAAAGCUAUUAGGCUACGUUCUUUUACUGCCUUCCUUGAUUCUAAGUUAGAGUUAAGGUCCCAUCCGUACUAGCCAGCAGCUGACGCUGCCCUCUCCUUAUUAAGAGCAUAGUUCUCUAGGCGCCGCCGCUUUGUAAUUCCUUAUUUGAAGACCGGAUCAGCUGUUAAAGAACGAAAGCAAAGAGAUAUGGAUGUCGUGUCCGAGUAGUUGGAAUCAAAGUAAAGGUAGCUAGACUUAAAGCAAGUAAGGAAAGGCUCACUUCUGACCUGAACUAAGUAAUGUUAUGUUAGUCGCAGUUGGAUUCCUGCUUGAUAGAUUCGGUCUUGGAAGUAAGUGCGAAAGCCUGUUAGAGUAGCUUGCCUCUUGUUGUCAGUAGAUUGAUUCCUCAUUAAUAGAGAGAUUACCCACCUAGGAGAGAAGCCUUGUAAGCACUAGUAGAAUUCCCUAUAUGGAGUUAUCGUAGUAUAAGCCUAUGAGCCCGACACCCAUUCUGACCUUCCCUGCCUGAAAUCUAGAACUAUCCAUUUGCAAACUGACAUUGCUUGAUCUUAUUCUGACUAUCCGAUAUCCGAUUCUGACUCGCUAGGUUGAGUAUCCUUCCUGGGCUAUCAACAACAUAAUUGGAAGAAAACCACCACCAACAGGACUUCCGCUCAUACUACUUUGAUUUAUACCUGGGCCAGCAAUACCUCAAUUCUUGACUACUCUCUUAGGAAACCAGUUGUUUGUCUCGUCUUCUCAUUCUUUAGUUAAUGAUCGAUCCGUUUUACUUACUUCAAAGCUAAGCUGGCUUUCCUUUAUUUACUCCGAUACUAGUACCGAUUAGACUUUCGCUAUUGAUCUCAAAGCUUGCUCCACUGGCUAUGUGCCUCCCCUUCCCUUCCCAAACUCUGACUCCUAUGACCUUCAAUACCUGUGUUAGAGCAUCAGCCUGUAGCAACUGCCUAAAAGUCUGGAAGUUAGUCCCUUCCUACUAGCUCCCUAGGCGCUCUGACUUGAACUCCCUUCUUGCUGUACAUGCUUUCAAUCUUAUAUUCCUUUCUCUUGGCCUGUGACUCAUACCUUGUUCUCCGCCUAUGAAGCCUUACCUCAGCUAUUUAUCUACUGAAUCGGAUCCAGCUUAACACUAUCCUUCUGUGCUUCCAUUCCCGGGCUUCCACCUGUCACCUGUCAUUCUUUAUUCACUCAUUAGGGCUUAGACCUAGGCCUGUCCUGUUAUUCCUAUACUAUAUAAAUAAGUAAAAGAGUGAACCUACCUCUCGCCCACCUACGCACCCCUCCCUAUGAAAAGUAGGAAAUACACCUAUACGCCUAUGCCCCACCAACGAAUGAAACAAAGAAGUCAGACACUCCCCACCCACUAACUCGGGCUAACACACCGCUAACCGACUUGAACUAGUGGGCAAGCAACGUACAAUCAACGUACAACUAAGUAAGAGCCAAAACAAGUAACAACUAGUCAAGCACGGAACGAGACCAACCCUACUCUACUAUAUUGCAUUGCGUGUAUCAAGGGUAGAGGUUUGAUAUUCUAAAUCAGAAUGAAAUCAAUUACUUUAGAGUUAAUCCUAUGUGUUUAGCCUGGAAAUGCAUCUAGAAAUGUAUAAGUAGAAGAUCGAAGCGGAAACAUCAGAAGUUCACUCAGAAGUAAGGAUACCUCUGUCUAAGUAGACCAAUAAUAAUAUAGCGUACACAUAAUCAGAAUUGAGGCUUAACUACUUAACUUAGGGCCGAUGUAAUUGAGCCAACACCAAUGAGACUAUAGCCCAGAACUUGUACUUCCCUUACUGCCAUAUAAAGCGGCCCUGCUCCACGCAAGAUAAGGCUAACUGCCCUCACCUUAAAACUGCAUUUCAUCUUCGAUUCUUAUAAUGUAAACAAAACUCUGGUCUAUCAGACUCACUACCUAUUCACUAAGUCUCCCUUUUCUAUAUCUCCUUCUGUUACGGGACCCACCUAGUGCAUCUAACAAUAGAUUAUAGCUCUACCCUUACUUGCUAGAGAACUCAGCUUACUACUAAAGGAAUGACUUCUAUUUAUAAGAGAACAACUUGAAAGUCAUAUUGACUUGACCACCAACAAGACUGACUUUACUAGCGGGUAAAUCCACUGCUGCUAACAGGGCUUUUGUUAACUGCUAUCAGAGUACUACGACUACCAAUACUGGAACUGGAACCGGGAAUCCAACACCCCAGUCUAAUACCUGGAACAAUAAAGAAAGAAAUCCAUUAGUGCUUCUCAGAACGUAGCUACUGCCUAUGAAAGAAAGCCUACUGCCACUAAAGAGCUUGAAGUCCUUGGCCACCUUCUAUGGUUCUUCAACUAACUAAAAACCAAGAAAAGAACAAAGAAAUUGUACUCGGGGAGAUGUAUAGAGACUACUCCAGCCGGUAUAUAGGGCAAUACUCACUACCAAGAGCAAACAAAGCUUUAAAGCAGUAAUAGCUUGCAAGGUAGACAGGAGCUGCAUCGCAGUACACGAGUACAUACACAUUAACGCUCACGGGGGUGUAGAACAAAUGUGCUCCAACCAUCUUGCAGAGGGGGAAGUCGCUCAUACCGAGGGAGAUAGCCUAUCACUCUUAGAAUUCGCCUACGUACCUCUAAUAAGCACCAAACGGAUGAAACUCAACCUAACCUAGCGCUUCUAAGCCAACAACAAGAACAGGAACAGCCAAGGAAAAGAGGUACGCAAGGGAGACAAUUCCAUAUAUGAAGAGCCAGAUCUUGUAACUUCAAUUGACUUAAGGGCUUGACUUGCAACUUCAAUAAGAACAGGAACAGGGGAUUCCACUCCUAAUGAAAGGGAUUCAACUACUCUACUACUAGUUGGUGCUGUCAACCAGUUCAGUCUCUUCUUAUAAUGUAUUCGUUGCUUGGCCUUUUCAACUGAUACUGUCGAUAAACAGACUCGCGAACUACUGCUACCAAGUCUCCCCUCUCCCGCUUCCAAUCUAAUAUUAAUGCUCAUAGGUCUGAUUCCGCUGCUAACAAGACUUCUGCCCGUGUCAACAAAACAAUGCUUGAACUUAUAACCCUUACUGUGUAUCUAAGCCCGUAGCUAAUACCUUUUUUCACUAUGCCUUUCCUGCCUUACAUGCUUUAACUAAUGGUCUAAUUCCCGUAGUUCACCUCUCUUAGCUUAGCCCACCACUCCUAGCUAUCAAACUGAAACUAAGGCCUUACACUCAUUCUUUUAGUGCUUCUUUUCAUUCUGAUUCAGUUAACUUAUAAUAAUGCAAAUAUUAAUUAAUAAUGAGUAAUCUUGCGCCGCUUACUUGUCUAGUGUCUUGGUCCGAACACAUCAGUCACUGACCUAAAGCCUGACUCACCGGGUAGGCAACCUAGAACACCGCUCCGCCUUAGUGUCUUGCUUAUUAGUUUCAAACUAAAGCUGGUACUUCUUAUACUGUAGCUAUUGAUCUAACCAAUACCGGUAAGAAGCACACUCAUAACUAGUAAAUCACUACUACCCAGAUAGCCUUAACUCAAAGACGGCAAUCCAACAACUAUUGAUGAGACUGUAGCUACUGACUACUAGAUAACACUACUAAUAUAUGGAAUGCACGACUACCCACUAGAUCAAACACUGCACUAUGGAAUUUGGAGCUGCUGCUGAUGAGACUUGAACCAAUGCUAAUCAGAACGAAAACACCUGUAAGAAUAGCUAGCCUUCUAAGACAACCUAGUAAGCCCUACCUCCUUUCAGCAAGUAAGGGCAAGCUCAUAAGGCAAUAGAGCAAGGAUAGGGAUCAUAACUACAGAAACAGAACCCAAUUAAUAGUUAUAAGACGAAACAUAGGCUGAAACUCCAAGUAGAGAAUAAAGGUAGUGUAAAAGACAACUACAAUAAAUAACUCCACAUAAUGUACUUAGUACGAGUUUCUUACUUCGGAUGUGGUUAUGGCGGCAGGUAGCGAGUUGGGUCUCGUGCUCCUGUCUUUUGUUCCUUAACGCUGACUGUGGAUCCUCUAUUGAACCUGUUAGUCUGCCUUUGCUUGUGAAAAGUCUUUAGCUACUUACUUGAUUUCUUGUAAUACUGCCUAUGAUCCUUACUAUACUUUGACUUUGAUUCUCUACUUUAUCUUGGGCCCGGCACCCUUGCUUGCUAGUUAAAGAAGCCAACUACUCAUUCGAAUAUGAUAACUCGAACCAGGGGGUAAUAACAACCAAUACUUAGGGGAAUCAUAACAACCAGCACCCAAGGGAAUCCAACUAUGGGCAAACUGACUUGAGCUACUACUUCUAAGAAGAGAUCUGCCCUACCUAGCUAUCAUUCUGACUAUACCUUUGAUCAGCCUACCCUUCCUGACUCUUAUUCUUUACCUAGUGAUCCGGAUCCUUACUCAUUUGGUUUAGAACCCAACUACUACUAAUAAGGGUUGAGCACAGAACAUAGACUUAUAUAAUGUCUAGCGAAUCUUCCUAUUACUGAUAAAAUACCCGAACUUGGUUAAGCAGACUGCCGCUACACAUUACCUGUUAUGUUGAUGCUUAGGUUUAAGUCCUUCACUGCUUAGUUUCAUCUUUGUUACCUCGCCUUUCCGUCUGCGACUACUUGAUCUAAGGCUAACUCCGCCUCUCCUAGCUAUAAAACGGAAAUGACUUAUUUACAUUCCCGCUUGCCCACUACUUUCUUGGGUUCUGUAUUACCUAUUAUUUCACUGCUGACUUAAAAGCUGUCCUUACUCGCUAUAGGUCUCACUGUCCUUGCUUCGAUUCUAUGUAUUCUUCCUGACAUCUCUGCCUGUUAGUUAAAGAAUAUCCACCCUACUAAUACUGAUUUCAAUCAUCGCCAACAAGCCUUUGACUACCACUCACACGAUCCCCGCUUACAUGCCUCUACUCCCUUAGGCUUUCAGCACCCGAACCCACUUCUUUACUUAUAGCUUAAAAGCCUCUCCUCUGUCAACAACUACUGAUGAAACGGGUUCCCUUGCCCACCUCUGUUGGAUUAUACCUUGCAUACCUAGACUCUAAAGUCACUUAGGAUAUCCCUUUGAGCCCUCUCCUCUUUCUCGCCUACCCAUCUAUAUCUGACAUGGCAAAUGAUUCUAUUUCCACUUUACAACUGGACCAGACCACUUACUAAUGCUAAGGUAGGGGCAUACAUACUAUACUAUAUUACUUAUUACAGGCAAGGAAGCACUAACGGUAUGAAGACUCUCAUUGCAGCUGACUUUGGCAAGCCUCGGAUCCUUCUCUUGCAACACCUGAUAGAGAGUCGACAACCUCAACUCACACUGCUGAAGAAUUCUUAGUUGACUCGGCAACUUACAAUAAAUACUCUGUGCUCUCACUUUUAUAAGCAUUACUCAUCCUAUAGCCAAGCAGUAUAUCCUGGGAAGACCUUUGCUUAUGGAGCACUUAUCGUUUUGGCCUUUCUUUGCCUUUGUAGUAGUGACUGCAUUGAUUCUUCAAAUUCUAUAAAUGAUUUCUUAUAUAUUAUAUAAUAGAACAAUAGAACUGAUGAAACUGCUAAUGAGUCUGACCUAGAACUGAUGAAACAGCUAAUGAGGAAUUAACAGUAAAGCCUAACUGCUUCCCUUUCUGACCCAACUAAGACAGAUUCCACUGGCAAGGAAGCACUAAAUAGCCCCGGGGUGAAGACGAAACUAGGGAUGAAACCUACUCCUAGUAAGCGCUAACCUAGGAACUCCGCCUAUAUUCCUUCCCCCCUCUCUCCUUCCAACAAGCCCAGCAGCUGUCAACUAUUGACUGACUGAAUGAGGCCGGCUCCUCUACCGUAGUUAACAAAUACAGAAAUGGACUAGCGGCCCUUUAGCCAUGAAUACAGGACUCAUAGGGGCACCGAACUAUAAAGACAGAAAUCAACCCUGCUUAAUUGACUCAUUGCCCGGACUGCCGCCCGAACAAAGCACUUGGUGUUAACUCUAUUAUUAACUGACUGUUUCUUGUCUGCUUGGCCGGUAUUCCACUGGCAUUAAAGAAUGAAACUUGCUGAUGGCUCCUAUAGCUCGUUAAAGAAUCUAUCUCCUAUAGCUCGUUAAAGAAUCUAUCUCCUAUAGCUCGCUAACUUUCAUUCUCACUUGCGGAAUUCUUAUCCUAUAACUCCGCCCCUAACUCUAAUAAGUGUUCACCCCGACCCGAACGAAACUUUCCACUUACUUUACCUCGAACAGCAUCUUUUCUCUCUCCUAUAGCUCUGGCAACAGGCAAUACUUCUGACUUUGUUAACUACUGACGAGUUUCAUUCUUACUUGAUAACUGGAACUGGGGCAGACCUGCUUGCGCCAUCGGAUCUAGCUUCUAUUCCACCUCUUACCUAUGUCCUUUAGUAGUAGUAGCACUGGUAGCAAUGCCAAUAUUACCCUGCAAACUGGGAAUUCCGCAUCUGUAUUCUGAUACGACUUCUUCAACACCAAAGCUAUCCUUUCUUCACCGACUACACUAGCACCUAACCUAUCUUAUACUGGGCCAAGCAGCCAAGCAACGGCUACUGAUGCUGAUUCUAUUUCUUCCCUUGAUUCUUCUGUCACUCCUAUUGAGAUUUUCCCUUGAUUCUUCUGUCACUCCUAUGCUCUCGAUCGCGUAUAUAGUCCCUUGUUCUUAUUCUUUCUAUGGCAUCUUAUCUUCUCUUUGGAACCCCUGAUUUCAGUAUGAUUGAGGAUCCCCUUCAUUCUCGUAUGUGAUGAAUCCAUAGAUGAUCAAAGGAAAUCCGAUUUCGGCAUGAACCCGCUUACAACUCAUUAUUGAUUGAACCCGCUUACAACUCAUUCGUGAUUGAACCCGCUUACAACUCAUUAUUGAUUUCCCCUGUUAGUCUGCCUCUAACUCUACUUGGUUUCAACCUUGUUGAUUCUUUUCUGACUCUUUCCUAUGCUAUGGUUAAGGCGUUGGUGCACAUUCCACGGUUCUUACUAUUAAUAGGCGUAUUUCUCUUCCAGGGUUUCGAGGUUCGAUCUCACAUUACAUUACACUCACAUUACAUUACAGGUUAUCGAGUAGUUGCUAAGUUCACUUGUCUCUGCUUGUCUGUUCUUUUGAGUUUCUCUUGUUUGAUUACAAUACCCUAGCCCUACCAGAACAAGUAAGUAAACGAAUUCUUCUUUCUGACCUCUACUCCCAGGAUUGGAUACCUUGCGAAGGAUACCCUGGCUAAGAAAUGCACUGAGAAAAGUAUAAGUACGAUCCCCUAAGGCAUCAGAUAAGGUACGAAUGAAACUACUCAUUCAACAUAUUUGUAUAGGACCUACAAACGGAAAGUAAGCCUGCCAUUCCUCACUCUAAAGCUACCGACCUCAGAUCCGUGCCUAUCCGCGCCUUUCUCUCAGCUUUCUUACUGCCCUGGCUUUCAUGUCUCCGUUCCUGCUACUACUGCUUGCAACUCCUAUGUGCGAGUCUUCUUCUCCUUUCUUUCAAGUAGUAAAUACAGAGUGCAACUCAACAGUACAAUAAUGACUCAUAAGUAGGGAAUUUUACCCUAAAGCAAGAAUCCAUCAAGUAAGUCACAGAGCGAAACCCAAUAGUCAAAGAAUAAUGGAACAUAGGAAUGCCGGGCAGGAAAGUCAGCCUCACUGUUUCCAUUAAGACUAGAAGGAAGGAUCGGCAGGUUCACUCUCGAACUGUAGAAUACACGACAUGGUUCUCAUACUUUAAGAGGGAGGCGGCCGGUAUUCUCUUGCUGAUUCUCUUUGUGGGCGUUAUUUAAGUCUUAGAGGUGAUAGUUUUGUUUCCCCUACUAAUGAGUUGAUUUCUCCGACUCAAGAGUGUAUUUCCCCUGCUUGAGCUUAGGUCUUAUACCAAUGGGGAAACUCUGAUGCUUGCUACUCAAACUAUUAGUAUAUAACUAGAUGCGCUAGCUGUACAGUACAGACUUAGGCUUUAUACUUCCGGUAUAUAUAGUUCACUUGUGAGCCUGUGCCCCUCGUAAUUCUUCUUCUCUUCUUGCUAUACCUUAUUUAGCCUGCCUUUCAUUCCUAUACUAUUAAAUAUUCAUCUGAUUCCUAUGCUAAUAAGGAUCACACUACUGCGGAUGAGGCUACUACUACUUAAUUUCAUUCAUACUUAUCAGAAGGAACACCUGGGCCCUAGACCAUACCACCUUGCUAGAUUAGAUCAUAGUCACCUACCCUAUUCUCAGUAUCCAAACUUCAGAGUCACAUUCUUAUGUUCCGUACUCCAUUCUGUAAUUCUGAUUUCUCAUAGAAAAACCAUAUCCUUCAUCUACAUUUAUAGGAUUAACUACGGAUUAACUACAAUAACACAUAGGAUUAACUACCAAUUAUGGAAUUCUUAUUUGCCAUAGAAAAACUAUAUCCUUUAUUGCCUAACACCAAGCUAUGGAUUGCCGCCUGCCACGCAUUUUCCUUCGUAGGAGCAGCAUUUUCUCCAGUCAUUUCACUAAUAGGUGUGAGCAACGGAGAAUUACAAUAAGGGGGGCGGGUUUGCUUCUUUAGUUUGAGCUUCAAACUUCGACUCCAGAUCUAACAUCUAGCUUGUCACUUUCAUUCUCUGUGUUGUUCCCUUCCAUUCUUAGACUUAUUUCUGCAAUGCCUAGUUAUGAGUUAAAGCAUUAGUUCUGAGCUAAGGCCUCGUGCACCUCUCGGAAGCCUUAAGCAGGAGGUUGACUCUACAGAAUUUCCCUCAGUAGUUUAAGAAUGGGACUCAUCGGUGAGCUAGUAGGAGCCUAAGAAUCAAACCGGGGAAUGAAAGAAUGAAGCAGUGUUGUUACGAGAAGAAACAGUGUUGUCUCAAGGAACCGAACCGUAGCAAGCAGGAAGGAAAGUGUAGUGAAGGGAAUGGGGAAUCCAAAUAAAGGGAGACAAUUCCAUGUGAGUUGCAACGAGACCCUUAUUUUGGAAAGGGUGCGCGAGCAGAGCAAGCAAGUGCAAUUCCGGGUCGGUCUUUCAUCAAGUGGAAAGUCUGGAUCAAGAUCUUAAGCGGGAAGAAACUGACCUUAAAGUGGAGUGGAAUCUGUUUGUCUUAGAGAAUGUCCUGUAUUGCCUUCACUUGCUAUCCUUGCUCAAACUAAACGGAUUGCCUUUACUUCUUAUGGGUCGGUGAUUGGCUUUCCCUUGUAAUUGAGUUCAAGUCAAGAAGUGUAUAGAAAAAGACAAUAAGAGUCAAAGAUAGAUUCACUUCAUACAGUUUCUAGUAAAGGGAAGGGAAAGAAUUCAGUAAAGGAUUGGAAGCCCUAAGUCAAUCAGUAAGUGAAUCCCUGACCUCCAGUAAGUUAAUCCGUUGCCCUCAAUCCUGACCUCACAGGUCAUAUUCUUUCUUUCUUACUAUCACAGCUUCAACCAAGAAGGGGGCACUCAAAGUUCUUCCAGAAGCCGGGGGGCAUGUCAGAGGAUGAUUUGCAGGAGCGCACGCUGCUUAGGCAUUGGGUACUUCCGCUUGUGUCGUGUUACUAUACUGUACUGGCUUCGGAUUAUGUUACUAUUGAAGAAGCCCUUUCAGGCCCCGUAGUAGCAACAGAUUGGCGUGCCCAUAAGGACGUAAACUCAGUUCUCCAAAAGUAUGGUUGACUUUUUCAGAUUGACGAUCGGAUCGCCUCCCUUGGUUUGGACUAUACAGCUCCUUUAUGAGUUCCUCACAACUCGGGUCAUAAUUGGGGCGGACUCCUUCUCGGAUGCAAUGCAGUGGUCUUCUCUUUCUAUGGGUUUUCUGCAGUGGAACCUGUCAAGUUAAGUAUUUGAAUUCACAGUGGGACGUUAUCAAUCCAAAGUGGACUUUGGGGUCAAAGCCAAGAGGUGGUGCCCCGUCCGUAGCCUUACGUUCUCUCUCCUUCUUUCUCUCCUGUCUGGUUUUCCGGUAGGGGCGAAUAGCAUUCCCAGAAGUGGACAUUCUCUGUCUUUUCCAUUCUAUCUCUCCCCCAGCCCAGCGACGCAUUUCCCUUACUCCGUUAAUUCAAUAUCUGUCUUUCGCCUGCGAAUCCUUAUCUCUAUCCCUUUGUUGAUGAAUAAAGGAGCACGUGGUGAAUACUGAGAACAUGAAUUCCCUUACGCUGUUGCGAAGCAAUUGGAAUUCUGGAUCAUCGAAGAAUGGAAAAAUGCGCCUAUCUCUAGGAAGACCGUUCAUCAACUCAUUUCUCGGUCUGGUCAUCAAAAGUAGAAUUUGCACUUUGUUGUCACCAGCCGAAUCUCUGAGAAGGAUCACCUGCUCCUGUUCAGCUGCACCUCCCACUAUGAGAAGUCAGAACUUAUAUGCUGUGUCCUCGUAAUUAAUAUGUUAGUUUGCUCGCGGUAAUUGUGGCCUAUCGGGAGAAUCGAUGACGACUUGAAAAACUCCCUUUCCGUUUGUCUAUGUACGCGACCUUUCUUAUAAUAAGAAAGAGACACAAGAAGAGGCAGAGAGAGAGCUCAGAAAAAAGUCAAGGAGAGGUCUUCGGACAUUCAGUCCAAAUCUAGGAAAAGGAGUCAUGUAAUAUGCAAUCAGAGUGCUUACUGCAUUUUCUCCAUGUCUUCGAGCUCUCGGUUUAGUAUGAUUUUCAUCCAAGCAAGCCGCUUUUCUUUGCUUUUCCCGUAAAUUGGAGUCGAGAAAGAAGCUCUAUCCUUACUCAUAAGAUCAGAUUCAAGUUAGAAAGAAGGCCAUCCAUUCAUUUUCAUGGACAAGGCUGGAAAGGAAGUUCCAUUUCUUCUAGUCUUUGUUUAGAAUUGACUUUCUUUUGAGUAGUUGCAACGUGGGAUUGCAGAUAUUGCCAUUGUCUCAGAAGUCGCAUCGCAAUAGUAUAGAAAAGCGCCUAUAGUUCCUAGUGUCACUUCGAAUAUCGACUACUUUACUGAUUCCAUUUCGAAACUCUGAGAAAUAGAUCCUUACCGAUUGCCCCAUUCUCACGUGUUGCUGUUUCUUUGGUUGCCUUCCAUCCCGUAUUGUUUGAAAGGAGUGCUCAAGUUUGUAAGUUAGCUCUACGGACAAGAGCUAGUCACAACAUAAUGAUAGGUGUAAGAUAUUAUUGCUAUUUGAGACAGGCGCUAAAUCGACAGAGUCCCGUUGCUUGGCGUCUGCUUGUUCUAUCCAUUUCUGAAGUUGAUCGAAAGUUGUUGAAAGGUUAUAGUUAUAAGGAAGUCCCUCCCAUCUCUUUUGUCUUAUUACUUUAGAUUAUGAUAUUGAUAGUGUCCUAUAGUGUUUUUAGUGGAAAUAUGCUACCUGAUAAUUACUAUAGUUGUCAAGAAAGAAAGUAUGCUUUAAAGGUGCGCAGCAGCAAACAUUAGAAGGUAUAGAUUUUCUGGUAAUAAGAGUAAUAGAUAGAUGAUUCAAUUCAACUAGCAGGGGAACCAUCAAGCGCAGCGGGAACGGGAAGGAGAGUUUGCCUUUCAAUCUGCAACUACUAUACAAGUUUCUAUUAGUUGUCCAUUCAAUGAUUCUCUUCUUUUUGUUUGUGCCGGUACACUUUCUUAGCGCGCAUUUCUUGAGUAAGGGCACCCAUAUUCUAAGAUGACUUUCAAUCCACAUUAGAUAAGAGAACUUUUCAAUCCAUUAGUUUCAUAAGUAGAAGCUGUGAGGUUCGGUAUAGCCAGCAGUAAUAGGUAUGUAUAGGAUGGGACAUCAUUCAUUAUCUACGUUUUGCACUCAAUUCUUUUCAACAAGCAAGGGAAAGGGCUAUCGUGGACCACAAGCUUUAGCGACCGGACCACUUUAAGGCACCUACAAACAAUAUAGGGCAAGCAAUACUUCACUUUCCGGCUUGAAGCACAGAGAGGCUGGCUUAUUUUGCUCUUCAUCAUUAUAUAGUUAAGAGUAUACUAACAUUUGUUUCCUAAGCUCGGGUCGGGGUGCUAACAUGAGUUUGCUAAGUUCAUAAGUGCUGUUGUUAGUGUGCGAAAGCCUAAUGUGUAAUUGGUUUAGUGGUAUGGCAUAAGAAUCCAAAAUCCAUGAUGAAAGCUAGAGCGCAAAGGUCAAGUUCACAAAAGGAAUAGCUGCUCUCUCCGCUGGGCUGGGCGCUAAGGAAGACCAUCAUCUCGAUUCCGUUCAGGCUGUCAACAACUGUAAACUACUCCCUUCCCAUCAACCACUUUCCUGGAAUUCCCUAUACACUAGCACCCGACCCUACAUCCACUGUUUAUUUGAUUGAUUGAUUUCCCACCGACUUGAGCCUCUGUUCCCGCUUUUUCCGUUUAUGACCUUAGAGUUCCAUUCUGAUUCGAGUCCAGUGCAUCGGCUCCCUACUUAUAAUCUGGAUUCGACUGAGUGAGAGUCCUUUCCGAGAGACGGAACCUCUGCACGAGAUGAGGCUUCUGUAUAUAUGAAAAACUCAAACAACACUUUCUGCUCUAACAGCUUACCUUGAAAGCGAAGGAACAAGUUAACUCGCAACGGCUGCAAAGACGAACAAGCAAAGAGAGGGUAAGACUAUGGAAAUCCUUCUAUGAAGGAAGGCAUUCUGAACGUCUACGUGGAAUAGUCUAGUUGAUGGACAGGACAUCGUGUAUUUAUAGGCUCUAACAAAACGAAUGGUUGCAUGGUGGGAGGUUUCGCAAUGCCUCGCAUCCGUCACUACUUUGAAAUCGCUUUAUCGUUCUAUUGAUUGAGCAUUGGAGGAAAAGGGGAGAAAUCUCUGUAAUAAGAUUCUGUCAAGGACUUAUAAGCAUGAAUCGCACAGAGGUACUCUCAAAGAUCAAUCACUAUACGAUAGAAUUACGAAAAAAGAGGAAAUCAACAUGGAAUUUUGGUCGAAACCCUUGUUUGUACAAGGCUCAUCACAGGAGAUCUAGUACAUCGAGCUACAAACCAUAUAGUAAAAGCGCUCAGACGAGAAAAAACUCAUAGAAUAAUGGAAAACAAUCAGGAGUUCCAGAGGUCGGAACGGCGGCUCAGGUGAGAUGAGACAAAGUCAACUCGGCAUGCAAGCAAACCGAACGUGUCUCGUAUCCAUCAGCCAAACGGGUUACCUGUAAGCGUAGAGUUAUUACCCAGUCCUCAUUCAGUAGCGGUGCGAGUAUAAGUAGUUGGAGGUGAUUCAAAUACAAGUACGCGCGGGAAGGAACUGAAGGUCGACGAGAGAAGAUGUAUCAGCCGUCUCACAGGAUUAGACUCCGUUUCAAUAGAAUCCGCAGUUAUAGUGGGGACCGGGACAGAAUCAUUUCCCUCCUAUGCGCUAAGUACUGAAACGGAAUAAUUAGACAGGUAAAGAUGGAUUAGGGUAACUCACCCACAUAGUGCUCAAGUGUCAUAAUUCCAUAAUGGAGUUUCUGUUCCCUACUAGCAAUUCUAAAAAGAACAACUAUGGGAAUGAUUCAAACGCGGUUAUUCUACGCAAAUCUAAGAUAAUAGACCAAGUUAGAUGGGAAUCGCCUCUACAAAGCUUGUUUUAUUUAUAGAGACUUAGUAAACAAGGAAAGGAUGCGUUGAGGCCCGCGCCCUUGAUACGUAGCUGAUCUUUAGCUAGUUUCUAAUCUUUUGACCCAGCAGUGGUAAACUAAUAUCGGAAGUAUCCUCGGGACGGAUCAAGGUUCUACUUUCAUUGCUUCAAGAAAAACGAAACCAGAUGGGGAACCUUUUAGGACACAUGCGAACAAUCAAACUACGACCGCCACAAAGUCUUCGUAUGCUAUUCCAUUCCUCACCCAACCCAAACGUCCUCAGUAGGGAUCACCAUCCAUGCGCUCUUUGGUGCUACCUUAGAUACAACUGUAUACUCCCAUUGAGCAUUCGAACAGAUGGCAUCUAUGCUAUCAGCCAACAACUAGGAUUCCUGAUUGUCGCCCGCUCCGAGCAAACUAGGGGACAACACGUCCUCGAGACAUAGCCUUACCAGAUGGGCGAGACAUAGCCUUACCAGAUGGGAAGGAAGAAGGGAGCCGCACUAGUACUUUCGGGGCUUACUAAGGGCUUCUUUCUUUCCAGGCGUAACAACAUUUUCAUUGGGGGUCGCACCAUACGCUUUUGACUAAGACCUUUUAUGGAUAAGGACAAGAGGCUCGUUACCAAGCUCGAUGCUUUUAAUAGGAACCACGAGGCCUCAUAUGCUGCCAGAGGUAAGUUAAGGCUCUUCCUUUUUCCCUUUCUCUUUAAAGAAAAAAGAAUCCGAUCCGAUUUGCAAGGAAGUGACACAAGCUCCUUAUUGCCAGUCUUAUGUAUAGGAAAUCAUGGGCCAAGCAGACAAGAUGAAUAAGUGCUGUGCCCUUAAUUAAUGCCAUGGGUUUGAAAGCCCUAAGUGGUACCAGUGGAAUCAGUAUUAGUUUACCUUAUAUUAAGUAACACUAGCGGCAGUAACGAAUAACAGUGUCGUACGAGUGGAAAGGCUUUCAGCACCUUCUCGUAAUUGGCUAGUCUAGUCAAGGGAAACUUACACUCAUGAAGGAGCAGCUAGAAGGAUCAGAGUAUUACUUAUAAGCUUGAGAAGGAUAAGAGUAUGAUGAGGAAGGUGGAAACCAGAGGAUAAGAAUGCAGGUAUCAAACUUCAGACUUAUAUAUCUGCGGAGCUAUAAGACAAGCCGAAAAGAGGAUUGAGCUAUUCAGGUAGAAAACGUAAGAAGAGGAUUGAGCUCUGUUUAUAGAUAUUGGUCGCUAACCCUUAAUACCAGAAGCAUAUUUGGAACUGGUCUAAGCGCAAGGAAUCAUCUCUUCUUCAGCUAACGUACGAGUCUGUCCUUUAUUUCUGUUUCGCCCUUGUAACUGAGUCCGUUGAGUUUCUAUCUUCUGCUAAUGGAGUUAAGUCAUGUGAGUUACUGUCUUCAACAUUUGGUGUUAGCCAGCGCCAAAGUGCCUUAGUGCAUUAGUCAAUGUCAAGAGCAAGUCAACAAGUAUUAUGGAAAAUGACACACUGAAUACUUCCUUUAGGCAAGAAUCAAGUACUUUAGUCUAUGGUUCGUUCGGUUAGGAAGCAACGCUGUGUUGUUUACCCUUGUGCAAGAGAGAUUCCAUGAAUUCUGCUUCUGGGUUUCCUUCAGACUCAACAGUACCAACAAGACUAUGUUUAGUAAGGGAUGGGAAGGGAGUUGGGAGAUGUAGACAGUUCCUGUUCCGUUUCUAGGUCUAUUCCUCAAUUAUAUAACACAUCAGUAAGAAAUGAAUGUUUGACUUCCGCUAAGUAUACAGUACAAACAAUCAAAAGUGGUAGAGUGAGCUUACUUCGGGCUGCCCCUAUUCGUUCUUAAACAAACAAGUCUGGAGUGAGUUUAGUUUCGGGGGGAACAAGCUUAGACUAAAUAAGCGCAGGAGUGAGAGGUGCGAAAGAGAAAGCUAAGCCUUACAUUCAACAAGCAUUAAGGUGUUUGUUAAUAAAUUCAUUAUGGAAUAGGGGUCAAUGAUACACAGAAAAAGAAGCAAGCAGUAGAAAGAAAGUCAGCAAACUUUUCUUCAAGCAAUAAUUCACUGGUACUGGUUUUGGCAAAUUCGCUAAUGCUAGUUAUGGCGCUAACUGAGCUCACCCUUAAGAUACUCGUACUCAGAGCACUUCAGAGGAUAAGGCAAUUAUGAAAGUCAGGCAAUCAGGCUUCAUUCGCUGUCGCCAACAAAGCAUUAAAAGCAUUCCUAAAAAGGAAACAGGUCGUAUUUAUGAGCCAGAGCAGAGGUAUUAAUUCAGCAAGUAAGAAGGAAAGGAGAAAACGUUCCAUUAUUGACUGCCCGACGAGUGGUAAUUGCCUGUUUCUCUGCAGAGUAGCGGUAACUCAACUCCCUUAGCUUACUUGUCUUCUACUAUAUGCGCUAGCAAUUAUGUAUUAUGGCCCUCAGGUUUCUUAGUCAUUAAAGGAAUGCGCUACAUCUAUCUCUUAUCCCUUGCCCACCUAUCCCUUUUGUUAUCUUACAGCGACCUAUCUCUUCGAUCACCUACUUCUUUCUUUAUUCAUAUAUAUUAUGUUCUGUUCUUGCCUCCAUCUCAUCUAACUCAGGCUACAAUUCAUUUCACCCUGCUGGCUCUGCUGGGCUUGUGGAAUUCCCGAAUUGACUAGCUAACCUGCCGUUCCUAUAGCUCGCUACCUCUUUCACUCGCUAUGUCUUUACUUCAGUAUAUACCAUUACUUCAGUCUAUACCUUAUGCUCAAUAAUAAAGUAUUGACUCGGUGUAAGAAAGAUUCCUGUUUGACUCGGCGUCCGGAAAGAAAGCUGUUAGAGCUGUUUCUGUUGAAAGAGAAGAAUGACUAGUUCCCCUUCGACUUGAAUCCGUGGUUGCAACGAUAGAAUCGGCCGUUCAAAAGUCAGUAGCAAUUGGUUCUUCAAGAAGUAUUGUUCCAGCUCGAAUAGAAGAUUUGUAUAUAGUUGCUCGUCGGGCAGGAAAUGGAACUGAUUGUCCGUCCCGCUGAUGCUCUUGAAACUAAAUCACCCUUACCUUUAGCCGACCUCAACACUGAUUUAAUUGCAGAUGAAACUCCAACUGGAAAUCCAUCUACUUCAGUACAAAGAGCUACCUGGGUUGGGUGCUAGUGGUUUAGUAUAUGGAAACCGUUUUCCUUUCCUUGGCUUAUGUGAGGAAUAUAUUACAGGCGUGUGAAGCUAAGGGAAUCAAAUGUAAGUAAUCUAACUAGGGGGAGGCUUUUAAGAAAGAAGUAAUUCACAACGUAUGAAGAAGCAGUGCGAAAGUCAGCAGCAAACGUAUAUGUACUAGAGUCUAAUUCAGUUGCAGUAAACGGGACAAGAAGUCUCCUAUACGGUGGAAGUAGUGCAAUGAAAGUCUUCGAAAUCCGAAUAACUGGAUCAGUAGUUGAAAGAUCUGUUGCCGAAGCCGAAGAUAGAGAGGAAGCAGUGCGAAAGGUCAGGUCAGCUGAUAUUCCAUUCCAUUCUUCCUUUAGAGUGAAAAGACUUAGUGCUAAAGUUCCAUUCACUGUUUUUUCUUUUUAGCCAGAUAGAGCAGGAGCUGGAUCUUGCCCAGUAUAAAGCUAGGCAAUAAAAACGAGAUCUCAAGGAAGGAUUCGAAAUUGCACGAGUCUAGUUAGAAAGGGGAUUUUGCAGAAGGAUGAGUGGGUCAUAUGUGGAGAUGACUUGGCACGCUGUGGCAGAAUCCUAAGAAGUUCCAAUGGAGUGAGAAGUGAAAUGACGCAGUCCUAACUUCAGAAAGUAAGUAGCUACACCAUUCCAUUUGAUGGGGAAUGUUUUUCCUGUCUUGAAAGCUGAAGGAAGUAAAGUAUCUAUCUAGUACUAGUAAACUUCUUUUCUCACGAUGAAGAGUUGCUCAGGACUCGAUGUUCAAAGGACAGAUUCCUUAGGGCGAAGCCUUACUAGUCUCAUUACGUCAGUUCCGGAAUCGGCCAUUCCAUGAUCAUUCUUUCCAUUCCGCGCCCCUACAUGAUCCUUAAAUAGAGAAGGUGACGGUGCAUGAUCCUUAAAUAGAGAAGGUGACGGUGAGAAAGAUCGAAUCCAAGUAAGCUAUUUCGAAUUUGAUCAUCGGCAUGAAAAUAGGCGCUUUCACGACAUGAGAAUCGAACUAAACGUUGUGCUAACGGUUUCGACGUAGGGCUUUUCGAAGAGCGGAAGAAGUAAAGGAGAAAAUGACCGAGACCAAGACCGCCCACGUAGUAAGCCCUUUGCUGGCUUGAAUCCCAACAAGCAACGGGACAAUAAAACAAUAAGGUUGAUUCCACAUAUAGAUAGAUCUUGGUAAACAAACGACUUCUCUUUCUUUUGCUUCAAAGCUAAUGAAUGUAUAAAGAAAGUCAGAGUUACGCUUGUCUAGUGCUAGUGGAUCUAGCUUAAAGGAUGUAAUCUCGCCCAGUGGGAGCCUUCACUAGAAUGCCUAUCUUCUUCAGCUCCCGUUAGCACAACAAUAGAAUCAACAGUAUUAAGUUCGUCAGCUGCCCGCUCACUAACUAGUGCUUCUGUAACGGCUGGCUAAACAUUUCCUGCAUGUUCAAAUCCAAGCAAGUUAUGGAAUUUCCCGCCUAGCUCCUGACCUGAACACGACGGUUCCGUGGCAGAUGGAAGAGAAGAGAGGAGAAACCAACCGUAUUCAAAGGAAAGCAAAACAAGGAACUCUCUAACGUGCAACGUCUUGUUGAGUACAGAGGAGAUGCUACAUAUUCUCUUAUCAUUUCUGCAUUCAGGCGUGUAAGGAAGCAAAGGAAGGGUAGAAACAUGGGCAAAGACGCAAAUGAACAGUGUUGUUCCUUCAUUCUAUUGGUAGUAGCGAGAUAGGAUUCCAUUCCCAAGGGUGGCCAUGUCUUUACAUAGUGGAAUAUUAGGCGCCAUGUCUUUACAUAGUGGAAUAUUAUGGUAUAUAUAAAAGUGUAGAAUAUGAGGGUUCUUAUCACCUGUAGAAUAAAUAGAACUUCAUCUUUCUCAGGUGACCAAUGCCUGAGCCGAAAUCCAAAUGCAUUCUCUGCGGAAGCGAACCCAUCUUUUCUACCACCUGAUUGGUCGACAACUGAACUGCUUCUAAAGCCGCAUUUCGCCAACUAUAAGAGAGAAAGUUACGAGUGGUGUACCACUCAAUCACUACAUGGAAGUCUCACUUUCUCAGCAACCCUAAGAGAGAGGCCGAGCGACAACUAGAUAUAGAGUAUUAUAGUAAAGGAAGGAAGAGCCUCUAUACUGAUGUGCUAUACCACCUGCCCAAUCAUUCUUAAGAAUCGACAGAGAAUAGAAAGCUGCUCAGAAAAACUCUCACAGCAUGCUUUCUUCAUUACUAAUCUGACCUUUGAGAAAGUUGGCUAGUGGUGCAGGCAUGGCAUAGUAGUAGUAGUAGGCCGUUCUCUUUGUUUCUUUCUUCCGGCUUUUGUUCUCUUGCUCAUCAUGCUCUUUUCUUGAUAAUAAUAUCUAUAUAGGGCUAUCAAUCUCGAUCUUUACCCUGUGUAUUCGAACCUUCUCUGAUUGAUCUGAUCAGACGCUUGCACAAGUAAGGUAAGUACUUUGGACAGGUCGCCCUUUGGGCUAUAUUGUACGGAGGCUGUACGGAGGCUAAGUCAAGUGUGCAUUUCAUAGACCAGAAAAUAACCCCUUGGGGUGGCUUUUCGUAAGGUUUUCCCAGACUUCAUGUUCAGGGCGCCAAUUCUACAAAACCAGCAUAAGAGCAAGCAAUAGUUAUAGUGUACAAUGAAAGAGACCGAAGAGCUUUUAAUAAAGUCUGGCUAUUCCCAAAAUACAAGAAAAGAGGAGAGAAGUCGUAUGUCACACACGAGGAUUCACGAAAGAAUGGUUUUCUUAAUCGGAGAGUUGAAAAUAGCGCGGGAAGAGAAGAAUUAAUGGAAUAUGCCCCGAGAUAGGGAGUGGUGGGAAUGAUUCUAUUUCUAUGAUGGAAGAGAAGAAUCCACCGUCCAGCCACACACACUAAUUAGGAAAUUCAUCUAAAUAGUGAAGUAGACUUUCUCAGGAUAUGAAACCAAAUAGAUAUAUGAAGAGAUUGUAUCAUGAUCUAUAUGAUUCGACCGACCUCUUUAAAAGACCUCUUGCUUUUAUUUGCAUUGGGCUCUUUGAUUAACCGAUAGAAAAGCGAGUUUACCCACCCCAUUUAAUUAACAGGAAGAGAACUGCUUGCUCGGAUUCAUAUCUUAACAGGAAGAUAACAGCUCGGAUUCAUAUAUUGUAUUCAAGACAAUACCAAUUCAUAGAAAAGGGGGCUUAUCUUUACGUGGGUCUGCAGCCUUGGGGGCCUAGAUCUGCCUAAGUUAGAUGGAGCCCCAAGAAUUCCAUAUUAUACCUUAUACACCAGAAAGUGAAUAGGACGAAAAGCGAAAAGGGAUGAAUUUGAGGUACUUCAACUCCCCUAGCAUUGAAUAGACUGGGUAUUCAGAAAACCUUCUCCAUAAUAAAAGCGAGAAACUCACAAGAUGAAGGGCAAUAAUCAAAGCGGAAAAAGAACUUACCUGAGAAAGGGCUCGGAGGGGAAGUAGAUAAGCCAGACGUCUCAGUGGAUACCGCCCGCCAGAUAUUACAGCAACGAAUAAGUGUAUGCUUGAGAAGGCGUCUACUCCCGAUAAUAAAUAGAAGUUGGUUGCCUUAGUUCCCUUACCGUCAUAGUCACAUUUCAGACGGGGGAAUCCAAGAAGCUGCCAAGCUUGUGAGCGAGUCCGCUUGAGUCUGAACCUCUAUCCGGACUUAGAAGAAAUUCACCCGCUCCAGGGAAUUGAGACAUGUUGUAGUCUGCCCUAUAGGGUCGGAUACUGACUUUUCUCACCACACAUAUUCUACUCGGAGGCAUUUUAUGAGCAGAUUUUCUUUUAUGAGCACCAUAGAUAGUAAUCAUUUUAUGAGCACCGUCUAUUGUCAGUUAUUCAAUUGAUAUCUUUAGAACUCACUCCAGUUCUGUGAUCACGGACUCGUAUUUGUCCUCGGUUAUUUGAAUUGGAGCAUUCCUAUGUUCAAGCGGGUAUAAUAGCUUUGCCCGGUUCAGUCAAACUAACACUAUAAAGAUCCUGUCUUUCUUCGUAUCGGACUGCUCCGUUCGCGUUCCUUGAUUUAGCAUCAACCUUCCUUUCAGGACCUAGAUUGGAAUUACUUCUUCGUCUGCGCCAAGCGGAUAAUUCUCUGGAAAAUAGGGUGCCCUUCCGGCAAGAUAGAAGUGAAUGCCUUUCCUUUGCCUUAAACAUAAGGGCGUUCAACAAGGUAUUCGAGAUCAACUCGGAUUGUCAUCCUUCCCUUGUUUUGCGAUCCGGACGAAUAGAGCAAGACAUAAUGGACUUUAGGUUGGUCUACCCUGGAGAUCCACUUUUCUCUGUGCUCUAAGAGAUAAUGCCUAAGCUUCUCUUUUCGUUGGCGAAGAUCAAAGCGAAACAUAUUUUCUUUCUAAGGGGAAGAUGAUAGCUAAACUUCUAUUUCUAAGGGGAAGAUGAUAGCUAACCAUUGUCCUUCUAUCUUCCGCGGACCUUUCAUUCUGCUCAAACUAUAGGGUACGACUUAAGUUGUAUAGUGCGCUCUCCUUCCCUUGUUCAUUGCGCUGGGCGCGGAGGAGUACCCAAGGAACCAACCUUCUAAGGCCAUGAGAGAUAGUUAAGAGCAGUGGCUUGCUUUUUCGGUACUGAAAGAAUGUCGUCUGUCUGUUAGGAAAGAGAAACUAGAAUCAAUCUGGGGACUUUCAUAAGAUAUGCUUUUUGAUGCUGUCGAAAGCAUUCUGGCAUGCUCCCUUUUCAAAGAAAAAGAAGAGAUCCGUCCUUUCCCCCACCUAUUAGAGAAUGGCUGAGACCCUCCCUUCCUGCGAGGUUGGAUAGAAACCCUCAGAUAUACGCAACUUUCACCUGUAGGCUUUUGACUCUCGGAUCUUUCUUCAGAGGGUUAUGAUUAUAGUUUGGUCGAUUUCUAUUCUCCGUAGUCUAACUAGAAAGGAAGGGGAAUUGCAUUUGCCCUAUGUACCCGCUGCUAUAUGAUGAAAAAGGCUAUUCCUCCGUCGAUCAAAGAUCUUCUGCAUCAGCCCUAUGUUUUGACCACGAGAUCAUCGACCAUAGACUGGAAAUAUUGUUCCAGAGGUUUCCUAAUAUGAGAGUCAUGGCCCCACCCCAACGGAAUGAGAGAGUCCUAAGGGCAUUACGUAGUUGCAAGAAAGUGCUUUUGGUGUCCUGAAGUAUGCUAUGAGACCACGCCGAACUCGCAAACCUAACUGUAACUACUUGAAGCUCACGGUUGCUUAUUCCCCGAAACUUCUAUUACUUCAGUUAUAAUUCAAUCCUGUUAACUCAUCUUAUGUGGAAUCUUUAUCAUUGAUACAACUAAGAAUUCUAUAUUUGCCAUUAGCAGAGUAGAUCCUAUGUUCAACUUAAAGAAAGAAGCCUAUUAUGUUUCCCGGGGGAUUUGUUUGAUGAAACAAGCUUAGGCCUACUUUAGAGCACUUAGGUUGGUGAGAUAUAGUUGUUUUCUGCCUGUGGAGUCUCAUUCUUAGAUACGGAGGAGCAGUACCCUUCCUUAUUGAAUAGAAUUUUAGUACCACAUAUAAGAAUAGAAUUGAGGAGCACUAGGGUAGGUGAGUUACCCGCUGCCAGCUAGCAUACCUAGUUUCUUAGGACUUGAGUUCGACUUGCCUAGUGUCUUGUCAGCUUGGCCCCGCUUAGCUUUAGGGUUCAGCUACCUAUUUCUGUGGUUACCUAUCGAUUUAUUAUGCUCUACCAGUCCUUAGGAGAGACUUAGAGGUGAGGCAAUAAGGCUUGGUUGGGAAGGCUAACGAGUCAGGCUUUGACUACAGCCCCCGACAGUUCAUUAUGAGUAUUGUGACUUUGAUUCUUCCUCGUAUAAGUGGAUUUCUGACUUCUUAGUUUGAUUCGCUGAGGAAGCCGCUUAUGAGUUGGAUUCACUUAGAAGAGAAAUAAGUCUGAUAUUGGCAAUAAGUAAUGAGGUCGGAUAGAGGAAAUGAGAAAUCUCGGAAUUAUAGGUAUAGCUCUGGAAGGUAAGUUGGUAUUGGUAGUCUCACCCAUGUGUUACGCGCCAAGGAACGGAUAGACAAGUCCUUUCAUUACUUUCCUACGAGGCACAAGUCAGAAUACCAGCUCACAAGAUCUAUAAUUUCUAGUGGGUUAUCAGAAGAAGUAAAGUAGUCUACUUCCGUCCAAGUUGCCCCGGCUUCUUCAGUUGUUCCUACUGCAGCUCUUGCUUCUUUUGUAACACCAGAUUGAGAGGGAGAGGCUUGAAGACCAGACUUAGACCUAUACAAAGCCCAAGGAAGGCGGUAAGCAGCAAUCUAGGAGGGUCCUGUUUCUUUAGUUGACAGAGCAGGAGUGGUUAGUUGAUUUCACACUUUUACAAUUGAUAAACACAAGCCCAGCUACAUCCUUAUUAUAUGGCUAAAGUGAGUUUUCCCCCUUAUUAUAUGGGGUCAGUUAGUUUUACCUAUGAGUUUUACCUAUCUUGGAGACUUUACAAGCACUGCUUCAUCAAACGGAAUUGAAUAAAAGAGUUUUGUUCAUCUAUUUAUGAUAUGCUAUCUUACUUUAGCCAGACUUCCUGCAUUACGUGAGUAGGCGACAAGAACGAAGCGAAUAACUUAUCUCUUUAUCUUUCUUUAAGAGUUAAGGACGGAUACAGGCUCUUUAGGCCUGAUAGUAGUUCCCGCUCUUUCAUUCUGAUAUUUACUUGUUGCAUUCUGUUACUCGACUUGUAGAACCUCCCUCUCGCCCACUAAAGGGUAUGCGCGCAUCUAGUAUAAGGCAGAAAUGGGUAUGCAUCUAGCGAAUCUAGUAUCACACUUAGAAAGGCUUGUUCUUUUGCUUGUUGAAUCUAUAAGAUCAGAAACAGCAGUGAAAGUUAAGGCGAGAAAGAAUCCGCAAAUGCGGGAUCAUCUGAAGGAGUAGUUUCAAGUUGAAGCCCUGCCCUGCCCUAUUUGCCCCUACUUCUAAAGCGAGGUUAAAUAGAGUUCUAUAAGCCGAACGAAUCUCCUAUUUAGCCAGCUUGUCCCGCUGUAGCUCCUUCCCUUGUUUACGAGAGAGAUCAUACUUCCUGUUAAGAGCGAGAUCCUACUUCCUGUUUAAGAGGUUGCUUGCCUAGUUACUUUCCUAGACACGGGUACUAUCUAGCGCAUUAGUAGUAGUUGCCGAACACAGGACUUGCUCAUAGCAACGUAUUAACAAACAUACUAUGUGAGUUUCCUUUUCUCCUUGCUUUUGGCUCCUUGUCUUUCUGUGUCUUUGUAUUAGAUCUGCCUUAGAGUAGGAGCGGGAUCGGGUACUAUUGCGGGGUUCCGCCUCUACUUUCUUUCUUUCUUUCUUUAUAAUAAAUAACUGCAUCUCUUCUGUCCUUCUAAAUUCGAUCUUCAAAUUAUGUUGCUUGGCCAUAAGUAGUAGCUUGUCCUGGAAUAACUCAUAGGGACUCUGGAAUAACUCAUUAUAUAACAUAUUUUAUGGAGCUCCCGAAAACAGAGGACUUAUUUCCGUUUAUUCUGUCUUAGUAGUGUCGGUUCUUUAAGUGGAUAGUUUGGGUCUUCAAGGAAAGUGAAAGUUGUUGACGACGAGCGGUGCGGUUCAUCAAGUUCAGUAGAGGCCGGGGAAAGAGCACCACUACACUCAAUGUAAGAUACCGGUCAACUCAUUUUAUGUGGAAUCGAAUUCGGCUCUUUUCACUCUUUAGAACAAGCAAUAGAGUUUCGAGAACAAGCAACGGAAUGAAGCAAGGGUUCAGAUGCCUACAUUGGUGAUUAAAAGCAUUGGUGAUGAAAAGGCUCUCGCAAGGGAAGUGCUACUACUAAUCCAAAUUCCCUUGAAUCUCGAAACAAGCAAAUACUCCUAGCUGAAGGAUCCCUUUAAAUAAUCUGUAAAUAAGCAAGAACAAGUAACGAUUGCGCCUAUCUUCUAUUCAACAGGAAAGGGUGCCUACUUAUUUGUAUAGGGCCUUCCUUAUAGUCUAGCAUGAGGAUGCCGCCUAGCUGAGUUCAACAAGUUGAGUGCCCCGACUAGCUGAGUUCAACAAGUCAGGAGUAAGCAGUAAAGUAAUAGGUGGUUUAUUACUGAAUGACAUAAUAGGAGAGAUAACAUACAUGUAAAUAUAAGCAAGGGCGAAAGCAAGUGGUAGAUAAAAAGCAAGCAAGGGCGACAGAGGGAAUAAUUGAGUCCGAAUACGGGACAAAGCUUCAAGCAGUUUAUUGACUCCAUUCUAUACUACUAUACUUCAAUUAUGAAAUAUACUAGGUUUCAAUUAUGAAAUCUACUUCGGUAUACUCGGGCUGUCUCAAUUCUAUUCCUUUUUGCACUAAAUAAAACAAGCCAAAGAAAGUGCUAAGGCUUAUUCUCAGGGUGCGGAGUGCGUUAGUGAAGCCUUUGUUUCGAGUGUUGUUACUAAUUGGAAUACAUUUGUUUGUCACGCUCAAUUCGAUUCUUUUGCAUUAAUUCCAUUCUUUCGAUAAGAGAUGAUCUUCUCGCCUAUCUAGCUAAGCAUUUGGAUAGUUGUUGCUUGGCCAUGUUUAUUACAAGUAAGAAAAUACAGAGUUAGGCAAUAGCAGCUUCUGGCUUUUGAUGAAUCCUCUUUUUCGGGGUCGAUCAACCCUAGAGGACUCGAUGGCUUAACUGCCCUGUAAACCUGAUUCAGAGAGAUAACCCGGUUUUUAGACACUCGCCCUACUUGACUUCUAAAGAUAGAUAGAAAAGAGUGAAAGAUGCGGACGCAGUUCCAGUCACAGCUGCUGAGGUGGCGUAGUUACAGGCGGGAGCAAUAACCAAAUCAACUGCUCCAGAUCAGAUCCUUCAUAUUCGGUUGGUUGUUUGCGGUGGAAUAGAUUAUAAGCGUCCGGGCCAGUAGAUCCAGAGCAAAUAGGCGUUCGUUUACUUAGUGGCUUUGCUGUUUAUUCGAAUCCCGAUGUUGAUCCGACGCAACUUACCGGUUAUAGUCGCAGCACCAGGAGCUUUCAAGGGAGGAAGACAUAUAUAAAUAGUAGCUUAUAGUAGCAUACCUUCCGGAUCGAGGGUCCCACCCGGUAAACACCAUACAGGCGAAAUACUUGCGGUGGGUGGAGGAGGCCUUAUUGCACCUAGCCUAAGUAACUGAAACAAGGGAUGAAACUGUAACAGGAACUGCUUUAUCUACUUAAGUUCACCUCGCUGAAGCAGUUGAUCAUGAAAUUCUAAAUGAUGUAUUUCGAGCACAUGGCAUAGAAUUCUUUACGGAUACCCCAGCUUCCCUUUCUUUUGAAUCAGAUACUGAUCUAUCCUCUGCUUAAUAUCCUAAUCCUUCGACUUCUUGAGAUCAGGCCUAUGAAGAGCUAUAGGGCAAAUAUGAGAGUAUCAAAUGCAUUUCCAGAGAAGAAACAUCGCUCCCGAAUAAGCAGUUCUCAAGUAAUGCUUCCUCGCCUGAUCUUGCAGACAAUGCCAUUAACUUUAAGGGCGGAUGAUUCUGAUUACCCAGUUUUCUUCUAUACUCAACAUGAAGUUCAGCUGACCCCAACACAGCACCUCCGCAGUAGAAUCAACUUCUCCUUUAAACUUUACCGACGGAGAUGAUCUUCUCUCUUUAUAUUAUCUCUUAUAUUAGGAUAACGUUGACUCGCCCCCGCCAAGUAACUUAUAAUGACCAAGACACUAGCAAUAAGGUGGCUUUUUCCGAGUUUUCGUAUAGAUAGUAGAAAGUAUUCUAUCGCUCGCAUGGAAGAGAGCUGCUUCUUUUCUAGCUUAUGCAGCAAGUACAGUAUAUUAAUAGGGCUUUCUCCCUUUGCCCAACCCGCCAAGCAGAACAGUAGGAGUGAGUUCAAAAAGAGACUAUACUAGGUGAGCAACAGUCGGACUAGCUAUAAGAGAGGAAGAAGGGAAAGUAUUGCUUGUUUGAAAGUAUGGUUAUUACCGAUAUGCCCGAUAUGAGUCACAGCAGUAGGAUGAAACAAGGUAUUCAAUAAUAAAGUCAGUAUCUGCAGAAGCCACAGGUAGAUCAGCAACUACAAGUCAGCCAAGCAGACAAGACACUAUUAGCCAAGUAACAACUACAUUCCUCCCCCUGCAAACACAGGUCAAGAUAUAUUUCAACAUUGGAAAGAUAGGUGUGUGUUGAGGUCUUCGCGAGUGGUAAGUGAAGUUCUCUUUUUGGUUAUGGUAGUCUGAUUGAAGCGUUUUUUGCAAGCUUUGUAUAGCACAGGACUGUGACAAGGGUUCUUUGGAAUGAAUUCUCUUUUUAGUGCCAGCCAUCUUUAGCCAUUAGGAAUUCCCUUACAACCUUUUACUGUUUUCAAAGCGAGUUCUGCCCAUGCGCCAUAUCUGCUUCAUCUCGCAAUAAAAAGAUCGGCUUGAUUCCUUAUAUUCAUUGUGCAAAUACAUCUGGUGAGCAAGCCAGUUAGACUUUAUCUCCUUGAAUCAAAGCCUUGAAAGCAUCAAUGGGAAAGAACACGCUGUUUGAGAGUUGUUUGGCAUGUCGGUUUAUGCCUUCUCUAUUCAUUGGAGGGUUCACUUUUGGUUCCAUCUUCGAGCGAGUGAAAGCUUUUGAUAAAGUCCUGUGAGUAUGAGCGGUUUCUUUAUUUACUGAGCUCGCAUCUCGGCAUUCUUCUCUCGUUGACUUUGGCCAAGAACCUAUCUCUCUAUACAAAGAGCUACAGCACCGACACAAUCUGUUAACGCAUAUAUCAUAUAUAGAAGUCUGGCUUGGACCACGACUCGGGCAAGGGUAAAGGAAUAGCUGCUCUGCUAUGGGCAAGAAAGUCAAGAGUGAGUUUCGGAGUGUUGUACCCUAUAGACAGAGGCUGAGUGGUUUGUUCGGUAAGCACAAUAAAUCCGGAAUAUUGGAUAGUGCACCACCUAUGAGAGGUUCAGUCUCGACUUGACUUUCACUUUCCAACAGGAUCUUUGACUCUAACAGCUGCCGAGUAAGAUUAGCUGACUAGCGAACAGGAACAAAACUCUACAACUUUGAGCGGGCAACUUACUUGUUCACCGACACAAUUACCGAACCGCUUAGACAAUAAAAGCACUUCCAUCGUAGACAACGAAAUCACCUCUAUCUACCGACGUUAAGUCAAUAACAGAACAAUACUUUCUGCUUGCAGUUGACUUUGCUUUGGCACAGCUGAUUCAUUCUCUGGUCGACCACACCUCGAAUCAAAGCCUUUACCUAUACCAGUGAAAAAGCAGCUCGAAAGCAAGUAUCAAGUUUCGUUUAAGUUGGAAGAGCAGGAUCCGGCUUUGAAGUUCGGUCUAGCUCCUCGUAAAGAAUACGAGUCACUGUUUCUGUUCGAGUAUAGAGAACAAACAAUCUGAUCUGAAUGACGAAAUUCCUUUCUUGCAAUUGACAAGGUGCUGAAAGCCUUUCUUGCAAUUGAGUCCAGUCCGGGCACAGGCCAAAACACACUCCCGUAAGCGCGCCCCAAGCAAGAGAGUUAGGAGGUAGGUAGAAAGUGUUGUAUCCUGUUUAAAGUACUGCUCUUAAAGCAAAGGGACUACCCAGAUACAAAGAUUCCAUUCAUUCUUUAGCUUAUAGUUGAGUUAGCCAUUGCGCAAGGGAACCUAAAAGCUCCGUUCGAAAGGACAGGUAAACUACAAGUAGCAGAAGCCUCAGCAGGACAAUCAGUUUCCUCUUAUACAGAAGCCUCAUCUCCUGAAGCAGAAGAAAGAUCGGAAGAAUUAGAUCUUUCCUAAGAAGAAGAUGCUUUAGCAGGAUAUUGACUAUUUUAUAUGCCAAGUGAAAUCAAGUAAGAAUCAUCCAAUCCUGUUGAAAGUCCGACAAGCUACGAGUCUUCGCCAUUCGUAUGAAAGUGGAGAGUAAGGAGCAAGUAAAGUAUUAGCACUCUCGCAAACCUAGCACUAGAAACUAGAAAGUCAGAAUUGCACUCAAAGCAAAGAGACAACUACUCUACUACUAGGGACACAGGGCACUCUCAGAACUCCUAUAAGCUAUAAGCAGCCUGGGCAAUCAGAGGGUCACUUCGCUCUCCACUCAAUGAAAACUGGACCUGGGCUCUAAUCUACCUCUGUAAACUACUACAGUUAUUGCUCUGGACUACUAUACUAUUGCUAGAGAAAGAAGUGUUCUUCAGCCAACACCGAGCUCACCCCCGGCUCAUCUAACUCAAUUGGUUUGAUACCUUAAUUAGGCUAGGCUCAUCUCACUUCCUUCUGUUCUUGCUUCAUAAGGCUCUUGCUACUGCCAAUCUCUCUCCUCUGUGUUGCAUUCAAAGACUCCUUAGGUCACUUCUUUCACUGCCUUGGUUCAGUCUGGUUGUUGGGUUGGGUGUUUAGGUCUUACUGGCAGUGGUUUCAUUCUCGCUACCCUGGCUUUAUUCUGAGUAGCAUGGGUUUGGUUCCGAUACUACUUAGUUGGAUUCUAUGUAUCAGAUUUCUGGUCAUAGGGAAUAGGAUUGGGAAUAUCAGUUUCAUUCUUUGAUUCACUGGUUCAACUCUACCCCUUACUAGCUCCCGAACACAGUUUAAGCUUCCUCCGCGACAGCGAGCGCAUAACUCGGAAUGCGAUUACUAACUAGGAGAUUCAAUUACAAACUACCGGAUCUAACUACUACUACUAUAAGAAUUGCGCUACUGCUUCUCAGAUCGGAACUCAGGUCAAAAUCACUGCUAGCAAUACUGUAACUACUACUUCGAAUACAACAACCAGUGCUAGCAGGAGUUGAACCACGACUAAGCAGAAGCAACCUAGGAAUAAAGAAAAGAAGAACUAACCCCCUAACAACAACCCACAUAAAAGAGAAACGCUAUCUAUAUUACUUCAACUGGUCACUCAGAUCCGUAUCCUUACUCGCUUGAAGCUGAACCUACCGCAGAGCAGAGCGCCUUACUGCCGGGGAAGGCGCGCAAUGAAAAAGGAUUCUUACUUAUAUCUCGCAUUAGUCGAUUCAGUAUUGAGUUUUCCUAUAUUAGAAACAAUUACCACUAACAAUAAGAGUGGAGCAAGCAACUGGGGAUGAAAACGAAUAAUAAGGGAUUGGACUACCGACUUCACCCGAAACCGCUGAUAGUAAGAAAUGCACUGGAAUACACUGUAUCAAACAACUACCAAGAAUACAUUAUUCAGUAGCUUUGCAUCCGACCGCCUUACUGUCUCCGAGCCUUACUCACAUCGUUCUUCCCUCACAACUACGACUUGACUACUGCCUUCUAUUACUUUUACUUGAAACCCGUAAUUGUGAACUGGUGCUAAUGAGAAUCCUACAACUACUGAUAAUAAUGAAAACAGAGCUAGAGAACUUAACGGGCUUACCCUACUGUCUAUUAGCCCUUACUUUACCGGCUAUUGGUCUUUACUUGCUUAUUCCAUCUUCCAGGCAGAGAUCGAACUACAGCUUAGGGGACUUCACCCACAAAUAAAGCCUGCCCUUACUACACUCCUAUUAUGACUUUCCUGGCUAUCCGCCUAUAACCUUAACACCUAAUACUCCUGACUUAAAGUGCUUAUUUAGCCCUUUCACUCUUAUUAAUUAGGGUAGGGACCUUUUCUUUCAGCCUAUAGCUCUUUGCUUUGCUUUGCUUCGAUUCUAAGACCACUGAUCCGGUCAAUGUCAACGAUACUUGUAACUAGAAACUAGUAACCGAGCUACUACUAUUAGAGAAUUGACUAGUGCCCAACAGGGCUAAGCCCAGCCCACCAAUACAAAGAAUCAAAAAGGAAAUAGGACUUUCGUUUCGCUACUGAACUAAAAGCUACCUUUCCUGUCUCCUAACCUGCUCUACUUGCGAAAAAUCCUAUAUUAAGGCCAACAAGCCCUUAGCUCAUUAAGUAAAAGAACUCUAUAUAUGGCAAAAAGGCAGCCUCAUUGGCACUAGUGAAAGUAUGAGUUCGAUCCUAAGGUAUUAGAAGUAGUAGGCGCAUCUCUUGUUUUGAGUUAGAGUCUAAUCAGCAGUGCCCUUUUCCCUACUCCUAUCUCUUAAUGCGCUAGAUCGUAUCCUGAGUUUGACUUAUCAGCAGUAUUCUGAAAGUACCUAUUCGAUUCUCUUGUUAUCAGUAGCGUUCCCUGGAGCACUAGCUCUCUUUAUUCAUGCCUUAUUCUUUCUAUUAGUGGGUGUUUCCUCUAUGGGUAGGUUUCUUCUUAGUAGUUUAGAGGUUAAAGGAUCCGGACCAGGAGUUACAGAAUUCCAGUCAAUAGCGUUAGGUUGAAAGACAAGAGAGGCAAGGCCGCUACACUCUUUGGCGCGGUAGUGUAGCUCUACUCGGCAUACGGAGCAAGCCUUACACCACGCCUCCAAGGACAAAAGCCUUAUUAUGCAUUAUGCGCCCCUCACCAAUAGUCCAAAACCCUUUCUCUUAGCCUAAGUCUAUGCCCCCUACUUUUAUACCCGGCUCUCCGCUUUUUGCUUUCAAACUUGAUCUCUGCUUUCAUAAGCAAUGAGGGUUGAGCAAGUUAUGUAUUCUCCUACUUGAAUUACUAUACGAAAACACAUGCUUAGUAUUAUAUAUCAUAUGAGAGAAAUAAAACACAUUCUACUAUAACUAUUAAGAGAAUAGAUAGUCCAGAUCCGCAGUUACAGAAAGAAAGAAGCCACACGUAAGACAUAUUAACUAACUAACAAACCAGGCUAAAAGCAAGGAAAGUAGGCCUCCCCCAAGAGAGCAGACUUGAGUCAGUAGCAAAAGGUUUGUUGUCACCAGCUCCAUUAUGCUUAUUGGUAGUUGGAAAAUGAUAUAACAGAAAGGUAGGCUUAAAAGCACCCGUUAAGGAAUAGGCUUUCAGCACCUGUUUUUGGCUCCUGUUAUGAGCAAGUCGUCCUGUGCUCAAGUAAAGAGCUAAUAGAAUAUGGUUUAAUGAGUUAUAAUACAUUUAUUCAUUGCUAUGGUUUUGUAGUAGUUACUUGGCCGGUAUUUUUCAUAGCAAUAUGUACUAGUCCUUCUUAUUCUUCUGGCUAUGGCUCAUCUACCUAUAGUAACGUAACGAUGAGACUUACCCCGCUAACUAGGUAUUCAACCACUGCUAACGGGGCCGCUCCCGGGCAUGUCUUUUGUGUCUUUUAUUCUUGUAUUUCACCUUUCAUUCUUUCCUUCCUUCUUCUCAUUCUUACUAUCAUGUAUAUCUGGCUUACUUUUCUUGCUUUUAGUCUCUAUCUAGUACCUUUCAUUCCUUUAUUUCCCCGCCUAAGAGCCUUACUUAUUAGGUUGAGUACUUAACUCGCCCCUUCCACUCCAUACUGAAAUUAUUGGGCUACUGAGCCGGAUCCUGUCUUACUGGGCCACCCACCCUACCUUUAUGCCCUCCGGCUUUGACUCUACAACUAAUGCUUCUCAGACUUGAUAUCUCCUAUAGAAACCUUACACUACUUACUUGAACUCUGAAUUUCCUAUAUUUUCUUCUUAUCACUACUAUACUAAUAGAUUAGGCUGAUAGUUAGUCAUCUAAGACAAAACCCGAAGAAAGGAAUACUUAAACGAACAAGCGAGAAUGAUACAAAUACUGAAGUAAGGGUUCGGUUAGUCGACAGAGCAGUAGAGGCCUAAAGCCCAGAGGAGACCAGCUUGAAGCCUAGUAGUGAAAGCCUCAGUACGGGUGUUUUCAUUCCCAUCAGUCACCAGUCCCAUUAGAAACAUUCCCAUUGUUCUAUCUUAUUCUCCAACUGUCCCGCCUUAAAGUCCCGCAGUUACUUAUCUAACUAAUGGAAAUCACAACUACAAGAAUAACAGGUGUACUAUAGGGCCUAAUAGAAUUUCACUGGCAAUAACAAGACUCUAGCGACUGCUAAUAAUAAUUGAACUCAGUGGUGGCAUAAUCCAGCAGUAGACUCUCUCAACAGGUGCACAACGACAUAGUUAAGGAUACCUUAAGUCAUAAUAUCCCCUAAGGCUCUAACCACAGCAUACAAGAAUUCCAGUUUUGGGUGGGGAACAGGACUUCGCGGGGCUCCGGUUUUAUAUACCGUCCAGGCAGGCUGGCUAACAAGUCAAAUACAGAAUCGAAGUUAGGCGUUUCAACCCAAUAGUUAAGAGUGAAGGAUUCGACACCAGUUUAGGAUCUAGUUUAAGGUCAAGUAAUACAGGAUGUCAGGAAGGAGCCACAGACAGACCAAUAACCAAGAAAGGUAGACUUACUUACAGUAUAGUCAGAAUGGGGGGCAGGCCCGGAGCUAUUAGUGACAGAAUUAGAAGACGGGUAGUGAAGAUCCGACUCGGUCUCAACCGCUACGUGGACUUUAUCUUCGGCUUAUGUAUCAAACUUGACUCGCCCAGCUUCUUCUCUCGGAUAAAAAAGAGGAACCAAUUCAGAUGUUGCCCUCACCUUAUCCACCUUAUAAAGGGUACGUACGCAUAUAGCCAUUUAGGAGAUAUCAAAUUCCAUUCGUAGUUUGGAGCGCAUGUCUCUAUAUUUGUUAUAUUGAUAGUUUCUAUGCUAGAGUAACCCAUCCGUCCUGUCUUCAAUUCAUAAAUUCGAACUUACAAACUGCACUUCCAACCUAGGAAUCAUUCCCAUACCACUUAGAUUCAUAUGGGCUCCAGGCUACGCAACACAGGUCCAGUCCAGUCUUCUCCCCAAGGUGAGCAAAAGCAGUUUAGGCCUUCCGAACGCUUACUUAUUGGUCUUUACUACCUCGGUCUCUAUGCCAAGGUGUUUUGCCCGUUGCUUUCUGGGGGUAUUAUAGUUUGGGCUCUGACCGAAAGCAUUUUGGAUGAUUCCUUACUACUGUUUGGCGGAGGAACUUAUGGACACCCUUGGGGAAAUGCACUUGGUGCAGUUGCUUAUAUGGUCGCUUUAGAAGCAAGCGUGUGUACAAGCUCGUAAUAAGGGACGUGAUCUUGCUCAUCAAAUAUCAUUCUGAAUAGGGAAGAAGCUAUCAAAUAAAUGGAGCCCUGAACUAGCCACUGCUUGUGGAGUAUGGAAAGAGAGAAAAUGAGAAUUCGAACCCGUAGAGUUGAUUAGCAAGAUAAAGAUCCAAAGUCAGUGUGCAUAAUUCCUCCAUUCCUAUUUGUUCUCCUAAUGGAUUGCAAUUAAAGGCCUCAAAAAGCAGAUUCAGCCGAUUACCUCCGAUUACCUAAUAAUAUAAUAAGAAGUAGCAUCCCAUAUUCUCAUAAGUAAGGUCAGAGCUCUAUUCUAUGUACUGAUCUGCCCUAUCAAAACUAUAUCUAAAUACAAGAUAAGAUCGAAGACUAAACAACUCAAUACCGAGUUUGUUGUUGGAUCAAAGACUAAACAACUCAAUACCGAGUUUGUUGUUGGAUCCAAUCCUAUGAUGCUUGUGGAUUAUUGGACUUUUCCUCGAUCUCAUUCUCACACUACCUUCCCCUGUAGUCGAUCUCUACUAGGACUUUCCGAGCGAAAGGAGUCAGAUUAGUUGACUUUCAUGCGUUAGUUGUUGACUUUUUCUAUGUUAGUGAAAUGAAAAACGGAAUCAUUGAGUUGACUCUGUGCUAACGGGUCUUAAAGCAACAGAGAAAGUCAAAGGAGAAAGUCAAAGAAAGAAUAAGCCUAAGAGGGGCAAUGAGGGGCAAUGCAGAGUGAAAGCCCAGGAAAGGCAUAGUGAAAGGCAUUACUUUGCGAAUUCACCGAAGUUAGUGUUAGUGAAAUGAAAUGAUCUAGAGCCUUAGGGGAUAGGUAGAGCAGAAGAGUCAGUAUAGAAUCCUAAGAUAGAGCAUUCGAUCUAGCAGUCGAUUCAAAGACGAGAAAGAGGCCCGCUCCCUUAACCUUAACCUUGAUAAUUGCCUGACUUAGUGCCUAGCCCUUGAAAGUACAGUACUCUCUUAGCACCCUCGCUUGAAACUCCAAGUAUGACUAGUCGCAUACUGUGCUAUAUCUAACCACACUAUUCUUAUUAUUAUGUAAUAUUAUCUAACCACCCUAUAUUCUGAUUAUUAUGUAAUACAACGAACUCGACCUUGACAUUGUAUGAAACUAUAGCACCGACCGACACAAGAUGACAGGAUUACACCAUUACUGGAAUUCUGAUUUGUCAUUGAAAACCUUUGUUUGCUGGGGUGCGCUCCUAAUUAUGAGUUUACUUAUUGAUUCUCUUUGGUUACCUAUCUGCUCUCCUUGGUUACAUAACUAUAUCUAUAUUUGUGUCAGUCAACUUCUACUUCAUAAAAUAAACGGAGAAACUCUCCUUUCUUAAUCACCCAAUCAUAAGAAUUCCGCUCAUUCUCCGGGAAGCUACCCGGGUUUACAUCAAUCGAUAAAGGUACCCACUCACCUUUUCUCUUUUCUUGCCAACAAACCGGCGUGCUUUUCAUAAGAAAUCCCUGUUCGUUGUUGUUCGACUUGCCGUGGUAGGUUUGUUUGUGUCUCGGGUGCGCCAUCCCAUUACUAUAGUAACAUAUCCAUAUCAUACCAUAUUGUAUUAUAUCAUAUCAUACCAUACUCGGGAGCGAUGUCAGCAUCAUUGUAGCAGGUGAACAAGAAAAAGCAUUCUUCUUAUUAAUAGGAAACAUCUCUCUUUCUUCUCGACCUUGCCUCACACCUAGCUAUACGAGCGGAACUUCCCCUUGACUUGCUAUACUACACAUCUAUUAUUAUUAACCUCUUCGCUCGCCAACAACACAACACCUAUUUCUUGGAUUGAAACCAUAGUAUGGUGCACCGCAACACAACAUAUAGUAUGUUAUGGCACUAUGUUAUGAUAUGUUAUGAUAUUAUGGUAUAUAGUAUGAUAUGGUACAUUACGGUACACCAUACACAUACUCCAGGACGAAACAAACAUACCCAACAGAGAGCUCCCAUGGGACCAAUUCUUCUUAUAGCUUACCAUCUGAACAAUCACUCUCAGAGCAGCCAUCGGAUCAUUCUGUGAGCAAAACAAUGUGCCCAAUCAUUCUAAUCUCAGAGCUACCAUCGGACCCAUCAUUCUGUGCUAUGGCCCAAGCACUCUGUCUUCGCAAUGGUCCAGCAACUCUGUCUUCUAGGGCGAAAGGUCGUCGCAUGGCACACCCCUAUUGAUUUGGAUUGAAAACCCGGCGUAUGAUACAAAACACACCCCUUUUUAUUGAUACAUUGAUUGAAACCAUAGUAUGACACAACACACCUGGAGCGGACCAGAAAUAAGUCUGCGUGUGAACAGCCAUUCAUUCAGUCAUUCUACAAUGCACUUAACGACAACUACGGGAAUGAAACACUACCGUUGCAGCACACUACCUUAUUGAUUUUCAUAAGAAAAUGUAAGGAAACAAAGCAUUAUUCACCAGCGUAUCCAUCUUACUCACAGCCGGGCAAGCACCGAGCCUUAUUAUGUUUCUUUCUAUUUCAUAAUUGUUAGUGAUUCCAGCUUAGGGGAGUAGUUAUGACUUAAUAUUCUCAUAAUCAAAGAUGGGCAACGCAGGCUUAAAUACAAGGGGGGAAGGCUUAAACUCAGCAGCGACAGACUGAAUCCAGGGAGUUACAGACUCAGAUCAGUGCUUCCAAGCCUGCUACUGGUGCUAUUGGUACUCGGAAUGGAGCUGGUGCAGGGCAGAAUGGAGCUAAGGAAUCUUUCGCUCGCUACCGUUUAGCUCAGGCUCCCGAAAGCAUCUACGAAGACAGUUUAAAGCUCCUCCGCGACACAUUAGCAGUGUCUUGGCGGCUAUAGCUCCUGCCGUCGGAAGCAUAGACGAAGACAGGACUUGUUUAUAAUUGCUGCCGUACAACGUCUUUCGCCGUUGCUUGGCCGUUAUACCUAUUACCUGCUGCCGCGCAACAUUAGUAGUUGCUUGGCCCGUUGCUUGGCCGUUAUAUCUAUUACUAUUGCUACCGCCGAGAGCAUCUACGAGGACAGGACUUGUUUAUAACUUGUUAUAAUUACUUAUUGUUGUUGCUGCCGCGCAGCUUUCAACUCGCUGCCGCGACACGCGAACACAGGAAUUGUUAUAACUGCGUUAUAACAUACUAUUGUUGCUGCCGCACAACGUCUUACUUAGUUGCUUGCCUAUCCGUGUCUUGGCGCGCCGUUGCUUGGCCGUUAUAACUGGUUAUUCCGGCCGGGCUGCCGCGUCACCGAACGCAUAGAAAGUAAGAGAACAAACAUAACCCCGAACACAGGAGCGGCCCUGCCGCGACACCGAACACAGGACUUAUUCUUAACUGGCUAUAACUACUUAUUUGUCCUACUGCCGCACAACGGCGUAGCCGUUGCUUGCCUAUCCGUGUCUUGGCUGAGUUUAUUAUUCUAGAUGAGUUUGAGGCCUUGGCGCGCCGUUGCUUGGUCGGCACAUUAGUCGUGCCUUGGUCAUUAGUAGUUGCUUGGUGGCUUAAACGAGAGAGCUACAGGCUAUCCGACCCGGGUCAAGGAAUAGAGCUAGUGAAUGACAGCCUUAGCUAUACGAAUUGGAAUCAGGAAUAGGAUCGGAGGCAGAAGAGACCUUACGUACUUUCUUCUUUUCUUACCUGAACCCAACCAGCUACAUUGAGAGUCUACAGUUUCAAGAGCCAAAGCGGAGUUCUACGCUCCCUUAUGCUUAGUCAGUUCCCUUAUUCUUAUAAGUCAUAUAACUCACUAGUUGACUUCUUUCUGGCCAACCGAGUUGUGUUCCUUCUUGACCAACCCUAGUUCUCUUUCUCGCCAAUCCACCUAGAAAGUGAGAAUUGCCCUCCUUCUCGCAAACCAACCUAGAAAGUGAGAAUUGCCCUCCUUCUCGCAAACCAACCUAAGUGCUCUAUUCUUAAAUUCAGUAGAGAUUUAUAUCUAAGAUAAAGAAAAGAGAAUGUACUCGUUGUCCGGUAAUCGUGUACAGAGGAAUUAUUGUUCCCCGCCUAGGUAUGAGAGAUCCAGGUAACUCACCCACCCAGUGCUUCUUAUCUCGAAAGUCUUAAUGGAACUCAAAGGUCAGAAUCAGAGGAAUUAGCCAGGUAUUAUGGAAGUAUAAGAAGGUCACUAACCAUAAGAAGGUCACUAACCAUACUGGUAAUGGUGUAUCUGGCUCUACUCUUUGCUCUGCCAGAACGGAAAUCGCUUGUCUAGUAUACGCUUGGCAAAACGAUAAGUACUAUAAAGUAGAGAAAAAGCUACAAGGGAAUAAGUAAACAAGUAGUAAGCAAGCCAUUGUGUAUUAGUGAAUUAGCCGUUGCGCAAGGGAACCAAUUCAGAUUAGGGGCUCGUCUACGAACAGCCUUUAGUAGUCUGAGAUGAGUGUUUCCCUAGCAUAUGAGUUUACCCAGGGCAGGGUUAAACGACGAGAAAGAUGAAGUUCAAGCCCGCCGCCUUAUUCAGCCAAAACCUUUAUUAUGACCUUCCUCAGCGCACUUCCAUAGAGUCUCUUUGGAUGGGGCAAGUGUUGUAGUUCAAUUCAAAAAGGGAUGCUGUGCGCAGAAAGUCUCUCGGAACAGGGGCAAGAGUCGGGUCAGCACAGCUGCAGACAAGCUACUAGUCCCCUUAAGUAAUUGGUUGCGCGUAAGUCUCAAUUAGUUCGAGUUUGUUGAGUGCGAGGCAGAAUAUACUAAGUAAUAAGUUUGAGAGCUCAGAGUCUGGAGACGAGAAAGAUGCCUUAUAGCCUUUACUUGGAUUAUUGCCUUACUUGUAUAAUGUCCUUAUGAUGCGAGGUAUACUUCUGUAUAGUCUCUUUCUACUCUUGUUUCAUCCUAUUUCGAAUUAUAAGCUGUUCGAGCAUUAGGAUCUGAAACAAACAUAAGAUGUCAAAUAAGCAGGAUAAGAAGCUUUUCAAAAGUCUGCUGCAAUAUUGAAGGUUGGAAAUUCGAAAGGUGAUCUCGCUAACAGAGCUUCUACGCUAAGGGAGGGAGUGACGAUUAGUGCUUCAGAAGCCCUAGUAUGAGUCUCCUGUUCCUUUGAUACAGAUUCGAUUCGGCUUUCCCACCUGAACCAUCUUUUGAGUCCUUUCCUGUAGACAACACCUCAGCAUUAGAUUCUCGGUAUACCUAUAUUCUGGCUAAUUCUUAUGUUUCCUCUUAUCCAGUACUUGAUGAUUCCCUUUUCUCUGCUUUUCUUCUCUGACCUUCACUGCUAAACCAGUACUGAAUUCUCUUCUUUAAGGUUACCAUUACUUCCAGCCUCAGAUCAGUAUUCUGCUUCAAAGCCUGCCUUAUUACCUUAACCGGGCCAGGCCAGUACUUUUCUUCUUACUCAAAUUCAUUAGUUACUUGACACUUUUACCAACAGCUAAAGUCCAAAGAGAAACCGGAGAUUGGGCUCCAGAAUAAAGGCUCACACAGGACUUGCUCAUGGCAACAUACUAACUAACUAGUAGUGGCUUUUCUAGUAGUUACUCGGCGGUUAGUAGUCACUUGUCGGAUACAACACUUGAGAUACAGCUUCUCUUACAACACCAGUAGUGCAGGCCAGGACGAUCUACUUUACAGCUUUAGCCACUAGACUUUCUCCCCUAGCUUGCGGAUUGUGAUCUACUCCUUUAGAUAGCUUAUACUUUCAAUUCCUUAGCGUAACUCCAUAAGCGCCCUUACUUUGGAUCUACCUUCAAAUUCCCUUACUUGUUCACUCCUGACUAUAUGGUGCACCUAUUCUAUAAUUGAGUCACAAUACAUCUUAUAACUAUUGGUAAUAUCGGCACAGUUCUAUACUUACAAUAGUCAGCCCUCAUUGAACCUACAACUCGAGAAAAGGCUUUUUUCGACAAGCAAGGGCGUUAGUUGAGUCAGGAUAACAAGCUAAAAGGGCGAAAAAAUCGAAUAAUGUACUUUAGUCAGUGUAGGGGUGAACUCAAUUCAUUUGUUCUUCAAGUUCGGAGUGCGCCUAUGACUUUCAAGUAAGGAGAGCCAUAUAAGAGAAAUGAUCUACUAUGCAAAAGAGAAAUUAUUUGAGAACUUGUAUUAGUGGUGCUUGAAACAAACUAGGGCAAUAAAAGAAGUACUCUCGUAUAGCGUGAAGCUGACUAGCGGAGUUCCUCAAGUCGUGGCCUCAUCAAUUCUUAAAGAAAGGGCACAAGGGAGUUCCAAUUUCCAUCUUCCAAUCUUUGACUUUCUGUUAAAAGGGGACUUCGACUCAAAUCCAUGUUUGUUGGCGACUCUAGUAAUUGCUUUUCCGUAUAGUAGUUACUUGUUGAGUGGAAUCCGUCUUUGUUGUCUACUUGUUUUUUUCUGAAAGUUGAGAGUCCGGAGCAGGGUAUUUCCAUUCCUCUAUUACUGGUGUAAGAUCUAUAUUCUUCAAUUCCAUUCAAAGAGCUUAUGCUUUAGAUUCCAUUCAAAGAGGAGAAGUCCGGGUUAGUUGGAGAACCGUAGUGCUAAGGUAGUUUACAGCUAAUUUCUCUCUCGUCCACUUUCCAGUUCAAUUCCAUUCUUCACUGAAAUAAGAGUUCGGGUCGAUAACACACCUCCUAUCCAUCUAUAAAGAUGCUAAAGUGGGCUGGGCUAGAUAUGGAACUAAUUGUCCUGAGAAGAAACGCUACAAAAUUCUAUAUUAUCUUAUUAUAGGAUGAUAUUUACAAUAGUCCGAGGCAGUAGCUUGGCAGAUCGGAAGAAACAGAAAAGAAAUUGUAUUGGAGAUCAUCAACAGUCGAAGUCAAGUCUCUUGUUGUUGGCGAAAGAGUCGAAGUCAAGUCUCUUGUUGUUGGCGCAAGUCCUUUGUUUGGGAGUAGUUAGUUGCCCUUAUAUUAAGUAGCAAUAGAGGGAUGAGCCUUAAGUAAAAUGGGUAAGUUAUGAAAGUGUAGUUCAAUAGCAGUUACGUAUCAGUGCAAGCCAGAGUCGAGUCAGAUAAGUAGUACGCCCAGAGUCAGAUAGUUAAGAAGUCAGAAUUAGACUCAGCAGCACAAGAAACAAGCUAUAGUAAGUAAAACAAAGAGACAAGCUUUCGAACAGAGCUAUAAGACAAAGAAGUAGUGGUAUGGAUCUAUCGCAUCCAGUAGCGGACUGAUGGGAGUGUAUAAAUAGAAGAAUGCUUCUUUAGUGUGUGAGGGCAUAAUGCACCUUCAAAGCAGGGUGAGCAAGGGAAGGGCGUAACCGAACUCAUAAGUAGCAGACCGCAACGCAGGGCCUAAACACAGAAGUGAGCCUACCAACUCGUCACUCUAACUCUUCAACAAUGCCCUCUUGACUUGCAUUCUAUUCUAUAGUACCAGUGGAAACCUACCCUACCAUAUUUUGGAUUAAUAGCAUAUGGAGCGGCUCUUGCUUGUAUCAAUAUUCGAAAAAACCUACAGCUAUUAUGGACUGGAACCACUACUCUAAAAGGCUCUCACUACUCUACUUGAAAGAAUGGAACUUGGAAUAAAGAGAAUCGUCCCUGGGCAGCGAACAACGAUGGUCCACAGGCCGGGCAACUGUCCCUGGGCAGCGAACAACGAUGGUCCACAGGCCGGGCAACUGUCCUAGGUAUGGUCAGCUGACUUAAGAAGAAUUCUUUUGACUUACAAUAAUGAUUCCUGGGGGCUAAUAAUAAGAAUGCUUUUCUCUUGUCUAACCGAGUAUGGAUGGUAUGGUACUAUGGUAUGGUCAUUCAUGUCAUUGUUCGUUGGUGCAUCGCAAAGUGAAGUAAUAAGUAAGUUAAUAUAUAAUAAUAGAGUCCAAAGCUCAGUAAUAGAAGAAGCUCAGUAAUUGUAAUAUCAUAAUAGUCAUUAAUAUACCAUAAUAGAUUCCGAAGCUCAGUAAGAGAAUCACCGGCUUCCACAUGAGUCAUGGAAGAAUCGUCAUUGGUUCCAAAAGUCUGUUUCAGCUCGAUUCGCAUCUUGAUUUGCUACUCUCAUUUCUUUUGCCAGACACUUUUCAUUCCUUAAGCAAACACCACAUAGUCUUUUCUUAGCCCCAUUCAUUCUGUGUGAGCGGAAAGAUAUGCUCCCGUGGGUCAUUGGACAUCGGCACAAAGGUACUAAUUCAGAAAGUCAAAGCACUCGUUCUUGUAGUGGAACCGCUCAUUCACCCAUGAAACGAAAGUGUAGGUCCCGUUCCGUCCCUGGCAACGUAGGUACCCAGUUCAUUGUUCGUUCGUUCGGUUCCCGGGCUAACUCUUUCUUUGAGCAGCAUCGCCCAGUAAUAGAUGGAAGGCGCGGGCGGGGAUGUGACUGUGACUGAACGAGCCACUAAGAGAAGAAUCAACAAACAAGGGGCCAAGCAUAUACUAAAUAGGGUUCACUCACUACUCAAGCAUAUACUAAAUAGGGUUCACUCACUACUUAAGUAAUAGAAUGAAUAGGACAGGUAUAAGAAUUAGGCUCAGGGCCAUAAUACAUAAUUGAUAGUUUUCAGGGUCAAACUCUACCAUCAAGGGAAGCAGUUCUCAAGUGUGAAAAUACUCUGACUUCUACUAUAGGUCGACAGCAGCUCCGGUAACAAUUAAUAUAUAAGAAAUAUACCUUUGACUCAGCCAAGCAACUACGUUAGUAUAGCGUUAGUCUUAUUUGUGUCAUUACAAUUCCUGUUUUUGGGAGCCCCGGAUCGGUUGAUUGUUCCUUAAAGAAGAUAAUCAGGGUUGACUGUUCCUUAAAGUAGUCGUGUUUCCUUAAAGUAGUGGUCCAAGUCGUCUUUAUUCGACACCUCGCAUCAAACCAAGAAUAUCAUCCGUACCACGGAAACUAUAUUAUCUUAUAAGAAUCUCAUUGGCACUGUCAAAAGGCGUAUACUUAGAAUAAGGGAUCAGAAGCGGAAAAAGUAUCCAAUCCAGUAGCAGUGUUGUCACCCAUGCGAGUAUGUCAACGAUACCAGAAUAAGGCUCCUAGGCAGCAGUGGUCUCAUAGAAUCAGUAACUACCCAACCAUGGGCUCUUUCUUCUUUAUUAUCAGAUUCAACUCGGGGCCAAGUAACUGGGUUAGUCAAAUUGCCCUUGACUCAGUACGCACACGGUGGAAGAAACCCUAAACUUCCCAUUCCCACUCCGAUAUCCUACAAGGGUAUUAAUUCUCCGAUGUCAACAAAUACUGACACAUAGCAUCUUUUCUCUCUUAACUAGGGAUUACACUCUAACUCGCCAGGGGAACAGGUAAUUCUCCACUCCCCUAACCUAACAAGUAAGGAAACAAGUCUAUCCCUUAACUACCCUAAAAGUAAGUACUCUCUUUUGACUACCCUAUCCACCAAGCUACAGGAUAGGGAAAGUGCAAAGUGAACCCUAAACUCCAGGCAUCGCAGCUGACGCUGCCCUCGCAUUAAACUAUUGGCUAUCAAGCAAGUCGACAGCUAGGUGCAUUCUGUUACUACUGAGUUGCAUUCUGACUUGAAACUCUCCCUCUCUGGCUCUGCUCUAACAGCUUCCCGAAUCGACCUCUAUACCUCUUGGCAAAUCCUUAACUUGACUAUCUGAUUGCCCUCACUCUACUUGAAACAGUUGAUUCUCUAUGCCUUCGGGUGCAAUGAUAGGUGUUCUCACUCGAGUCCUUGGAAUCUACUUCUCAUAUAAGAGAGAAUGCAAGUGGGAAUUGUUCCAGUUCUCAAGGAAGCACUAAUGGAGUUCAAAAGCAAGUCCUGUGUUCACCAAUCUAGUGAGUAAUCCUGUGAGCAGUGAGAAAUACAGUUCAAGAAAACCCGUACCUUUUGACUUAUCUUACUUAUUUCCUUCGAGUUACUUAUUUCCUUUGAGUUACUUCGAGCGAGAAGAGAGUAUUUGUUCCAGCAACCAAGUGUUUUCAAGUGCUUUCAAGAGAAGAGAGUAUUUGUUCCAGCAACGCUAACUCUUUGAGCAGCAUCGCUACGAAUAUAGAUUUGACGCUACGAAUAGGGAUUUGACUUAACGAACACUAAGAUAAGAAUCAACAUUGGACAUUGCACCGGCACAAACAUCCUAAUAUACAUCAAAAGUAGAGCACUUACUAAAUCGAAAAACCAUAGACCUUUUUCUACCACUUUUCCUUCAUCAAAUACUAUCAAAUAUCAUAUAAAAUAACUAUAAAUACUAUUGAAAUACAAUUAAUAUUCUAUAAGAUAUAUAAUAGAGUGUUUAAACGCAUUAAUAGAAGUGAAUUAAAUAAGGCAUUGUCGAAAGAGAAUACGGAAUGCAAGAUACCUGUAGGAGAAUAACAAUCGAGCUAAGGAAUGAAAAGCUAGGGCAAUUAUCAAACUAACACUCUCACAGGACUACUAACUACUGGGAGCCAUCUAAAGCAUAGGCCUUACCUUAAUCCACGGAAUACCAUCUGAAAGAGUGAACUGAACUUACUGCUUGGCCUUACUGUCAGUGUAUAAUUAAAGCUCUCCUCUCUUGCCCCACAUUUGAUUCAUGGAGUACUUGGUUUCUGGGCGCUAGUUUGAUUACUCCACUUUUGACUUAGAUAACAAUCGUAUAUAGCGUUAUACCUGCACUAAACAAGUGGGCUAUUAGCCAUUCUGCCUUCAAACAACCUUUAGAGACAAAGGGAAUAGGCCUAGCUAGUGUGGAUCGAAAACACUUAGUCUGCAUGUCUAUAGAUUAGCAAAGGACCUAUCUUAUCAUAUCAACUUACAAAGAAUAAGAAAAGGCGCAAGGGAGCUCACCAAGGUGCUAAUGUUAGUUUCAGAAGCCAACAACCAUUGUGCGUUAGCGAGCGGGCGCGUUAGCUUACGACUAUAGCUAGGGGAAGCCUUGCUUCAAAGUAGAGUUUCUUGGGGAUGCUAUUAGGUCACAGAUUCAUAGGUAAGGGAUGCAGUUAGGUUACCCUCAUUUUAUACCUACCCCAUGUGCUCGAUAAGAGAGAUAUUCCAUUCAACAAGUUUCUAGUUCAAGUUCCGCUCGAAAGUAAUCUGCAAGUGGUUCCUCAAGUGGAGAAGAACAAUCAAUUACUGGAUCUUAAGCGAGAAGGUCAGUUUCAAGUCGUUAUAAAUCCUACUCUGGAGCAAUGAUGUUUCUGUUGGAGUAAAGUCGUAGAUAUUAGAUGAAGAAGAGGCAUAAUCCGCAGGUCCAGGUUAAUAAAUUGAUGUUAGAGUUUCUCGUAAGGGAACAGAGUGGAUGGGUGCAGGUGCAUUCGUGUUAUUACAUUCUUCUAUUAUGGCCAUGUACUCUUGGUAACACCUAUGCUCUUGUUUCUUCGUAUAACACAGGGUAUCCUGAGUUCAGUUAAGUCUCCUUCUAUUCGACGAGUAUCUUUGGGUUUGGUGCUUUCCCACAAAUAGAAGUCAGUUAAGGGGUCAGCAGCAAGUUAUAAGUCAGCUACAAGACGUUGUGCGCCAACAGGAGUUUUUGACGGAAAGGGAGUGGAAAGAGAAACCCCAGUGUGAGGAAGAUCUAGGAGAGGUGGUAUAGGUGCGACUCAUAUUGAAUUCCACUCCUCCGGUCUAAUACUAAAACGAUUAUGACUCAUACUUAUACUACCUGUUAGGGCAAGAACUAUACUUUAUGAACGGACCUUCACUCAAGCUUGCUUCAAAGCCGAUACUUUCUUCUUUUCUUCCUCUAACUGCUAGCCUUUCCUUUCGAAAUACCUUUGUUUGUUCCCUAGCUUGUGUCGGUUAAGUAGGCAGUAGCUCCUUCUCGUAGCGUAGAGAUGGGUUCGGCGGUAGAGGGAAGCAGUUGAUUUACAAACUUAUAUACCAAGUGCUAAACCCAGGGAGGAAAUAGAAGAACCUGAAGCAGCAUGAUUCUGUUGCGAGUGUUGGCGACUCGAGAGGUAAUUACGUUGUUGGUUAAGAAAGAAAGUAUAGUUCGCGUGUGAAAGUUCUCUACGAUAGAGAAUCAGAGUCUCAAAUCAGUUAUUAAAAGAUCUUGGAGAGAAAUAAGUACUGGCCGGUUAAGAAAAGAAGAAAAAGAGAUACUACUGGCUUGUUUUGAAGGGAAGAAUCAAUUACUGGUUUUGAAGCAUGGCUGUCGACGAUAUAAUUAAUCAGCUGUGCGCGUAAGGUACGGAGUUGUAGAAAUGAAUGUUUGACUCGGUGCAACAAGACGAGCAAGCUUUGACUCGCCACAAGACAACGGAUAAUGAAAGGUUGCAGGCAAGUGCAUCCCUUAGUUAUUAGUUAUAUGAUAUUAGGUUAUAUAGAUAGAGAGCAUGUAGUUAAGAAUUAGACUCGAAUUUGGAGUUUAGUCCGUAGCUGUGCUAACGGUAGCUUUAAGAGCGAGUUAAUAUUUCGUUGAUUUUGACCUGCACCUUGAUAGUGAAAUACCAAAUGUAUGUCGUCAGUAAAUUGAAGCGCUAAGUUGUUUCGCGGGCUCGGGGGUGAAGUAGAGUAUCACUCCGUUCUUGGUGAAUCCUUCUAAGUUGGUGAAUCCUUCUGAGUUGGUGAAUCCUUCUGAGUUGGUGGUAAGUCUCUUUCUGCUGAAUUAGGACUCGGCUAAAAGAGUGACUGUUUGAGUGCUCGUUAAGUCUAGGAAAGUAGCUAGGGAAAGAAAGGAACCAAUGCCGUUUGUUUGUAAGGCAAGAGAAGCAGUUAGAUCUGUGGAGCAAGAUCAGAGGUAUAGUAGCAAGACAAGAUCAGAGGGCCAAGCAACUUCUACAAAGGCAUAACAAGUAAAGAACUCAUAUAACAUGUCUUAAUGAGUUGUUCCCGAGUCUUGUAUUCAUGGCGGCAGGAGCCCCGUCAGUAGAAAUAUCAGUAUACGCUUGGCAGUUGCCCUUAUAUUUAGUCGGUAUAGCUCUUUCAAGAAGUAUUUGUUUACAGAGUAUGAUGAGACUGCCCUUAAUUAAUGCCAUCAAGCAAAGCGGGAAGGGAGAGAGGUUCGCCCAGUGACAGUUCUAGACUCCACUCUUAACUUCUCGCGCAUUCCUUUAAUGACCAUUCCUUUCAUUACUAGUUUUGAAUUACUUUUUAUUCCAAUACUCGGGGAGGUUAGGGUUGCCUUACUUAUAUUACGCAGGAAAGUUCACUUUAGAAUAAUAGGAUGGAGCUAGGCAUGCUAGAGGCCAGGCCGGGGCAGUAUAAAAAGAAGAAAAAGUAGACUUGGAUCUUAAAGCUAACUAUCCCUUUGAAGACUCCAAAUCAAUCAGCGAGUAGGAGCGGGAUCGGGAUCUGAAGAAACAAGUAAACUACUGAGUGACUUAAAAGAAGAUAGUUUGGGUCCGUUUCCGUUUAAGCAGAAGCAAGAUCCGGCGAGGAUGCCCUACGUAAAUGUUUGUAUUAGUAUGCACCACAGGCGAGCGAAUCCUAAUUAAUAUCGGCAGUGAG
This 93448-nucleotide long non-coding RNA is filed under the name Musa acuminata (dwarf banana). RNAcentral's name for it is "long non-coding RNA (MACU_LNC007427)". Lineage: Eukaryota; Viridiplantae; Streptophyta; Magnoliopsida; Zingiberales; Musaceae. The record is from RNAcentral.